RNAcentral lists this long non-coding RNA (93926 nucleotides) under Lotus japonicus. RNAcentral describes it as "long non-coding RNA (LJAP_LNC000080)". The stretch from base 32028 to 32134 matches the Rfam family "Plant small nucleolar RNA R71". The record is from RNAcentral. Lineage: Eukaryota; Viridiplantae; Streptophyta; Magnoliopsida; Fabales; Fabaceae.
UGUUCUAUUUAUACUUCAGCAGAGACGGCUAGGGUUUGUUUGGGCUGAAGAACACUUUGAUCCAACUCAUAUCAGUAAAGAAUCUUCCAAAAUCUGAUAUGAGUUAUCAACAAAUAAAAUAGAAACAAAUCUUUUAAUCACAGAUUUGUUCCAACAAUAAACAACCCGCAAUUGGCUCCCAACAAUCAGUUACUUGACCUUCAAGUAAGCACAAACCGUACCAUAAAACAUAACCAUAAGGGACCCACUUGCAUGCCAGCAGGGGCGGAUGUCCUGGCCUUCACCAAGGCAGAUGUCACGACAUCGGCUAGGACAUCAGGUUGUUUUUAACAAAAUUGAUGACAACAAAGGAACAACAAAUACAAGUGAAAACCUACAAGCAAAUACCUUAGCAAUAUUUCUUCAUUGUUCUUAUUGUGUUUACUCCUGCUUGUUUAGAAGCAACUCGUUGUAAACCCAAAUCUUCUACAAUCUGUUUGUAGUUCCUUGAGAGACCGGUGAGGUCAGAUUUCUUGAGAAGACUAAGAUUUGUGUGUCUUAGUGUUGCUAGUUCUUAGAUUUUUUAGUCACUGAGCAAGGCGUGCUAGUGCACUAGUGCAGUUGUAACAAUCUUUGAUUAGUGUAUUACCUUUAUUCUAUGAAGGAAGAAAUCACCUUAACGGGUGGACUGGAUUAGCUUGAGGGAUUUAUCAAGUGAACCAGGAUAAAACACUUGUGUGCUUCUCUCAUCUCUUUAUCUCUUGCACUUUGUGUUCUUGAAACCGAGAAGAUUUGUUAAAAUCUUAGAGGGAAAGUUUUUAAACGUAAAACCCUAUUCAAACCCCCCCUAGUGUUUUUCAUACCUUCACAAAAGGCCAAGGUAGCAAGUACAAGGAAAAACCCAAGAGGGUUAGAGAGUCAACCUCUACUACAACAUGAAUACAAUAAAUCCAGUGAGGGACAUUAACCCAAAAUACUCCCUGGACAGGGAACAGAAAGCUACAAAUUAAAUGAGACAGAACAUAAACCAGACAUAGGAAUAAACAACCUAUUAUAAUUGUCAUUGACCAUGCACAAAAUUGUAGGCACUUCUAGUAGCAGUAUGCGCUUGUUGGUUACUCUGUCUUGGGACACAGAAGAAGCCACAUGUUCUGAAGGAGUUCCUGAAGCUCUGGAUAUAUCUCAGAAUGGAAUAGACGCUCCAAGCAUAUCUAUGUUCACGAAUCAGCGAUACCAGAUUAAUUUUAUUAGAGCAAAUGUAGAGUUUGCUAUGUUCCAGGUUCAUAGCUAACAAUAGAGCUUCCCGGAUAGCUAGACCUUCUGCCACUAGUGGUUUAACUGCCAGGAUUGACCUUGAGUGGGAUAGGACAGUACUACCAUGUUCAUCCUUGAUCAUUACUGCAAUCAUUCCUUUCUUAGAGGAUUGGAAGAAGGUAGCAUCGACAUUAAGUUUCAAGGUUCCAGGAGGGGGAUUGAUCCAAGGUACUCUAUAGGAUCUAUUACUGCUGGGAAGAAGGGCUCUUCUCUGAGGUUCAUGAUCCUCAACAGUGGCCAUGCUAGCCUUGAUCCUUAUCGAAGUGGCAAGAGGUUGGGGCAUGCACUGUUGAAAGUGACAAUCAUUCCUCUCCUUCCACACUCCCCACAGAAAGUAGGCAAUAGUCCUCAAUCCCUGUUGGAUGGUAUCACUAUCUCCCUGCAGCCUUGCUGCCAUUUGAAUGAGCCAAUCCUUAGGUUGCAUAGUGUUGGCAUGGUCAUGAUUAAUUUGCACUUGGGAAUGUUGCCAGACCUCUCAUGUCCAAUGGCAACCAAUUAGAUCAUGAGCGCUAUCCUCUGGUUGCUGGUUGCAGUGGGGGCAAAUCGGGUCCAAAGCAAUUAGAGCAUGAGCCUGACCUGUUUAAUUAAAAGGCUAGGUUAAGGCUUUUCAAACAACCCAUGUAAUUAAGUAGGUCAGGAUUAGGCUUUUAGAAAAGCCUAUUAAGCCUAGUAGGUUGGCCUGUUUAAUAAUAUAAAUUUAAAUUUAAAUUCAACAUGUAUAUACAUAUUAAGUAAAAUAAAAAAUAUAAUAUUUAAAUGAACAAAAUUACUAAGAAAUAAUUAAGAUAAUGAAGAGUUUUUUUUAAAACAAACCAAGAGUCAGUUGAAAAAACAAAUUCAAAACAAAAGCAAAAAGAAGAAGAUAAGAAUAGUCUUGGAAGUUGAAAAAAUAAUCAAUAAAAAAUUGAAGAGAUAAAAUCUAUCUUGUGAGUUUCAAAUCAGGGUAGAACAAAGGUCAAUUUUUUUUUGGUUAACAAAAGAAGAUGAUUAGAAAUUUAGAAUUAAUUUAAAAAAAAAAACGAAAUUUAGAAUUAAAACUUUCAAAAAAAGAAAUUUAGAAUUAAAAGAAAGAAAAAGUUAAAACCCUUUCUCUUGGAGUCAUGCCGUCAUGGUUUGCUACUGCUAGUGUGUAAGUCAGUCUCAGUGUAAAAGAACCACUCGCUCAAGGCUGCUGCACCGGACCACUUCAAUGUCGUGCAUCGUCGCCGCUCACCAAGGUCGCAGAUCACUACCCUCAUUCGUCUAACCGUUUAUCAUUCUUCUGCAUAAAAUUUUCUUUUCAUCCCUUUGUUUUAAUUUCAUUUGUUCUUCUUGCCUUCUCUCUUUUGCGCUUUAAUUUAUUUUUCUAAACCCCAAAAUUUGAACAUUGAGUGAAUUUCUUUCUAAAUCUGAUUCAAUGUUAUGGAUUUUAUGUAUCAUGUUUGUUUGAUGAGCAUGAAUUCCACUUUCUUGUGCUCUUUAAUUUCAGUUUUAGAUUUCUUCCUAUAAGGAAUAUGAUUGUUGUUCAAAUAUUUUAAUUUGAUGUCGAAAGAUACAUUGCUUAUAUUAGUAAUGUUGAGUUCAAUGACCUUCACUUUUUCCCUUAAUUGGGUAUAUGUCACCAAUCUGUUUUGCUUUUUAGCACUAAUUUCAGCCCUAUAGUUUUACCCUCCAUUCUCAAUCUUUAUCAGGAAUUGUGUAAUACUCUUUCCAUUUUUUAUCUUUUGAAGUUUUAGCCCUUGGCUCUUAGAUUAAGGAGAAGUAAUUGUAUACAAGAAUUUUCUAUUUUGGACAAAAAUGACCCUAAACAAAACCUCAUGAAUUUAGGUUACUAUUACAACUCUAUAAAUGUAUGCCUCUUAGGUUACUGCAUCUUUGCAGUAAGUGUUGAAACCUUCAAGUUGCACUAAAAAUUGAAUAGCAAUGACUAAAGGAGUUUACUGCGUGAAUUUUUUUUUUUUGAAUUAAUCCAUGUAUUUCCCGCCAAAACUUCAAUGAGUUCUCAUCUAAUCUUUUUUAUGCUUUUUUAAAAUUUUCCACUCUUUGUUAGUUUCAAUUGUUUUAUCUUCCAUCUGUAACCAAAAAAGAAAUUUCAAUUAUUUUUAAAUCAUAUCUCUGAACUUUGCUUAUAAAAGUUGAGCUUCAGGAUGACAUUAGAUGUUGAGUUAUGGAUACAAACAAGGACAUGAGUGAGCCCUUAGUUGAAAUAGAUUUGAAUAUCCAUUUGAGAGGUUCUACCAUAUCUAAUGGAGGAAAUGUUGAACCUGAAAAACCGGAUUUAUAUUUGCUGGAUUUAAAUAAUGAUACUUCACAUCUUCCUAUUUCUAACCAUGAGACAAAUUAUCUAAAUUCUCAAGUGCCAUUGUCCAAUGUUUUUUUUCCUAGACUUAAACACUAAACCACCUCCCACUAUGAUGAUGAUGUUCAUCUAUUUCAAAAUAGUAUUAUUCAAUCUCAAGAAGAAGAUUGACCGUUGGAAGAAUUUGAAGACUUAUCCGAGAACCACCAUGAUGUGCAACUAACAAACUCAAAUGAUGGUACACUAUGUUCACCUUGUUUUAUUGUAUCUCGUCUCCCAUCUUAUUACUACCACCAUGCACAUCGUAUUCCAUUGCAUCACAUUUUGUAUAUUAUUACUACCACUAUGUUCACCUUGUUAUAUUUUCAAAUGCAUGUUAAUUUGUAUCACCUUGUUUUUUCUCUAAGGUGAUGCAAAUGAUAUUGAUGAGGAUAGCCAUGAGGAUGCGCAACCACCACAAGAGCCAAAUAUCAAGAAGAGAGGUAAAAAUAUGUCCAACGAUAAAAGAAGAGACAUAUAUGACAUGUUAUUCAAAAAAAGUAUUGAUGGAAAAUUGAGUAGGAUUGCAACACGGGUAGUGACAUCACAUUUUUUGGUUCCUAUACUAAGAGUUCAACGCAUUCGGAAAUGAGCAAGAGAUUGUGGUAGUGCUCAUGUUGAUGUAUCCCACAGAAUGGCAAGAGGUGGUUAAAAGAGAGUGGAAUUUGAUUUGAAUCUAAUUCGUGAUGUGCCUUUGCAUCAACGAACAACAAUUGAGUUUUUUGCUCAUGCCUUAAAGGUUAAUAAGAGUACCUUAUUUAUGCAUAUAAAGUCAAGUAAUAUACGGAGGCAUGCAAAUAUUAUGUCGCUUCUCUUAAAAAGAAGAAAAUAAGAUAGCAAAGUUACAAUUCUACAUAUCAAUGCUUGGAGCUAAUAGCAUACCACAUACUACAAAAAUUUAUGUCUGAUGUGUAUUCUCUCUUAUAGAUACAUGUUCUUUUCAUCUGUUUGGCUUAUUUGAAAUAACAUUGUAUAGUGGUGCCUCCUUAUUGAAAAUGUUUUGCUAUAUAUUUUCUCUUCUCAUCUGUUUGGCUUAUUUGAAAUAGCAUUGUAUAGUGGUGCCUCCUUAUUGAAAAUGUUUUGUUAUAUAUAUUCCAAUUGGUCUGUAAACUGUAAUGAAACAACAGUAAAACAAGAAGAAAACAUUAUAUCCAUAUCUUGUUCAGAAACAUAAUAUAGAGAGAGGACUUGCAUAAUGAACUUGUGAGGCACAUGUUAAUAUAUUUGUUGCAAAACUUGUAUAAGUCUUCCAUGAAAAGAGAUUGUGAUUUUAUGGGAUAAAAUUUAUAGUGGUAUCAUCCAUUUUCUACCUAUCAGCAUCAACACACUCAAGUUGCUAACAUACUUACAAAGCCGGUAGUUAUUGUUAGACCUCAAGUAGUUGAUUAAGUUAUUUUCUCUUUGUUAUUUAAUCAGUUGACAGUUAGCAAUAAUUAGUUAUUCAUCCUACCGUAAAAAACAACACAUGUGAAUAAUUAAAUGGCUUCUUGUAUGCAGUUUGGAUGUGUUGCAUGAUGUGGCCACUUCCGGUAGUCCAACAAAUUUGGAGGUGGUGCAUGAUGUGGCUAUGGCCAAUUUAACUAAUCCAACAAACUCGGAGGUGGUGCAUGAUGUGGCCACUUCCACAAAUCCAUCAAACGAGUGAGCGUUUCUUUAAAUAAUGGUUGUUCUUAUAAAUGAUUGAUGUUUUUGUAAAUGAUAGGUGUUCUCGUAAAUGAGUGUUUACUAACUUGUAGGUGUUUCAAAUCUGAAUUGUGUUUGUGAAAUUUACUUGAUUAGUUUAGGAUUGGAUUGACUUGCUUGUGAAAUUGAAUUGACUUGUUUGGUUGUGUUUCUGAACAUAUGGAUGUUUUCUGAUAUGUAGGGACACUAUGGGUCCUUCAAGUCCGAAAAAGGUUGGUGCUUGUCCGUGCACAAUGAAGUAUUUGAAGGAUGGAGAUGUUGGUUUUACGGAUGACAGAUUGGAAAUUUUCAAAGAGAGUCAGUUCUAUCAAUUUCUGCAAGGAAUGUUGAAGGAUGAGAAUCUAAGAGAAAAUUCUUCAAGUCUUACAUUGAAUAUAGGCCAAAGUUUCAAGGAGGAGAAGUUCAUGUUAAAUGCAAAAGGAACUUCAAUAUGUUUAUGUGCCAAGGAGGUGUGGAGUUCCUCUUACACUGAAAAAGUUUACAUUUCCCGAGUUUGUUGAUGAUCUCAAGAUGCUAUACGCAGGUGAUGUAAACAAAAAGGAGAAGAAGAAAAAAACAGAGAAGAUCGGUCAAAAAUUGAAAAAGGGGAAAGGAAAAAAAAGGGCAUUAAGCUCCCAAUGUUUGAAGAAAAUAUGGAAGAAUAUGGCAGUGUGUGAUCAGAGCGAUUAAUUAGGACGGUCCCAGUACAUGAAGCUGAUGCUGCUUUUCAUUGUUGAUCAGUUUUUUAUUCUAACAAACGAAAAAACUUAUGUGAGAAGUAACAUAUUUCAACAUGCAAAUGACUUGAGCAAAUUUGAAGAAAUUAAUUGGGCUGAAGCUAUAUUAGACCUCAUUUAUUCUGCAGCUACAAAAAUUGUUGGUGGAAAAUCAAACUUUGUUGCUUGUACUCCAGUUUUGAUUGAAUUUAAUUUAAUCAAAACUCAAUGUUGAUGUAUCCCACAAAAUGGCAAGAGGUGGUUGAAAGAGAGUUGAAUUUGAUUUGAAUCUAAUUCAUGAUGUGCCUUUGCAUCAACGAACAACGAUUGAGUCUUUAGCUCAUGCCCUAAAGGUUAAUAAGAGUACCUUAUUUAUGCAUAUAAAGUCAGGUGAUAUACGAAGGCAUACAAAUGUUAUGUCGCCUCUCUUAAAAGAAGAAAAUAAGAGAGCAAAGUUACAAUUCAACAUAUCAAUGCUUGAAGCUAGUAGCAUACCACGUAAUCUAAUUUUUGUGGCAAUGUAUAACAUUAUCCAUAUUGAUGAGAAGUGGUUCUAUUUGACAAAAAAAUUGAGAAAUAUUACUUGUUGCCGGAUAAAGAUGAUCUGAUACGUAGUUUCAAAAGCAAAAAUUUUAUUCCAAAAGUUAUGUUUUUUGUUGUCUUAGCUCGUCCGAGGUUUGAUGCUACGGAUAUGUAAAUUUUGAUGGAAAAAUUGGUGGCUUUCUUUUUGUCAUAAAAGAUCAUGCUAAAAGGACUAAUGCUAAUAGAGUUGCGGACACAAUGGAGACUAAACCUAUUAUAUCGGUAAAUAGAGAUAUGAUAAAAUCGUUUUUGAUAGAUAAGUUAUUACUCGCUAUCGAAGAAAAAUGGCCAAGAGAAGAUAUUCAAAUUCCAAUAUUCAUUCAACAAGACAAUGCAAGAACUCACAUUAAUUUAAAUGAUAAAGAAUUUCGGCAAACAACUAGGCUAUGGAAGAUGGAUUUAACAUUCGUUUGAUGUGUCAACCUCCUUAUUCUCCAUAUUUAAAUGUUCUUGAUCUUGGAUUUUUUAGUGCUAUUCAUUCGUUAAAAACAAAAAAAGGUAUCUAAAACGGUUAAUGAGCUUGUUGCCUUCGUAGUGAAGUGAUUUGAAAAAUUUCCACCAACAAUAUCAAAUCAUAUAUUUUUGACAUUACAAAUGUGCAUGAUGGAGAUUAUAAAAGCAAAAGGAUCUCACAAGUACAAUAUUUCACACAUGAAAAAGAAAGUGUUAGAAAGACAAGGACAACUCCCAGUGCAAAUCAAUUGUGAUUCUAGUUUGGUGCAAGAGGUUCUCAAUUUCUUAAACUAGAUUUUAUUCCAAGAAAAAGAAGAAGGAUAACUCCAUUUGCAAAUCACUCUAUUUGAUAUUCCUUUUUGUUCUUCUUAAUGAAAAUAAUUUACGAGACUCUAUUAUAUUUCAUUUUGUGGGAUGAUAACUUUCAAACGAGAAGUCUCCUUUAACAUGUAUCAGUUGCUUUUGAAUAGAAAAUAAAACAUGAAAAGAAAACAUAAACUACACUACCACAACACAUAAUUAAACCAAAUGAAAAUGGACUUCAUUCUUGCAUAGUUGCAAGCAUUUCAUGCACUUUUUGGUAGGAUAGAGCAUACAUAGUUGCACUGAAGUUUAGUAAAAUUUAGAAAGAUAUAUUUUUAAGGAAUCUCUUACUAUUUCCUCUUUUGGAGUUAGAUUUUCUUCAUCUGCAAACUUGUUUACAUCAAAUCCAACAUUAACAGGUAGAUUUAGAUCAAUAUCCCUAACCACUCUAUUCUCUAGUGAAUCAUCAAUCACCACCUCUGAUAUUCGUUGACACAAAUUUGAAGUAGUUGUGUCUUGAGGAUCAAACACAACCUCUUCUUCAAGUGAUUCCUCAACUACUAUCUCCAGUGGUUUUUUUUAUGUCCGCUUCAUGGUCUGUGGCUUUGGCUUUUUGAGUUGUUUCCACUUUUUAUUUUGUGUAAAAAAAACUAAAGGUGUGUGGUUCAUUUAUAGUUGCUUUGUAUGCAUAAUUAGUUGUAUGACAUUGAUAGUAGUUAGUUGUAUGACAUUGAUAGUUAUACAUGAGAGCAUAGGUAACAGUAUACUGAUUUAAUUCAGUUUUGAAAAUCAAAAGUCACAAAAUUUGGUGUGGUUUCCAAUAAGGGUAUAUAUGUGAAAAAGAAAUAUUAAUUGAACUUUGAAUUCCUAAACUUCAAAAUAUUUGAGUUAAAUCACAAGUGCAAAAACUCCAAAAGAUAAAAAAAACAGAGGGAGUACUAUUUAAGAAUAUAUAAUUCAUUGCAUGAAAUUUUUGUCAUUGCUAACUAAGCUCCACAUCAUAAAAUGAAUUUGUGAUAUCUUGUAUACUGUCGGCAUGAUUUUAUAUCAAAUAUAGAUAAAUAUUAUUGCUACAGUGCUACUUCACUACAAAUUGCGUUUGACAAACAUUUUGCUGCCCAAUUUUGUCAUGCUAUGUUGCAUUUAGUAUGAUUUUUUAUUGCUUCUUUUUUUGCAUAAUUUAGACCUUGGCUUAAUUUUUGCAGGUGUAUUAAAAUGUCUUCAUCCAAUUCUAUUCUUACUCCUAUUAGUCAGGGAAAUGAACAUGCGCCAAAUUAACCAGAGCAGAACCCACACGACAUGAUCAAGUAAAAAAAGCUGUUUGCAGAUACUGUAAAAACAAUUUACAAGUGGUGGGUCAAGGACUAGCACUAUCCAUUUAAGAAGACAUAGUGAAGUUUGCAUGCAAAAGAGGCUCCACACGACUACAGAGAAGAAACAAUUUGUUAUUCUUUUCCAACCUUCUAAUCUAGGAAAUCCAUUUAUGAGCCCUGGGGUUAGAUAUUCUAAUGAAACAAUGAGGGAAAUUACUACAACUACUAUAAUGGUGCAUGAGCUCCCUUUUAAUGUGGUUGAGGAUGAAGUUUGGAUGUGAGCCUUUCAAUAUGCAAAUUCAGAUUUUUAGAAAGUAGGUCAGAAAACAGUAAGAAUGGAUUGUUUGAGAAGAAUUUUUAAAGGCUUCGUUGAGAAAUGUUAGCAAGAUUAGUCUAACUACUGAUAUGUGGAGAUCAAGUCAUCAAGUAGCAGAGUACAUGGUUAUCACUGGCCAUUUCAUUGAUGUAGGGUGGAAUUUCCAAAAAAGGGUACUAAGUUUUGUAAAAGUUUAUGCUCAUAAGCGUGAGAUUGAUGUGUUUGAUGCAAUUUUUAAGUAUUUGAAAGCUUGGGGGAAUUAAAACAAGGUUAGAUAGUGAGCAGUAAGCUUUUUUAUUGGAGGGGAAUUGUUUCUUGUUAGAUGUUGUGCACAUAUAUUAAAUUUGUUAGUGCAAGAUGGACUUGGAAAAUUAAGGAUGUCAUUUACAAAGUUCGUGAAAAUGUAAAGUAUAUUAACCACAAUGAUGCAAGAUUGAAGGCUUUUUGUGAUGUCAUUGAACAGAAGGGAGUAAACAAUAGGAUGCUUAUACUUGAUUGCUCAACAAGAUGGAAUUCCAUAUAUCACAUGUUAUCACAUGCAUUAGUAGUUUACGAUUGCAUUUCAAUCUUACAAGGAAAGAGAGCCUCAUUAUGACUAUGUACCUUCAAAUGAAGUUUGGGAUAAAGUUGAGAAAGUUUGUCAAUUCCUUGAAGUGUUUGAUCUUGCCACUCUUAUGAUAUCGGGUAGUGAGUAUUUGACUUCUAAUUUGUAUCUUGCUGAAGUUUGGAGGGUGAAGCAAGUAAUUGAUGAUCCAGAAAAUUAUAUGGAUGCUUUUAUGAGGGAAAUGACACCUCCAUUGAAAUUAAAGUUUAACAAAUAUUGGGGUGAAUACAAUUUGUUGAUGGCUAUUGCUAGUGUUUUGGAUCCCAAGUGCAAAUUUCAUAUUGUUACUGUUGAUAUAUGCUUUCCAAUAAUAUAUAAACUGAAGAAAAUGCUAAAGAUAAUAUAAAGAAGGUUUGAGAUUCAUUGGAGGAAAUUUAUGAUGAGUAUGUGUCUCUAAGCCUACAAGACUCAUCCUCUACUGAAGUUGAUAUUGGUGGAAGUAAUUAUUCAUCUUCUACUUGAUCUCAAUAUUCAGUCAUCAGUGGAUUUGAUCGAGUCAUGAGCAUUGUGCGUGAAAAAGAAGCAGUCCUUGCAAUGAAAUCAGAAUUGCAAACUUGAUGAAGGUGUUUACAUUCCUGAUGGAAAUAAUAGCUCUGUUAGUGCUUUGGAGUGGUGGAUGAACAAUAGCUUAAAAUAUAAGAUCUUGUCAAAGAUGGUUGUUGAUAUUCUAGCAAUUCCUAUCUCAACUGUGGCCUCAGAGUCUACUUUUAGUGUUGGAGGGCGAGUGAUUAAUGAAUUUCGCUCUAGACUGAAUGAAGAAUCUAUAGAAGUACUUAUUUGUGGUGGUGAUUGGUUUCGCCACAAGUACAACUUGAAGAAAAAGUCAAAGGUUAAAACUUUUCUUUUGAAAUUGCAUUUGUUUUAUUUAUAACUUUUGUUAUUUUGAAGUAUUUUCAAUUCAAUUAUAAGUAAUUUUCUUAUUUUGAAGGUGGAUGAACAACCAGAGGAGAUCACCUUGAAGAUUUGAGACAAUGUUAUGUUUAAAGGCUGCUGCAUUUGCUACAUCUUAGUUUUUUGAAUUAAAGUUUGACUUUGUAAUUAUUGUCUGGUAUCUAUUUGAUUCAGAUUUUUGGUUUAAGGCACAUGACCUAUUUGAUUAUGGUUUUAGCCACUGGCUCCUUUAUGGUGUUUUCUCUAGUAUAAGAUAUUUUUCACUGUUAUGUUUUGCAAUUCUAUCAGUGAAUAUGCAAAGAAUUUUCUGAUAGCAGGGUCAAUGGUGCUGGUUUUUAUUUGUGAAUCAUCAUGUUGAGAAAAUUAGUUGUAAGAACUCAAUUUUGACUCUUGGCAAAUGCUUACUUACUGCCCUUCAUUUAUUGAAUAUGAUUUUGACUCUUGUCUAGUGUGUGUUUACAAAAUUAUUAAACUCAUUAGCAUGUCAUUUUUAGAAGCCCCUCAUCAUGCUUUUUAACAUGCCAUCGAUUUGAUUUGAUAAAAUGAUAAAAGAAAUUAUGCUUAUAGCAGAGUUUCUCAUGUAUGUACUGUAAAGUGGAUACAAUUUAAUUUUUAAUCAUUCUUUCUAGCCAAUUGUACAUGUGUCAGUAUGGUGCGUGGUGGACCUUCAUUGUACUUUAUUUCAUUUAAUUUUUCGUUCUUGUUAAUUAGCAGUUUGCUAGCUUGCUCUUAAAAAAUAAAUAAGAAAUUAUACUCACCUUUUUAAUAAAUUUGUCAUUAGCUUGUUUGAGCCUAUUUAGGGGUAGGCCUUUCGGCCUGUUUAGGAACUAGCUUGUUUAGUAAUAGGCUUUGGCCUAUUCCAAAACCUUCAAUAAGAUAGGCUUUUAAAUAGGCUAAUAGGCCAGGCUUCUAAAAAGGCCAGACCAGACCUAAAUAAAAACCUAUGAUAGAUAACAUGCUAGGCUUAUUCUCUAUAUUUAUAAAAUAGGUUAGGCCUAUUUAAGCAAAGUCUGGCCUGACCUGGCCUACUUCCAUCCCAAUUAGUGAAGAAUGCAAAAUAUAUGCGGGUGUAUGUACCAUGAAGGCAAACAGAGGAAGAAAGGAGAAGCAGUGGGGAUGAGAAUAAGAUAUUUAUUAUCAGAGGAAAGAAAUGGGUAGCAUAAGGAUGAACAAUUAUAUCGAAAAAUGAGGAUUAUAACUUUGUUUACCAUUCGAAUGAGGAAGACAGAAGCUGGAUCAAGAAAACGAGAGUCGCAACUUUCGGUAGCAUUCAAAGCAUUGAAAGCAUCCAAUCAUACCUAUGGAAUAAUGGUCUAAGCUCAACUGGGAUGAAGCAACUUGGGGCUAAGGAAGUUAUACUCGAGUUUGAAAAUGAAGAGAAACGAGUUUUGCUUCAGGAGGCUCGUGAUUUUCUAUUUAAGAAGUUCAGUGCUAUUUGCCUUGAUAGUAUUACACAAAGAGGUUCAAGCUACUUGGUGUGGAUCAAAGUGUAGAAAGUACUUGUUCAUGCUUGGAAUCCAGGUUUCUUUCCAGUGGUGUCAAUGCGUUUUGGGGACCUGGUGUGCAUGGACAUAGAUACUGUGAAGAAGCGAAGAUUGGACGAAGCACGACUGUUGGUUAGUAGUCCAAUACCCAUUAUCAAUGACCAAGUAAUGGAUGUGAAGAGGGGUGAAGAUAUAUUCCGAAUCUUCAUUGAGAAAGAUAUCAUUGUGCUAGCAGGCAUAUCCAACAAAUAAAUGGAUUGAAUAUUGGAUUAGUGAGUCCUAGAUCAAAGUUGGAAGAAGAGGGUGAGCACGAAGGGUCAGAUGGUGCAUCAAUUUAUGUUGAUGAAAAUAGGGAUACCAUGAAUGAGAGUGGGUAUGACCAAACGUUUGAGAAGGAUGUUGUGGAAGGGGAAAACAUCACACAACAACUCCAAUCGGAAGGUGAAGGAGGAAAUACGAAGGUUCAAGGGCAGCAAGACGCCAUUGUUGAGAUAGGGGAAUAGACAACCAAGGAAAGAGAUGAAGAUGAGGUGGCAAUAGUUCACCAAAGCAACAAUGAAGUGGCAUCAAACAAACAGUGUACUGCAAACAUUAGUGCACAUGACGUAAGUUCUUGCUAGCUUAGCAACAGGGAUAGCUCCAUAAGUAGUGACGUUUCAGAUUCAAAGAUGGUGUUUUUGAAAAAUUGUUGUAUGGAGCCUAACAAUCUGGAAACAAUAAAUCACGCGAGAAUUAUGGGUGUUGGGAUCGAGGGCACUUUUAAGAAAGAAAGCUCUGGAAAUGUGUCUUUAUCGACAUAUUUAAUUUUCAAAAAGGGAAUGUGGGGGAUUGCAAAUGUGGUCAUGACAAAAAAAGGCACCAAGUAUAACAAAAAAUUUAAGAAUAGAGGGAGAAAUAUCAGCACAGGGAAAGGACAAUUUAGGUGGGCCUCAAGUCCAUUUAAGGGGAAUGGAAGGCGACCUUUUAAAGGAAGUUCAACUAGUAGAUUAAGAGAAUCCAUAAAAGGAUUUAGGGCCGGAGGAUGCAAUUUGGGUCGGGUCAGUGGCUAGGAUGGAUAGAAAAUCGUGGAGUAAUUGAUAAAGAAGAGGUCUUCUAAGACCUUAUUCUAAGAAGAUUCGACAAGAAGAAAAAAGAAAAGAAAAGAGUGUAUCAAAGUUAUACAAAACCAAGAGGGGAAAACGGAAAAGGGGUAACAAGCCAAACAAAAGAAACCUCUAGUAAAUCUCACGUAGAGGUAAUCCAGUAGACUUGGGAGCAAACGAAGAAGAAUUUCUAGAAGAGGAUGAGUUAAUUUCGGCCAGAAACAGAGUAAUCAAGAAUUGAGGAGUGGCACUGGAGAACAUCUACACAAGAGGUUCAAGGAUGUGGACAUUGGGAAAAUUGCUUGGCGUCGUUUUUAGAGGUUCAGAUGAGGAAGUAAUUUCAGAUCUAUCAAGGUUUGUGAUUGGUCUUGAAUUGAAGUUGGCAGUUUUAAGAGUCUGGCAUCCUAUUUGGGUUGUAGUUAUUGGUUGUUUGAAGAUGAAAGAGGGGGGCCUAGAAGUGGCAAUCUCUUCCUAGGGACGACACCUUGCAUCUUAAUGGUAGUGUCUUACUUGAUUGGGUUCCAGGUGUUAGUAGUGGUUUUAGCUUGUUUUCUGUUGGUAGGGCAGUGUUGCUUUCUACUUAUUGAACAAACAAAAUUAGUUUUUUUUUCCAAGCAACUAUUCCACUCUCAAAUAUCCCUUGAUUAAUUGAGUACAUGGUGUAAGGAAUUAGGUGUUUUGGGCAUGUUUUUGUUUCUGAUGUGCAUUUGGACUGUAGCAAAAGUUCCCCUUUUAUCUUGUGUUAUGGGUUUUUAGUCUAUGUGGCGCUUUUAAAAUUUGUUUCUAGUUCAAAUAUAUAUUUGGAGAGGGGUUUGUUAUUUUUACUCACUUAAGAGAGUAUUGUUCUAAAGAUAAUUUGAUAAUAACCAAAUUUUUCUAUUCGGAAAAUAAAAUGUAUAUAGGUGAGAAAAAUGAUCAAGAUAUACAACCCUCCUCAAAAGGGCUCAAAAAAUCAACAAAACCGAAAACAGCCCAACCCAAUAAGGGGAACAACUAGUCAAUACAACAACAACACCAGCAUAAAGCAAAGCCCACUAAGCCAAAAGGUAAGCACCCAAAGACCCAAAAGAUCUAGAAACAAACCCAAACCCUAAAAGAUCUAGAUACAAACCAAAACCCUAAAAAGAAUCCAAGGAACUAUUUCAACUCCCCAAAGAAGACUUACGCACAUUGAUUUGGGUCGCGCCACAAUCUGAUAGAGGGCAACGUCAUCAUUGCAGUCAUACUUCAUGCCCCAUCGCUUCCCAUCAGCACAACACUCCUCGCCCUAGUAAGAACGCCAUAAGGCUCUUAGAACUCCUUCGGCAAAACCAUCAGCUCCCUCCCUGUCGAAUCAGCAAUAGCUUCUGCAUCAACUGCUAAAACAACCCAUUGGAUCUCGACGAGCUCAUUUUUCUUCAUUCAUCUAUUCUUAACUGAAUCCGGAUCCUCUCCAGCCACUUUUCCCUCCAGCUCCCUCCUGCAGUAAUUCUGAUCGUAUGAUUCAUCAAACGGUUCAGAUAAAUCAGGUAAUAAAAGUACUCUAAAUACAUUAUCAGACUAAAUACUACCCGUGAGAUUAAUCUAACGGGAGAAAUAAAAUGGGGGUUUAUUCACGGGGGAAACUCUCGUUGUGUAGCUGCCAUCAAGCACUCACCCCACCAUCUAUACUUCUCCCUUCCUCGUUUCUUGGUCUGGUGAUUCAAAUCCAGUUGCACGCACUUUGGGUUUCUUUGUAACCACAUGGAGAGGAUUUGAAUUGUCACCCUUAACCUCCCUUCAAUUCUGAUUUAAUUGACUCAAUUUUCCUGAACUCACAAAUACCAGUAUCAAUUCAAUACAAAUACCAACUUGCCCAAUUUGCUUAGAUUGACUAACCUUCUUCUGAUUAAUACCAAAUCUGCUCAAGGGUGCCUUCUGUUCCCACCACCGUGAACUCGCCUCAACGCAUGGUGGGUGUGGUGAGGGAUGGUUUCAGAGAAAUUGAUGGAGCGCACAACCCUUAACGGUGAAGGACCAGAACAGACUCUGAGAGCGAGAACGAGUCUCAUUGGAUUUUUUCUCUGAUUAAAUUGUAUCUAAUUUUGACCGUUAGAUUAAUCUCACAGUUGUGAUUAAUUCCCAUGAUAUAAUUAUUAUAAUCUAAUUACCUGAUUUAUCUGAACCGUUGGAUGAAUCCAUUGGUCAGAAUUACUACAGGAGGGGCAAGAGGUUAGAGGCUGCAGGAGAGGAUCCAGAUUCAUUCUUAACUUGCUUAGGUCUUCCCAUAACACCACAGGUAUACAAUCACCUGAUCCCGAAGUACGCUAGCAACCUCAGAAUGAGAGACUACAACAGGCAAAGGAUCAACACAAGACAUUAUAUAUUAAUAAUUUAUCCAUUCUCACUUAAAUGCAGGGCCCCACUUAACUUGUUAUAAUUUAUUAAAAAAAUCCAAGAUUAGAGAAAUAAAUAAUAUAAAAUGUGUAUACUAAUUAAUCUCUCUGUAAUUCGAUGAUUUAAUUUAGUGAUUAUGUUAGUUUAUUGAGGUGGUUUAAAUCAAGGCUUAGUUAAUUAGUGAUGUAGAUAAAAGCCACAUGAGAUUCAUAAACAUGUCAUGUUAGCUCUAGUCUGUCUAAACUCUAAAAUGGUCACCUGAGCCACGCCCUCAACUAAGGAUCAAAGUAAACAUUUCCCUAAAGGCAGAGACAAAAAAACAAAGUUUGUUUUAUUAGGGACGAAAAUUGGAUUAAGUAUCAAAUACAUAGAUCAAUUUGAUAGCUAACCCUUUAAAUGAUUUUGACUAUAUAUAGAUAAUAUGGCUUCAAUGAUAGUAUGUGAAUUUCAUUAAUGAGAAAUAGAGAGAAUAUUGAAAAUAUACUCAAGAGAUUAUUUUUUCUUGGGAAAGCUGUUGAGAGAGUAUAAUGAGUUCAAUAAAAGACUUAAGUUUAAUUAUAUAACAGAUAAUAGAUCUAAUUAAAAAAAUAAUAGAAUCACAUACACUAAAAAGAACAUGCAUAUCUCACAAGUUAGCAAGGAUAUUCAUAGUUCAUGAUUUAAAUUAAAUAAACUGACUUUGUUCAUGAAAGAGAAUAUAUAUCAUGUUGAAUCAGUAUGCAUCACCAAAUAUGUGACAUGCAUGUGAAAUAAUGAGCCUAACAUAACUAAAUUAAUUUCUCUUACCAAAUGAGAUUGUCUAAACGACUCAUGAUAAAGUUUGGGUUAAAUAACUCAUCAUCCAAUCACAUUGAAGAUAAAUGAGUUGGAAAUAAAUUAAUAAAUAAAAUAUAGAAAUUUCAACUCACUUAGACAACCCUUACCAAAUUAAAGUCCACCCUAGAUAGCUAGUACCAAAAUUAAACCAGCGGGCAUGUGCAGCAGUACUGACACAAAUUUAAUCUGAAACAUUGACAGAACAAUACCAUGGAAAUACCUGAUUGAGGAUGCUGUAAUGAAGUGAAGAAACCUUUAUUGCUGUGUGUACACUUUUGGUAACCAAGAAUGCGAAUUUUAACUUUGUCAUGCAAAGCCAUAGCUCAGGGAAGGAAUUAAGUUAAAAGUUAAUUUUAGACAUAUCACACAAAUAUUUUUUAUAAAGGGUAAGAUUGUAGGACAACCCUUAAAAGCUAUCUCAAGAUUUGAUAAUUGUUCUUCUACCCUUUAUAAAAAUUACCUAUAUCAUAUCUCUAGUCAAUGUAAAUUAGAUUUCAAAGAGACACCCCAACUCGGCCUCACCCAGAAUGAUGAUGGACCUCAGCGUUACCCCUGAGAUGAGACCUUACCAAAGAUUCUGACCAGUAUUUUUUUAUACAUUACUUGUGUGUCAAAUUGUUUAUAUAAAGUAUAAACCACCGUUUCCAGUGAAUAAAAUAAAAUACACCAAUAUCUAAGAUCAAUGAUCAUUGAGCAAUUAUUUUCAACAACAACAAAAGGGUCAAAUAGAUCAGUUUUUUUGUCUACACUGACAUUAGUUAGUUGUAUAGGGCAGUAUACAGAGUCUCGUACGCCCUCCAUCUUUCCAUUUCGCUAUGCAAUCAACUUUGUGCUGAAAACUAAUGAUAUGUUUGCAUUUAGGUUAGAAAAUUGAGAUGUUAACUUUUGACAAAGCAUAGUCUAAAUUUUAAAAGUGAGCAAAAAUUAAGGUAUGAAUUAUUUUAAUGAAUCGUUGUUCUUAUUCAUUGUUGAGUGUCGUUUCAAUAGUCGGAAAAACUGCCCCUCCCGGCACCGGUCCACAAACAACUAAUUGUCGACUAUACAUGACCUUGGCUUCAAAUCAUUGGCCGUCAUCUAAGCAAUAACAGUCCAAGUACGAAUAACCUUACACGAAGGCGAAGAGUUGCAAACACGACGUACAAUCCGACCAAUAGGGUAACCCACACUUAUGUAUCUCACUUCAAAAUAAUAAACCCCCUCUUUUAUCUGACUAGAUUUCGCUACAUUGACUAUGUCCCUCUCCAUCUGAUUGUGUCCCCUAAAUCCGACUGCAUCCUCAUAACCAUCAUACUAGACCGACGACACAAGCUAGUGACGCAUCCCCAUCAUCCAUGUCUCAUUCAAAGUUAACGAGCCUCUAAUCAAGGAAGCGUGUGUAGCAUUCGAAACCCGAGCUCAGUACAUACACGCAUCCUUACCCGUUCGAUCAAACAACAUGUGAGAAUAUCCAACGACUCUCCUUGUAAACUACACCUUGUACUCAUCAAUGACGCCUCAAACCUCAGACUCCUCAAAAUCCAACCCUAUAAAAGGCGGGUCUUAGAAAACUUAAGAUACACACUUUUCGUUGUAUUUCUCUCUUCCCUGUCUCUUCCAUAUUCUAACUAGAGCGUUCAAAUCUCUACAUAAGUACCUCAACCGACAUACUGACUCAGCGAUAGAGCAACUUGCAUUUCCUCGAAGUAGCAUAAAUAUCUAGAAGCCCGUCGCUUUCCCCUUCAAUUAGCAUUUUCUGACUUAUUUGACCUUGACUCGACUGUCUAAAAAAUGCAUAAUUGAAUGUCUAAAAAAUGCAUAUAUAAUUGAAGAUCAAAUUAUUCCAACCAAUCAAAAUAGAUCAUAUUAUUACAUUAAAAAAAACUUGCAAUUGAUUGACCAUAUUCAAUAAUUCAAACAUAAAAAAGAAAAAAGGAUUAGGAGAGGGUUGGUCAGUGGGUUGGGGGAGAGAGGGAAAGAAGAAGGGGAAGGUAAGGUAAGUGGGGUGCCCUGCAGCGGCGCACAUGGGAUAGGGUUUGACCCUUAAGCAGCACACUCACAUGGCCUCUUUUGUGGACCCUCACACCUUCUUCAACAUCUUGCUAAUGAAUCUCACCACAUGCCUCUGUUUACGCUUUGGACCCACUCACUUUCCACCCUUUCCCUCUCAAUCCCAUAUUAGGAAGGGUUGGGGUAAAAGGGCAUGAGGAAAAACAGUUGUCACGCCAUUUUUGGUAUACCCAUAUCGUGCAUGAUGUUAGCUAAGAAUCCUUAUAAUUCCCUCUUCUUCAUGAAAUUUCUUAUUUCAAUAUGACCUAUUGACCUACCAUUUCCCAUUCACAUGACAUAAUCAUACUCAACAAGUGAUACAUCCAUGUAUACUUUAUUUUACUUAAGGAUAUAUAAAUAUAAAUAUAAAUAGAUAAAAUGCAUGUUUAGAAAUUCAUACAAAAAGUUAUUGUAAAUGUAAAUUAUGAUGGAUAGAUGUAAAAGUUACAAAAAAAAUUACUGCUAUUCACCAUGAUUUUAACAUUAUUGUAAUUUUCAAACAAAUUUUUAAAUUUGUCUAAGUUUAUGAUCAAGAAAAUAUAAAACCAUUAUUAUUCAACUCAAACUCUUUCUCUUAAUGAAAUGUUACAUGUGUGUUUGUAUUUCUCAGCAGAGUACUCAUUUUUUUAUGCUAUGUUUGGUUGGAGGGAGGGGAAAGGAAAUGGAAAGAAAACACGGAAAUCGAUGAGUGAAUUUGGAAUAAGGUUUAAUCCAAGUUCACUCCUCGAUUUCCGUGUUUUCUUUCUCUUUCUUUUCCCCUCCCUCAAACCAAACAAAGCAUUAGAGUAAAAGAGAAUAUAAUCAUAUAGAGAAAGAUCUUGAGUUUUCCGCAGAGAUCUUGUCUAACCUAAAACAUGAAAAAACAAUUUAAUUGCACACUCCAAAAAUAUUAUCCUUGGUUAAUUAAAACAUGGCAAAAAAUUAGUCAAAUCUUGGAUUAACUUGAAGCAUAUAUGCAUGUGUGAUAUUGAAUAUCUUCUUAAAACUAUAACAAAUCUGUAGUUAAGUACCACUUGGGUGCAGCCAACUGAUUGGAAUAUGGAUAACGGAUUUGAGUUUAGAAACCAUACAUUUAAGUGGAUGUGUUUUAUAAAAAUAUAUAUACAUGUUGCUGUGUUGGAUUGUAUCUAAUAUACAGAAGAUUCUCUGUGUGGCAUGAUAAUUACUCGUAUUGUCUCUUAAUCAUGAAGUUGAGAGUUCAAACUAUCUAUGCUAGUUGAAGCGAUGCUAUUUACUAUUUUGUGUGAGUAGUGCAACAUGAUGAUUAGUCAGUGCUAGUGCUACCGGUGGUUGAUUCCAAGGCGCACCACACAAAAAGAAGAUUUUUUUCUCUAUAAUCUCUGAAGUGCAAUCAUGAUUUGUUUUGCUUGAUUUUAUGUUAAUGGACACGAUUACUAACUAAAUGAUUCCGCGUGACAAGUUGUCCCUGAAGAUCACAGUGAUCGAUUCCACAAAUAAGCUAAGCUAGGGAAAUCUUAGACACAAUCUUCCUUUUCUUUUAUAUAUUUUACUUCCUAUCCAAUUUGGUUUGCCCCAAGUUGAAGGUGAGGGCAGUUGGGGGUCAACACUCAACAUGUGUUCGUGCAAUUCUGAGGCAACAACUCACUGAUUAGUACCCCAAAUCUUGUACGUAUAUGCACAUUGUAAAAAUAAACAGUAAAGUGAUUCUAGAUAUAGAAGUCUGAUAUACUGUGUAAAUUAUAAUUCACAAGUGUUUAGAAUUAUAUGUACAGGCUACACGCCAACCUGAGGUGUAGUUGAUGUGUUUCUGGGCCACAGAACAUGAAUCUGAACUCCAUGCGGUUCUUAUUUCUUAAUAAGUGGCAUGUCCUCCUUCAGAAAUAACUACCACAUUAAACAAUUACUCACAUCCAUGGAUGUAAAAUUUGUUAGCCUUAAUGAUAUAAGCAACCGUUUUACAAUAAAAAAUCUCUUUGUCGUCAUUGAAAGUUAACAAUAAUUAUCGUCAUUUUCAAUAAAUAAUUCUCUUUGUCAAGAGAAGUUGCUCUCGUUCCACUGCAGUAAUUUUAGUUUACAAUUACCAGCUUCAGAAUGGGUUCAUAUAUGUAUUGUAAGUUCUUUUUCCCUAGGUGUACACGUAGGAGUCCACUGGACUCGGGAAGUGAACACCUUGAGUUAUACAGAUUUUAUUGACCGAUCCUAGGAUUAUAUAUUCAUGGAUCCAAGACCGACAAUUUCUGGUUCUAAUUCCAAAGAUGAAUUGCGGAGGUUCAUCUUGCAAACGGUGAACUUUGUCUGACGAAGAACCCCAUUAUAUAUGCAAUGCAUGCACAUCUAUAUAAUCCUACAAAUUAAGGAACCGUUAUUUAAUAAUUAGACCUUUAUAGUUUUGAUUCCUAAGAUUAAGGAACUGUUGCAUGCUACGCAGCACAGGCCUAUAAGCCAUUGUAAUGUGAUUUUUAAGAUUAUUACUAAAACUAUUGUAAAUAGAUUGAAACUUAUUUUGCCUGAUUUGAUAUGUAAUACUCAGAGUGCUUUUGAUCCAGGCCGUUUAAUAACGAAUAAUAUAUUGAUUGUGUAUGAGUGUUUUCAUUAUAUAAAGAAGAAAAUUUCUGGCCGUAAUGGCAUGAUGGCCCUCAAACUUGAUAUGUCGAAGGCAUAUGAUCGAGUUGAGUGGCAUUUCUAACAAGCUGGUUUGACUUAGAUGGGGUUCCCUGUUUAUUGGGUUGAGCUUAUUAUGAAUUGUGUCUCCACUGUGGAGUUUUCUAUUAUGCUUAAUGGUAAUCCUCAGCCGGUUUUUACCCCGUAGAGAGGUCUCAGGCAGGGAGAUCCGUUGUCCCCAUACUUGUUUAUCAUUUGUGGGGAGGUGUUCUCAGCCCUUAUACAAAAAGCUAUCUCUUCCAAUUCCCUUCAUGGGCUAAAAAUUGCGUGUCAUGCGCCAAUUAUGUCUCAUCUUUUGUUUGCAGAUGAUAAUAUCCUCUUUGCUCGCGCUGCCGACCAGGAGGCGGAGAUGGUAAAGCCAUCCUCACCACCUAUGAGCGUGCUUCAGGACAAAUGAUUAAUCUGGAUAAGUCUAUGCUUUCAGUUAGCCGAAAUGUGCCUCAGAACCGUCUUUAUGAGCUUAAACAGCUUUUGAGAGUUAAGGUUGUAGAAAGCUUUGACAGAUAUUUGGGUUUACCCACUAUCAAUGGUAAGUCUAAAUCUCAUAUUUUUCAAUUUGUUAAGAGUCGAGUUUGGAAAAAGCUUAAAGGUUGGAAAGAGGGGUCUCUCUGUCUAGGGCUGGUAGAGAAGUUUUAAUUAAAUCUGUUGCGCAGGCUAUUCCUUCUUAUGCUAUGUCUUGUUUUAUGCUUCCUAAUGGCCUUUGUGCAGAUAUUGAGGGCAUGAUCUCCAGGUUUUACUGGGGUGGAAAUGUAUCAAAGAGAGGUCUCCACUUGUCUAGUUGGAGCAAAUUGUGCCGGCCAAAGUGUGAGGGUGGUCUUGGUUUCCGCAGUUUCCAUGCUUUUAACACUGCCUUGAAUUAGUUGCCAAGAAUUGGUGGCGGAUUUAUUUAUUCCCACCUUGUCUCUUUGUUUGCUCAGAUCUUUAAAGGAGUCUAUUUUCCUAAUGGGUCAAUUAUUGAUGCUAAAAAAGGGUGGCGCCCAAGCUAUGCUUGGUUGAGUAUUUGGAGGACCAAAUGGGUUUUUGAGCGUAGUGGGCGUUGGAUAAUUGGCGAUGGUCGCUUGGUGAAUGUUCGCAGUGACAAUUGGCUACCUCAUGGGUGUCCUAUUAUUUAUAGUGAGGAUCUAAUGAAUGAGCUGAAUAUUCAAACUGUGUCUGAUUUAUUGACAAAUUAUGGCAGGGAAUGGAAUAUACAAUUGAUUGAAUAUAUUUUUUGUCCUAACACUGCUUUGCAGAUUUUCUCCCUCCCUCUAUUUGUGCAUGGAAGUGUAGUAGAUACUCUUUUCUAGCCAGGUACUGUGACCGGUAUGUAUACAUCAAAGUUUGCCUAUGCUUUUAUAAUGGACCAUGAUGCUCAGGUAGUUCCUUCCGUUUCUUUGGCGGCUUCCCCCUUACCUGCGAAGCUUUGGAAUAUUUUCUGGAAAUCUCUUGCUCUCCCACAAUGCAAGGAGUUAUCUUGGCGAGCUUGUUGCUCUUUCUUGCCCGUCCGUGAUGCGCUUCGGCGUAGAGCAUGGAUGUGGACCCUUUGUGCCCCUUGUGUGGUUUGGAGGACGAAAUUGUCUCUCAUCCUUUGAUGAACUGCCCUGUGACUAGAGGUUUUUGGUUUUCCCAUCCUCUUGCACUGAGAUUGGAUAAUUUUGCUACUGGGUGUAAGACCCAAGUUUUUAAGCUUAAAAUAAGUGGAAGAGAUCUCCAUUUACGAUUAGGCUUGAAGUAUCGUGAAGGAAAAACCUGAACAAGAGUUUAUCGGAAGGAAUAAAUUUAUGAAGGAGAAAGUUCAGGAACAGUCUAAGAAUCGUAUCGAAGUCGAUAAAAGUUAUAGCACGAUCGAUAUACACUUAAACUUAGGGCAAGAGCGCUAGAAUUAGCUGAUUUCCACUUAAAGACACGAUGGAAACUAAUUCCAAAAAUCUUGAGAGAAAUGUUAGAAUUUCUCUUAAUCCUUAUAUGACCAUCGUUUCGAGGCGAAACUAUAGGAUCUACGAACGUCCGAUUCCAAUCAUCGGAAGUUUGCCGAAACUGAAACCCUGGUAUUUCAAAACCCUAGAAUCAACCGACAAUGAAGACUUUUUCUAUUCAGAGCUUCAAAUGAAGAUUCCACACGCGUACACCCAUUUCUCUUGAUGAUUUCAAUCUUUCUUUGGAAGGAAGUUUUCUAUUCCGACAUUCAAUGCAAAAAGUAACUUAUCGGGUAAAAUAGUUUUACACCGACUUUGCAUUAGUCACCUAAAAUACCAGGAAACCUCUUUUGAGUUUUAGAUUUAUGUCGCCAAAACCUAUCUUAGAAUUCACGGAGAAUGAAGCCGGAAAAAUCGGAAUCGCGAAACUUUCAUUUUCCCGCGUUUUUCCAUCCUCUAUAUAGCAAGCCUCGAAAACCAAAAAUCAUACUGAUAUUUCUUUGAAGAAUUAGAAGAUUCAGCGGGGUGAAUAUCGUGUCUAAAAUACGUUGGAAUCAGUAGGAAGAAAUCGGGAUCGCUUUUAUAUUUUUAUCUUAACUCUAUGAGUUAAAUCCUCCGAUAUCUAAACAAAACUGUACCGGUUUACAAAAUAUCUAUUCAUUCUUAUCCAAUCUCUGAUAAAUAUCUAUUCAACCUUAUCCAAUCUUUAAUAAAUAUAUGUUCAUACUUAUCCAAUCUUGAUAAAUAUCUAUUCAUACUUAUCCGAUCUUUGAUAAAUAUCUUCCAUUUCAUUCCCUAUAAAUAUGUGAAGCUUGAAACAAAAACCUCACAAACACACACACACAACCCGCGGCUUGGAGAGAAGAAGGAGGAGGAGAGCUUUUCGUCGAUUCUUGUCUGAUCGUCCCACAGUUCGUUGCUACGCGUAGGCCUCAAGGUACUGACGCUUUUCCUUACUUCUGAUCGUAAAUUCUGCCGCUUUUCUCUAUACUUUUCUGUACUCUUAGUUUUGAGGUUUUUGCAAAACUAUCUAGAUAACUUCAUCUUUUUAUCUAAAUUUAUUCCCUGCGUGCCCCUGAGCAUGUUUAGCGGAUUACAUUUUGCUGAUUCUCGCCGAAUUGCUGCCGAGUUUCAAUUCUGCUCAUAAUACCCAUUUUUGGCUAAAGUUCCAACCUUUGGGCUUAAAACCCUCGACUGAGCUUAGCAAUAGUAAGAUUAGUCGUCAUAAUCGUCGUAAGUAUCAACCCCAUCUAAUUUGUUUUUCGAAACUCUGAUUUUGAAAUUCUGAGCUGAAAAUAAUGACCAAAAUACCCCUGCGACAGUUUUCGAUCCGAUAAUUUUUCCGAGUUUAGAUUAACCUUAGUUACGACUAAUGAUAACCUAGGAACCAAGUUUGAUCGAAGAAAAAUCGACACACACAAUUACCAUGUGUGGCCGGGAGCUACCCUAGGAGGAGGAAGAAAAUUUCUUUUUCAAAAACUUGUUCUUUCGCGCUAGAUUAUCGUACCUCGGAGUAUAUGCUACUUCGUGUAACCUUAGUGAGUAUUGAUUGCUGAGUUUCGGUUAGAUUCUGAGGGAAUUCUGUGGUUUUUACUCUAAAGGUUAUUUUGAGGAAUUUCCUGAAGAACAAGGAGCUGAUUGUGAAGGAGCGUUUGAAGAGAACUCUGGAAAUUGGCUAAGGUGAGGGCUACUCACUGAAUACUAGAUAAUGCUUUAGGUGUCGACGAAUUCGACUUGAUUUAUUGUUUAUGCACUUAUUUGUGUUUGACUGAGAAAUGUUUUCUGAGGCUUCGGCUGACAAUGUAGAUUAUUCAUCUACUGACUGUUUCUUGAGUUUGAAUCAUAUGCUAUGUGCUAAAUGGUUAAUUUAGGAUGUGUGAUAUCUGCUCUAUAUGCUAAGUGCUACAUGGUUAAUCUAGGAUGUGUUAAUAUAUGUGCUAUGAUUGUUGGACUGUGCUAAUUUAACUAUGCCAUUACACCUAUAUCUGUUAUGCUUCAGAGUGAGGAUAACGGGCAUGUCAUGCCGAUUUUAUUUUGAGAUUUUGGGGAAGUUGAUGGGACGGACCGAGGUUCGUACCCUAUUAUUGUUUUAGUGGAUCGAGACCUUCUCAAAGGAAAAUUGAUUUUGAAAAUGAUAUUGGAAAAACCCCAUUUGAAUUCACGUAAAAACUUGGGUUGUUCUGUCUAAGGCAAGAAGGGCUUUUAAUGAGGCAUUGUGCCCGGCCAGCUUACCUGGGAACUUCUCGGGCCAUUACUUGGGGGAUGAUGGACCUUUUGUUUUGAGACCUUCUCCAGGGAAUCAUUGGAAUUAUGGGAUCUUUGAAACUAAUAGGAUUAGAGACGAAACUUAAACAAUUUCAUAAUGAACCUCCAUAAUGUAUUAAACAACCUCAAAACCCUUAAUAUAAUGAUAAAAGACUCAGACGAAAGUUUAGGGCUUGAACAUUAAGUUUUGAAAAUGAGAAGUGUCGUCGAGUCCUAGAGUUGAGAAAACUAAUAAGUUUCUGAGUAUGUUGAUACUCCUUCGCUCUUUGAGUAGUUUGUUUAGCCAUCCAAGGGAUGAGCCGAGAAGCUUCACUGAGGCGUGAGACCUUGUGAAAGCGUGAAUCUUCACUGAGGCGUGAGACCUUGUGAAAAGCAUGGAUCUUCACUGAGGCGUGAGACCUCGUGAACAGCAUGAAACUUCAUUGAAGCGUAAGACUUCGUGCAAGUGUGUAAAUUCACUGGGGCGUGAGACCCCGUGAAAGCAUAAAACUUCACUGUAGCGUGAGACUUUGUGAAUGUGUAAGACUCCACUGAAGCGUGAGACUUCGUUAGAGCAUUGAUGACUCGAAGAGUUAUCGUGAGUGGUUGCACUCAUUUUUACGAUUAAUUGUAUUUUGUCGCAGAAUCGACUUUUACCUUAGGGUAUUCUUUUUAGAGACAAAUAAGUUAGUUAGAACACGUGGCGACGUGUCGAGUGAGGUCGGAGACGUUGUUUGACUAAUCACUUUGCAUUCAUGCACACAUUUUGAGGUUAAUACACGGCGUGAUACCGGAACUCGGUGGAUUCCAAAAUGUUCAUAAGACCCGGAUUUCCAUAUAAGAACACUGCGGUGAUUCUUAGUAGCAGACGGAAAUGGCAGACCUUCGGGUUCACUGCUGAUCUGACUACACUUUGUGUGGUGUAAGAGACACGCGAGCGGAAAUGGUCCCACCGUUGCUGGUGCUAGGAUUGACUCGUUGAUGCCCAUCCGUUCCGGAAUGCAUUUGUUAACCAGCAUUGCAUUUCAUGCAACAUGCAUACUGACUUAGUUGCUGAGUGUGAUUGAUAAUUGUUAAUCUUAUCUGAUGCAUGUUAAUUGUUAUUACUGUCUUUUAUAUUCAUUGUGAAAUAUACAACCCUAGGAUGCUAUCCCUAACUUAUAAGCCUAAGUAAGCUAUCUAUAUCUGUAUCUAUUGGAUUUAUUAUUUACAUAAUUCUUUGGAGUUGACCCUCGCGUCUUCUGUGUGUGCUUUGGCGGACAAACGCCCUUUGUCAGAUGUCUAUGGCGGACUGAUUCACGAUGGUUCACCCUUCGGGGGGAACUAGGUUCGAGAUGCCGGGAUAGGAGCGCAUCGCGGUAGCGAGAGGAGAACGGAUGGUGUACAUAGACUUGGUCGUUCUGGAUUCAGAUUCGGACGACGAUCACGCUAGUAUGUAGGUUUUAGUGCUGGCGUGAGCUCCUCGAGAUGGGAUUAGUGUAGGAGUAGAGUCUUAGCUCUGACCGUUAUGUUUUCUUUUGGGAACAGGGUAGUUUCCCACCUAUAGCUUUUUGUGUGGUUCCUUUACGGGAAUCACAGAGAGUUGGUUGGACUUAGGAGGUCUUGUUUUAGGCCGUUUGGGCUAACUCAUUCUCAUUUUUGAGGGAUAGUGUUGCGAACACUUGACCUUUCUUUUGGUUUGGUACUACAGCGGGGGCUGUAUUUAUCGUAUAUUAGUUCGGAUAUCCUUUGUUGUAGAGUUUCUAUUUCUUCCAGUCUUUGGUUCUAUUAUCGAAAACAAAAAUAUUCACGUUUUUCCGCUUUAAUUUCUUUUUGGUUACUAAAGUGACGCCACCGAAAUCGGGGUGUUACACUGGGACUGAGUUUCUUUCGCAGUUUCUUAAUAAUGCAGAUUCGAAAGCAGUGCGGUUGUGGCAAACCGAUGCAUACACCCUUUGGGAAGCCCGUAACAGGGUUUUGUUUCAGGGGCGAGACUUUGAUUAUGCUGAUGUCUUGCGGCGUACAACGAUGUUGGACGUGGUGGCAAGCUCUAUGACAUUCCCCACACAACCAGUGUUGAAGAAGAAGGAUACGACGUGGUCCAGGUCGACUCGUGGAGUGUUUAAGAUCAACUUUGAUGGCUCUUGGACUCAACAGGCAGAUUCAGGUCUGGGCAUGGUAGCGCGCAAUCAUGAAGGGUUGGUGAUGACCCGGGAUUUAAGGCUAUUUUUCUAGUUUAUUUGCAUGCAUUUUAAUGUAUUAUUUAAAAUAUUUUAAUCAUUUUAGGACACUCUAGGCCUAUUUCAUGCAUUUUAAUAUUUUUAUUUAGUUUUAGUAUUUUUCUAUAUUUUAUAUUAUUUUUCUAGAUUUUAUUAGGAUUUAAAUUAGCUUUAUAUUUUGUUUAAUUAUUAUUAGGAUUUAUUUACUUUAAUUUAGGAUUAGAUAAGUUUAUUUUUAUUUUGUUAGUUUUUAUCUAUCUUUAAUUAGGACUUUUUAAAUUAUAGAUUUGAUUAGAAUUUAGUUGGUUUAUUUUGAGAUUUUAUCUUAUUUUACCUUAUUUUUAUUUAAUUUAAUUUCUGGAAAAAUCAGGAAAAGAGAGCUGAUACUGCGCUGAGGGUCCACUGUAAUUACCAUGCACGUGCGGAGAUCGGAUGGCUGCAGCAUAAUUCCAUCCACGUGUCGUGAUCAGGCCUGAGGUCCACCACAAGAUAAUGAGUUGUGAAGCGCUAGAUUCCACCCUUAUAAUGUCUCCACCAAUUGCAAGGUGACACGUGGCAGCAUCAAAAGACAAGGAUUUUUGCUUUUUCCAAGCCUGGGCCACGCGAUUGAAUGAAACGGAAAAGCACAGUAUUAGGGAUAUAUAUAUAUUUGCAAGAUAUAUAAUAUCAAGGGGGACGUGAAAUUGGAGGGGAAUAUUAGAUAGCAGCUUUUGAGCCUUUUCCUGGAGUUAACCCUAGCAUUAAAGCUUUUUGAAAAACCUUUAUUUUUCUCAAUAAAUUAUUUGAUCAUGAAAGUCAUGCUUGGCUAAACCUCCGUAGGUACUUGGGGUGUCUGGUUUGACUCUUUUGAUCUUAUGUUUUGAUAUACUUUUUAGACUCAUGAAUCCUAUUUUUAUUUAUGAAUUUCUCAUCUUUUAUCUAUGAAUCUUUAUGCAUGAAGAUUAACUUUGCUAUUUUGUAUGCGAUUGAGAAAUCGGUAGAAAAUAGGGAUUCGGUGAGGAAUUGAUUAGGAACGCCUACGCCUUAGAGAUAAGGGUAACUUCUAAUUGUGUUGGCUAGUAACUAAUUACUUUAAUUCUCCAAUUGAAUUCGUCUAGGAACUAAGAGAUUAGUGUUAGCAGUGUAAUUGGAAGUUCUGCGUAGUUAAGAGAUUAUCAAGUAGAAACUUAGGCAAGCACCAUAAAUAAGUUAGAUAAUUCAUGAGUUAAUUAGUCUAUUAAGAACAUAAGUGAGAUUGAUGAAAUCCUACCUCAGGUACUUCCCCUUUUGAUUGCUCUCAAUACUACGUACUUGCUUUUCACUGAAUUUUACAACUUUGAAUUAAGUUCUUUUUCAACAAUUAUUCAACCCAAACCUUUUUACUUAGUCUUUUUAGUUAUUUAAUUGGUGAAAUUGAUUUGGACAACCGCAAUCCUUGAGAUCGAUAUUUUAUUACUACUUAACGAAUAGGUACACUUGCCUAGGAGUUAUCAAGUUUUUGGCGCCGUUGCCGGGGAUUGCGCUUUAGUCUAGAAUAAUAGAACCUAUUUCUUACUUUUAAGAUUUUACUAUAUUUUUAUUUUUAUUUUUGCUUUUAUUGUGCUGGUGUUACUAACAUUUGUUUGCUAGUGUAUGCGAGGUACCGUUGAUCGUAAUUCCCUUCUUUUUGAUCCUGAGAUCGAGAAGACUGCUCGGAAGAAUCGAGCUCAACAGAGAAAGCAAAAACAAGCAAAAACAAUGGCUGAGACACCGGAACAGAUUGAGGCGAGGAUUCGAGCUGAAUUUGAAGGGCGAUAUGAUGCAGAUUAUGAAGCCCGGAGAAUUCAGCGAGACAGAGAGUUAGAAGAACAGAAUGCCAGGAGAUCCAUUAGGGAGAUAACUACCCUUGACAUAAGCUUUGAAUUUGAGGGAAGUAUUGUUCCACCUACUGAUGUUCCAGAAAAUUUCCAUGUGCCAACUCACUUCAUGCACCUAGUGAGCCAACACCAAUUUGGAGGGAGUAUACUCGAAGAUUCAUAUGCUCAUAUGGCUACAUUCACAGAGCAGUGCACCCCAUUGAAGAAACAGGGAAUCACUCUAGACACAGUAAGGUUGAUGUUGUUUCCCUUUUCCUUAAGGGAUUCUGCUGCAACUUGGUUGAGGUCUCAACCUUCACACAGUAUUGUAUCAUGGGAUGACCUAGCCAAGAAAUUUACGUCAGAGUUUUUUUCAGCAACCCGCACGAGGAAGUUAAAGCAAGAGAUCAACUCCUUUCUCCAGAUGGAUCAAGAGAACUUAUAUGAGGCAUGGGAACGGUUCAAUGAGCUUCUAUGAAAAUGCCCAAGCCAUAAUAUUUCUCUUACUGAUCAGGUAGUAAUUUUUUAUACCGCAUUGAAUGACAAUACCAGAGACAAAUUAGAUACUGCAGCUCCAGGUGGAGCUUUUGAUGUGUUGCCCACUAGUGAAGCCUUAGAGAUAAUUAAUAAUCUGCCAGCCAGAGCUAUGCAUUCCAACAACGACAGGCAGAACAGAAAAAGUGUUCAAGAAAUAGAGACAUAUGAUGCCGUUCUAGCCUCAAAUAAGAAGUUGUCUCAGAAAAUGGAUGCCAUAGUGAAGCGUUUGGAUGACUGCCAUGUGGGCAAUGAUGAUGCAAAAUUCGAUGAGGAGGUAAAAAUACUUACUAACCCCCAAAAUAAUCCAUAUUCCAAUACUUAUAAUGCAGGAUGGAGGAAUCACCCCAACUUCUCUUGGGGAGGGCAAAAUAAGUCAACUCAAUCAGGCGAUCAAAGACAAUAUUCCAACUAGCGGGGUCAUUAUCAGGAACAAAGGCAGCCACCUCAACAAGAUGAAGGAACUGGAAAGAAGAACUUGGAAGACAUUAUGGGGGAAUUAGCUCAAACUACCAAGAGUUUCAUCAAUGAAUCUCGCAAUAAUUUCAAGAACCACGAGGCUUCAAUCAAAAAUUUGGAGAACCAGGUUGGUCAAAUCUCAAAACAACUCGCCGAAAGACCUCUAGGUAUGUUUCCUAGCAACACUGUGCCUAACCCCAAGGAAAAUAUUUCUGUUGUUACUCUAAGAAGUGGGAAAGUGAUGCAUGAAAUUGAAAAGAAAAAAGAUAGUGAAGAGAAUAAGAGUGAGGCUAGAAAUUAAAGUGAAUCUGAAAUGAUAAGUAAGGAAAAAGAACAGAGUGAAGAUAGGUUAGUGAAUGAGAAUAAAGAAAAGAAAACAAUUCCUAUUGGUUGUGGAAAAAUCCCUUUCCCCAAUGCUUUAUAAGGAUCCUUCAUAGAUAUUCUCAUAAAUUCUUUACGCACAAACUCAUCUACUACCUCAACUCUAAACACAUCAUCCUCCUUGUUUGGAUGUUUCAUAUUUUUCCACACAGAAAAUGUCACUCUCUCAUCAGCUACCCUAAGGUCCAUGGUUCCCAAUUCUACAUCUAUUAACGCCCUUCCAGUAGCUAGGAAUGGUCUACCCAAAAUGAGAGGGACCCUAGUGUCUUCUUACUUAUCUAACACCACAAAGUCCACAGAAAAAACAAAUUUAUCAACUCGUACUAGCACAUCCUCUACUAUUCCAUAGGGUGUCUUAAGUGACCUAUCGGCUAACUGGAGCGAGAUCAUAGUAGGGGUGACUUCUCCUAUAUCUAAUCGUUCAAACAUGGUCAAAGGCAUCAAAUUAAUGCUAGCACCUAAAUCACACAAGGCUCUUCCUACGGCUAGACCUUCUAUGUCAACAGAUAUUGUGAAGCUACCAGGAUCUUUCAGUUUAGGAGGGAGCUUCUUUUGUAGAAUAGCACUGCAUUCCUCAGUUAACAUUUUAGUUUCACUCUCCUCACUUAGUUUUCUUCUCCUUGACAAAAUGUCUUUCAUGAAUUUAGCAUAAGUGGGCAUUAGCUCCAAUGCUUCAGAAAAAAGAAUGUUAAUUUGAAGCUUCUUAAAAACUUCUAAAAAUUUUGAAAAUUGUUUUUCCAAAUUCGUUUUUACUAAAGCAUUGGGGAAAGGGAUUUUUCCACAACCAAUAGGAAUUGUUUUCUUUUCUUUAUUCUCAUUCACUAACCUAUCUUCACUCUGUUCUUUUUCCUUACUUAUCAUUUCAGAUUCACUUUAAUUUCUAGCCUCACUCUUAUUCUCUUCACUAUCUUUUUUCUUUUCAAUUUCAUGCAUCACUUUCCCACUUCUUAGAGUAACAACAGAAAUAUUUUCCUUGGGGUUAGGCACAGUGUUGCUAGGAAACAUACCUAGAGGUCUUUCGGCGAGUUGUUUUGAGAUUUGACCAACCUGGUUCUCCAAAUUUUUGAUUGAAGCCUCGUGGUUCUUGAAAUUAUUGCGAGAUUCAUUGAUGAAACUCUUGGUAGUUUGAGCUAAUUCCCCCAUAAUGUCUUCCAAGUUCUUCUUUCCAGCUCCUUCAUCUUGUUGAGGUGGCUGCCUUUGUUCCUGAUAAUGACCCCGCUAGUUGGAAUAUUGUCUUUGAUCGCCUGAUUGAGUUGACUUAUUUUGCCCUCCCCAAGAGAAGUUGGGGUGAUUCCUCCAUCCUGCAUUAUAAGUAUUGGAAUAUGGAUUAUUUUGGGGGUUAGUAAGUAUUUUUACCUCCUCAUCGAAUUUUGCAUCAUCAUUGCCCACAUGGCAGUCAUCCAAACGCUUCACUAUGGCAUCCAUUUUCUGAGACAACUUCUUAUUUGAGGCUAGAACGGCAUCAUAUGUCUCUACUUCUUGAACACUUUUUCUGUUCUGCCUGUCGUUGUUGUAAUGCAUAGCUCUGGCUGGCAGAUUAUUAAUUAUCACUAAGGCUUCACUAGUGGGCAACACAUCAAAAGCUCCACCUGGAGCUGCAGUAUCUAAUUUGUCUUUGGUAUAGUCAUUCAAUGCGGUUAAAAAAUUACUACCUGAUCAGUAAGAGAAAUAUUAUGGCUUGGGCAUUUUCUUAGAAGCUCAUUGAACCGUUCUCAUGCCUCAUAUAAGUUCUCUUGAUCCAUCUGGAGAAAAGAGUUGAUCUCUUGCUUUAACUUCCUCGUGCGGGUUGCUGAAAAAAACUUUGACGUAAAUUUCUUGGCUAGGUCAUCCCAUGAUACAAUACUGUGUGAAGGUUGAGACCUCAACCAAGUUGCAGCAGAAUCCCUUAAGGAAAAGGGAAACAACAUCAACCCUACUGUGUCUAGAGUGAUUCCCUGUUUCUUCAAUGGGGUGCACUGCUCUGUGAAUGUAGCCAUAUGAGCAUAUGGAUCUUCGAGUAUACUCCCUCCAAAUUGGUGUUGGCUCACUAGGUGCAUGAAGUGAGUUGGCACCUGGAAAUUUUCUGGAACAUCAGUAGGUGGAACAAUACUUCCCUCAAAUUCAAAGCUUAUGUCAGGGGUAGUUAUCUCCCUAACUCUCUGUCUCGCUGAAUUCUCCGGGCUUCAUAAUCUGCAUCAUAUCGCCCUUCAAAUUCAGCUCGAAUCCUCGCCUCAAUCUGUUCCGGUGUCUCAGCCAUUGUUUUUGCUUUCUCAGUUGAGCUCGAUUCAUCCGAGCAGUCUUCUCGAUCUCAGGAUCAAAAAGAAGGGAAUUACGAUCAACGGUACCUCGCAUACACUAGCAAACAAAUGUUAGUAACAUCAGCACAAUAAAAGCAAAAAUAAAAAUAAAAAUAUAGGAAAAUCUUAAAAGUAAGAAAUAGGUUCUAUUAUUCUAGACUAAAGCGCAACCCCCGGCAACGGCGCCAAAAACUUGAUAACUCUUAGGCAAGUGUAUCUAUUCGUUAAGUAGUAAUAAAAUAUCGAUCUCAAGGAUUGCGGUUGUCCAAAUCAAUUUCACCUAUUAAAUAACUAAAAAGACUAAGUAAAAAGGUUUGGGGUGAAUAAUUGUUGAAAAAGAACUUAAUUCAAAGUUGUAAAAUUCAGUGAAAAGCAAGUACGUAGUAUUGAGAGCAAUCAAAAGGGGAAGUACCUGAGGUAGGAUUUCAUCAAUCUCACUUAUGUUCUUAAUAGACUAAUUAACUCAUGAAUUAUCUAACUUUUUUAUGGUGCUUGCCUAAGUUUCUACGUGAUAAUCUCUUAACUACGCAGAACUUCCAAUUAAACUGCUAACACUAAUCUCUUAGUUCCUAGACGAAUUCAAUUGGAGAAUUAAAGUACUUAGUUACUAGCCAACACAAUUAGAAGUUACCCUUAUCUCUAAGGCGUAGGCGUUCCUAAUCAAUUCCUCACCGGAUCCCUAUUUUCUACCGAUUUCUCAAUCGCAUACAAAAUAGCAAAGUUAAUCUUCAUGCAUAAAGAUUCAUAGAUAAAAGAUGAGAAAUUCAUAAAUAAAAAUAGGAUUCAUGAGUCUAAAAAGUAUAUCAAAACAUAAGAUCAAAAGAGUCAAACCAGACACCCCAAGUACCUACGGAAGUUUAGCCAAGCAUGACUUUCAUGAUCAAAUAAUUUAUUGAGAAAAAUAAAGGUUUUUCAAAAAGCUCCAAUGUUAGGGUUAACUCCAGGAAAAGGCUCAAAAGCUGCUAUCUAAUAUUCCCCUCCAAUUUCACGUCCCCCUUGAUAUUAUAUAUCUUGCAAAUAUAUACAUCCCUAAUACUGUGCUUUUCCGUUUCAUUCAAUCGCGUGGCCCAUAGGGAUGGCAAUUUUGCCCAAACCCAUGGGUACCCGCCCGAACCCGAUCCGAUUUGACGGACAAAACCCGAGUUGACUGGAUUUGGGUUUGGGUUUGGGUUUUGCCCGUUACUAUAACAAUUUAGGCUAAAAAGCACUUUUGGCCCCUGAUGUUUAAGUUUGUGCAAAUUCUGCCCUUACUCUAUUUUUGUCGAUGUUUCUACCCCUCAUGUUUUCAAACAGUGCACCAUCUACCCCUCCGUCAGUCAGAUGUUAAAAAACUAACGGAAUGAGCUGAUUUGGCUUUUUUUUUAAUAUAUUUUUUGGACCUACCACGUGGAAAUUACAAGUGUAAUUGGAAAAAUGGGGCAUGGGAGAUUCAAACUCAAGACCUAUAAGUAGCAAAACAUGCAUUUAACCAGUUCAGUUACAUACAUAAUUGAUAUAUACAUCAAGCAAAUUUAAUUUAUAUCAUUUCCUUGAUCAUCAUCAACUUCAUAUGCUCCUAUUUAUCUCUACAAUCCACUCAUGAACCUCUCCUGAGAAAGCCUGACUGACAGAGGGGUAGACGGUGCACUGUUUGAAAACUUGAGGGGUAGAAACGUCGACAAAAAUAGAGUAGGGGCAUAAUUUGCACAAACUUGAAACAUCAGGGGCCAAAAAUGCUUUUUAGCCAACAAUUUAUGGGUUUGGGUUUGGUAUUAGUUAAAUCUGUGCCCAAACCCGAAUCCAAAGAUACCCAAAACAUAAAAUUACAAAAAAAUUCUCAUACAUGUAUAUAUUUAUAAACUUUGUUCUUAGUGUUUGAUGAUUAAUUGUACUUUUGUAUGUUUGAGAAAGUCAAUUCUAAACUAUUGUUGUCUCACUUUGGUGAUGGAUGAUGAUGAUGAAUAGUAUUUGUUUUUCUUUCUUUCUAUGAAUUUCACUUUUUUUUAUGAAAGUAGGUUAUGGAUCGGGUUGCUAUUUCACGUAAGGAAUGAGUUUGGGUUUGGGUUUCGGGUAAAUCCGAAACCCAAUGGAUUUGAGCGUGGAUUUCAUUUUAUCGCCCAUAAGGGUUUGUGUUUGGGUUUGGGUUUGGGUUCUGAGAUUUGGGUUUGGGUUUGGUAAUUGUAAAAUCCGUGCCCAAUCCUACCCGUUGCCAUCCUAGUGGCCCAGGCUUGGAAAAAGCAAAAAUCCUUGUCUUUUGAUGCUGCCACGUGUCACCUUGCAAUUGGUGGAGACAUUAUAAGGGUGGAAUCUAGCGCUUCACAACCCAUUAUCUUGUGGUGGACCUCAGGCCUGAUCACGACACGUGGAUGGAAUUAUGCUGCAGCCAUCUGAUCUCCGCACGUGCAUGGUAAUUACAGUGGACCCUCAGCGCAGUAUCAACUCUCUUUUCCUGAUUUUUCCAGAAAUUAAAUUAAAUAAAAAUAAGGUAAAAUAAGAUAAAAUCUCAAAAUAAACCAACUAAAUUCUAAUCAAAUCUAUAAUUCAAAAAGUCCUAAUUAAAGAUAGAUAAAAACUAGCAAAAUAAAAAUAAGAUAACGACUUAAAAUAAACUUAUCUAAUCCUAAAUUAAAGUAAAUAAAUCCUAAUAAUAAUUAAACAAAAUAUAAAGCUAAUUUAAAUCCUAAUAAAAUCUAGAAAAAUAAUAUAAAAUGUAGAAAAAUACUAAAACUAAAUAAAAAUAUUAAAAUGCAUGAAAUAGGCCUAGAGUGUCCUAAAAUGAUUAAAAUAUCUUAAAUAAUACAUUAAAAUGCAUGCAAAUAAAUUAGGAAAAUAGCCUUAAAUCUCAGGUCAUCAGUUGGUACUUGCAGUUGUUGCUUCAGUGGUGGAGCGCGCUUCGUCGGCAUUGGUGGCAGAGGCCUUGGCAUUUCGUUGGUCUAUUGGGUUGGCUUUGGAGCUUGGCUUCAUACGUGUUUGUCUUGAGACUGACUGCAUCCAACUCUUCCAGAUGUGGAAGAAACCUCAGGAUGGGAGGAAUAAUUACUUGUCUACUAUUCUUGAUGACUGUUUUCGGUUUAGCCGUUCUUUUGAUUUGUUUUCGGUUGUUUUUGUUAGCCUUGAUGGCAAUACUGUUGCUGAUUUUUUAGCCAGGAACACACCCUCCUAUGCUGGCCAUGUCUGGAUAGAAGAGGUGCCUCCUGAGGCCGUUCUGUUGUAGCUGCUGACAUUUUGACGUCUUUGCCUCCAGUUUAAUUAAUUUGCGGGAAAUUUUCAAAAAAAAAUAUAUAAUCCCUCAAAUUUAUCACCAAAACAAUGAAAGAUGCAUAAAGUGCUUCCAUUUUAAUUCCAAUAAGAUCCGUACGUACGUAGACUCUUUGGGUGUUGAUAAUUUGAGAAAUUAAAUAAAAUAAAAAACAAGAUAGAUAAUGAUAAGUGUGAUAUAUGAUGUUAUUACAUUGGAAUAGAAAUUGAGUGAAAAAAUUAAAAUAGUACAUAUCAUUGAUGUUUUAACUUUCCUAUAACAAAGUAUUGAAAUUAGAAGUGCGGCCCAACUAUACCUUAAGGGUGCGUUUGUUACAAGUUAUCAAAAAUCAUGCCCGGGUAAGUGGAUUCCCAGGGAUAUUAUGAUGUGAAUGAUAUUCCCAGACAUCUUUUAAAAAAGUGUUUGGUUGAUAAAUUCAAUUCUCAUGUAUGUUUUUAAAAUUUAUUUAAUUAAAAUAUUUAAAAAUAUAAAAUUUGAAGUAAAAAUAAAAGUUAGUGGGAAAUAACUUUCAUUCCCAUGGGAAUGCAAGAUACCCAUCCUUGAACAUGGGAAUGAAGUUUGGAGAAAAUCAAUGUAAAUUGCAUGCCUGUGAAUCCACAAUACCCGGGAAUAUUUUUUUCUGAAACUUGUACCAAACAUGAGAAUGUUACAUUCCCAACCUAACUUACCCGGGAAUCUUUAAAGAUCCCUUCUACCAAACGCCCCCUAAGAUCAAGGAUAGAGUUGACCUAGUUGUGGGUGCGAUGAGCUUGAAUUGCCUUCAGACAUUUUGGAUUUUCAAAAUUCUCAUUUAUAAAUAAUUACUCUCACCGUCUCUAUUUAUAAGUAAUUUUUAAGAGUUUUUUUUUUUCUAACAGUGAAGCACUUCAUAUUAUUCCCUAAAAUUAAUUAACCUCAUGUAUUUAUGGAAGAGAUUGUGAAUUUCAGAAAGCUGAAUUGUACUUUUGAUCCUUAAUCUAAUAUGAUUGUAUAAAAGUGGACCCCUGCGUUUAAAACAAGCGCUUUUGUUCCCAGGUGUUUUUAACAUGAACGAUUUUAGUCAGUUCGUUAGUUUGUCAUCCAAAAGCUAACGAAACUCGUUGACAUGGUCUCAAUGAUUGACGUGGCAUCCCAUUUGGCGCCACUUGGAUAAAAAAAUUGUGAAACUUCAAUUUUUUUGUUCCACAUAUAAAAUUGAAGUUCAUCGUUCUCUUCAAUUUUGACUUGGGUUGGAGUUUCUUCGCGGUACCCCCAUCGAUAUGACUCAAACGACAUAGCAGUUUGUGUUUUUUCGUAGAAGCUCCCUGUCAAUAAGAAGUUCACCGUUCUCCCCUCUCGAUCAACAUUCCCUUAAGUGAUUUGGACGGGCUUAUCUGAUCACAUCUUAUAUAUAUAUAAUAAUUAACUCUCAGCUUGUGUAUCUUUCACUUGAUUUUGAUGGAAUAUAAAUAUGGUGUGAAGAUAAAUUUUUCAAAAUAUCCAAAGGGGAUAUGUAACAAAAUGAUAUGUAAAUCACCAACAUUUAAAACACCCCUACAAACACUCAAUAUUAUCUCUCUAUUAUAUAAUUACAUUACAUCAUACAUCAUUUUCUACUUUUUUUUUUUGUUCCAUUGAUAUUCUACAAAUAUCAUUAUUGGAUAAAUAAUUAUAGCAGCCAGCAGUGGUGUCCACUUCCAGUUCUUCCAAUGAACAAUCAUAGGAAGGAAACACAUGACCAUGUCUUCACCUUUCCCAGCAAGGUUGGAAUAGUCUAGUUCACACAUUUGUCCACGUGUCGCGAUCCCAUUGCUGGAAGAGCUGGAUGUGAAAAGACAAAUCGGCCCAUCCAUCCAUGUAUUAAUGGCCACCCCGCCCAAAACGCAAAGGCUUCCUUCCUUCCUUCCCCCACUUCAACGUGCCUUGCCCCUAUACCUUCCCCCACUCACAGUACUAUUAUUGCAACCAAAUCCCAAAAUUCUUAGAGAGAGAAAGAGAAGUUUAGAGAGAAAAAGAGUGAAAAAUUCAUCAUAUGGAGAAGAUGAUGGUGUUUGAGGAAACUGAGCUGAGGCUUGGCCUUGGGUUGCCUGGAAAUGGAGGCACAGCAGCAGGCACUGGUACUGAAGGUGCUGCUGCAGAAGGAGCUGUGAUGAGAAAGAGAGGAUUCUCUGAAACUGAGUCGACUGAGACUGAAGAAACAGCAACCACUACUGUGGAUCUGAUGCUUAACCUUUCCCCUAAAGAAGCUUCUUCUGCUUCGGCUGCUGCUGGUGGGGCAGAUCCACGUGAUAAGCUUAAGACUUCUUCGCCUAAGGAGAACACCCUGCUGGUCUCUGAUUCUGCCAAGCCUCCUCCUGCUAAGUAAGUAGUUAAUAAUUUACCAUGCAUGCUUUUUUCCUUUGUCUUAAAUACCAUAGUGUUAGUUAUGAGUCUAAUCUCUCAUAUCAGCAUCAGCGCAAUAAAAAAAAAUUCAUUCGCAAAAGUCUGGGUUUAACCUCUCAACCACUUGUUUAAGGAUGAAUUAGAAAAGGGGAAAAGGUUCGGGCUAAUUUAAUUUUAUACUUUUUACUAACUUUCAUGAUUUUCCAUUUAAUUAGCAUAUAAAAACAAGGAUUCAUGUUUGUUGCUUAUAUUAAAGUUAUGGUUAAUUAUAUUUGGGGAUUGCCAGAGUUAGCCAAGAGGAUUUUAGAUGAUGAGAAAUUAAAUGAAAAUCAAAGAAAUUAUUACAAUAUAGAUCAUGAGUGGGAAAGGGAGAAUUAAUGUCAAUCCUAAUCUUUAAUUAAACAACAUAUAACACUAUCAACAUCUUUCCUAAGCUACAUUUUUAUUUUAUUUCUUUCUAUCACAUCAUAUCACAUUUAUCACUUUCCUCUUUCUUCUCUUCAUUUUUCUCUCUCUUUUUUCUACAUCUUAUUGGAGUAGUGUUGACCUUAAUUUCAAAGAUGCUUUCAUCUCUAUUACAACAUACCCUUUACCCAUGGCUUCAUAUAGUUUAGCUAGUUAGUUAAACAGUUGACAAUAUAACAGUUUUUUUUGUUAAUUCUUAAAGUUAACUUUGACUAAAUAUUUAUUCAUGUAUGUAGAAUAUCAUAUAUAUCAUAAUUAAGUAACUAGGACUUCUCUAGAUCUCUGAUUAAGCCUUUUUUAUUAGAUUCAUUACACAACCACAUGCAUACACAAACUAAUUAAUUCAAUGAAAAAGUGAUUGAUUAUACGAAUAUUGUGAUGGAUUGAAAUGAAACUAUUAAUUAGGGCGCAAGUGGUGGGUUGGCCACCAGUUCGGUCGUUCCGGAAGAACAUGUUUGCGGCCCAAAAGAGCAGCGGAGAUCAAGAGAGCGAGAAGAACAGCAGCCCUAAUGCAAGCUUUGUGAAAGUGAGCAUGGAUGGAGCACCUUACCUCCGCAAAGUGGACUUGAGCAUGUACAAGACUUACAAAGAUCUCUCUGAUGCCUUAGGCAAAAUGUUUAGCUCCUUCACCAUUGGUAAUUAUUUAUUUAACCACCAAAUUUAUCGGCACAUUUAUAUAUGUACCUUUGUUUAAAUACUUUAUCGUAAAUGUUUAAGUAAUCAUCCCUUUGAUACUAUGAGUUUCAGAGUUCAAACCACACUCAUCAAAAUGAAACCCUUUUCUAAUCAGUUGUUUAACACUCAGUACGAGUAUUAUAGAUACACUCUCUGAUCACUAUUAUAAGCGAAAGUUAGUUUUUUAGAUUUAUUGAAUAAAUGAUGUAUGUGGUCAAUAUUUAUUCAAUGAAUCUAAAAAAUUAACUUUUACUUAUAAUAGUGAUCAGAAGCUGUUGGGAAUUAAUUUGUGUUGUGUGGGGUACUUACUUGGUCUAAAAAAAAAUUAAAUGAGUUGAAUGAGGUCAUGGUGAUUGAUGAUAACAAUUAAUUAUUGCUUUGUUUGAUGAAUUGAAGGAAAUUGCGAGUCCCAAGGCAUUAAGGAUUUCAUGAAUGAGAGUAAGUUGAUGGAUCUUUUGAACUCCGACUAUGUCCCAACCUAUGAAGACAAGGAUGGUGACUGGAUGCUUGUCGGUGAUGUACCAUGGGAGUAAGUUUUCAUUUCUCCACUUCAACACCCAUAAUUGUUCUUCUGCCUGCAAUAAUUACACGUACCUCAUAAUUUCCUCCAUGUGCAUCGGCAUAUAUAAGCAUAUCCUUUAGUAGUAAUAUAUUAUGCUAGCUAUACCAAUUAAUUAACCAAUUUGUCUUGUUAUAUUACUCAUGUGGUUAUCAUUUGAUAGUAGUAGAUAGUUAGACUCUUCAAAUACUAAUUAAUUUAGAGUUUGAUUUUAUAAGUAGUGUGUAUAGAAAAUGAUUUAUCAGGAGAUUUGUACUCAUUUAAAUGUGAUUUUCGAAACUUGAGAGAAUUAAUCUCAUAAUUGCAUACUGAUAUACCUUGUAAAACCAAGAAAAAAUAUAUUACUAUUACUCACAUAUUUACUUCUUACAUAUUUAUUUCUUGCUGUUACUUAUGAUUUAUUAUCCUUACACAUUUCUUGUUGAAACUAAAGUUUUGCAUAUGAUAAUGACUAUUUUCUUUAUGGCAAGCAGGAUGUUUGUUGAAUCAUGCAAGCGUUUACGUAUCAUGAAAGGAAAGGAAGCUAUUGGACUCGGUUAGUACAUACAACGAUUAAUUCAGUUACUUUUACUUCAAAAAAGAAACCCUGCUCAUUAGUCAUGAUUCAUGCAUGCACGUACAAUCCUUCUAUAUAUUCAGUCAUAUACACACUACUGUUAAAUAUCUAUCUCCGUAGAGAAUUGCAAUGACUAGUCUAUAAUUUAGAAGGAAAAAAAACACAUUCUAAAGUUAAUUAACUUGUUUAUGUAUGUGUCAGCACCAAGAGCCAUGGAGAAAUGCAAGAACAGGAGCUAGACUAGUCGUUACAAUUGCAACUGCUCAAUAUUCCAUGUGGUCCAAGUUGACUUAGUAACUGAAUCAAGCAAGGUGAAGAAGCUGCAGCAGACACGGAUGGACAAAGAAAGCAGGGUGUUAAAAAUAUAGUUAAUUAUAUUUGUGUAUCAUUAAUAUGGUUUGUUAUAUAAUAUUCCAAACAAAACUGUGAGAUUAAUUCUAAGUAUAUAUUGUGAACAGAAACGAUAAUGACUCGAUCUGAAUUAUGUCGCAAGACUUUAUUUCUUUACUUGUUGUGUGCUUGCAUAAUAGUAAGCUGAUCAAUAAUGUGCUUGUCUGUUGUACCUAUAUAUCGUUUGUAUUUUACUUAAUUUUCACCAUUUUCAUUCUAUAUGCAUUCAAUUUAUUAUUUGUAUAAUGUAUAGUGAGAAAAAUAAAUUUGUAUAUAUGGGCUUCAGAUUUUUUGGUUUAGGUCAAGAAUGGACGAGCUGACAUGAUAUAUUUGGUGGGGGACAAGAACAUGUGCCUCAAAGAGCAUUUAUAUAUGUAUGCCCAUUGAAGAGUGUUGUAUUAAGUUUAAUUUUAUAUUAUCUUAUUUCAUGUUAUUCAAACAGAGGAAAAAAGAGAAAUUAAUUAUAAGGGAUAAGAGGAAAAAAAAAUAUUCGCGCCCCAGAAAAACAAAUUUAGUUUGCACUCAUGUGUUUUCUAUAUAGUUACAAUAGUUCAAUAAGAAGAAGAAAAAAAAUACUCAAGAAAAACAAGCAAUUAAUAUGAGACUUACGUACUGAGAAGGAAGCACGAACAUGUAACCCAAGGGCACGGUCGUGCUCUAUCAAAUUUACAAGUUAUGACUGUGUCAAAGUCAUGCACGAUUUUGGCGCAAAGUCAAUUCAGUAAUCACGACCGUUUCCCUAUAAGUUGGACGGCCAUGCCUAUUCGCUUGGUAGAGAGCCUGAAUUAGACCUAAUUAUUUCAAUUAAAUGAGGGUUUGAGGCCAAGGUAGAGAGGAUCAUGUGAUUAGAGAAUUAAACAUUAGAACGCUAUCACACAUAUCUUUGCAGGGAGAAGACAGAAUAAGAAUAGAAAUCUUAGUAUUUUCAUUUCUCUAUAAGAUGUUAGUUACUAGGGACUGUAUGUGUUCGAAAUAUUCCCUCUCAAGAAAAAAAAGAAGACAUUCAAUAUUUUUACAAUGCAUAAGAUGAUUUGAACCCUGAUAUUUUAUAUAUGUUCUUGUUAUUUCAAUUAAUUUGUGUAUUCGCUUAAUUCAGUAUGAAGUAAUUAAUCGUAUCAAUAUAGUAGGGUAGUUUACUCCUGACGGGGGAAUUAUAUACUAUGGAACCUAAAAUAAAGUGUGGGAAAUUAGUUUUGGUGCACUCCUGGUAGAUGUAUUAGGAUUAGUUCAACUAGCAUGUGGUUAGGUAGUGUAAUAUCUCUCAGGUAGCUUCUUGCGGCUAGGUGGUAUGUGGUUUGGGUAUAGCUUGGAGGCUUAUCUAACUUGAAGUAGAGUUGACACCUACAACUCUUAGGCAACAUAUAUAAAAUCAUGAGAGAUGAUUCAAUUACUUUGCAAUCUCGAGACUUUUCUCUAUCUGAUUCUCAAUCUUGUUUGUUACUUGCUUUGCUCGCAAGAUCACAACACCAAUUUCAAACUUAUAUUUGUCUGAACUAUGAACUUCCCCUUAAAAUUGGUUUCUUUACUUACUCCCUUCUACAACUGGGACUUUCAUAUCCUAUAUUACUUGAGCGAUAGAGUGUACUUGCUCUUCUGCGUGUGUUAUUUUAAUGUAACAUUAGUUAAAUAUAAAAGGUGCCCAAUCAACCUUAUGUAACUAGAUACAUUUGGAAAGGGAUCAUCAGAAGUCUUGUGAAGCUUAAUUGAAGAAUCCAUAGAAAUUGUAGUCUUGUGAAGCUUAAUUGAAGAAUCCAUAGGAAUUGUACAUGGCUUUGCCCCCAACAUACCAGUGUGUGCAAGCAAGUCCAAGGCAUACUUGCACCGAUAAAGAGCAAUUCCAUAUCCUGCUAAAAGUAACUCAUUAACAUAACAUCCAACAACUGCUUGAGAUCAUCUAUCUCUCCAAUAUCAUUUCCGGCCAUAAGUAAAUCAUCAACGCAAACCAGAGCAGAAAUAAAAUAGUGGAGGUCCGUUGUGUGAAUAAGGAAUAGUCAGCCUAAGAUUGAAUGUAGCCGUGUUGUAGAAAAACAUCCUUGAGUUUUGCAUUCCAUACGGCUAGCCUGGCAUAGAAUAGAGGGAUUUGUUUAAUUUGCAGCCACAUUUGGAACAAGUAAGAACAAUCUGUUAGGACUAAAAAUGUCAGUGGGCCGCUAGUGCAGGAAAGGAUUGGGCCUAAGGUUUGGCAGGUGUAUUCUAGAAGAAAGAAAGAGAAUAUCCAAGGCAACUAAGAGUGAGCUCAGCAUAACAGAAUAGGUUGAGUGUAAGAGAGAGGGUGUGAUUGUAACCGUUUUAGUAUAAAGAAGGCUAGGAGAGAGGUUGAGAGGCAUCUUAUUCAUUCUGUUAGCUAAGAGAUGGAUAGGAAGCUCUGAGCUUCCUAUAAGGAGCACAGCUCUUGUCAGGAUAGGAAUACCAUUCCUUCUCUGUAUUCAGCCAAUUUCAUUCAAUAAACAAUCACUUACUGCAUUCUUUCCUCUGUUUCUCCUUAUUGUUCAUUGUUAGGGAAAUAGGGUCCUAACAAUUUGGUCCGACCUACCGGAUCAAUUCAUCCGUCGAAAUCAGUGAAUGCCACCCAAGAAAACCACUAAGGUUGCAGUCACUCAAAUGGAGGCUAAGAUCGAUGCUCUGGAGGCGGAGCUUGCUGCUAUGCGAACGUCUCUUUCGGCGGUCUCCACGGCGGUGACGGAUCUGCCUACGACUCUAUUGGCAAUGGUAGAGAAGGCGGUGGGAAAAAAGGUACCCACGGAGGAAGAUAGCGGUCCUGUGGGUAAUUCUGGUGUCAAAACCCAUGAGAAAACCCCAGAAUCUUCCGGGGAAAAAGGAGGAGGAUCUCGUCGGAUGUCACUCCAGGGUGAAGCUUUGGAGGAGUUCCGGCAAUCUGUGAAGAAAGUCGAGCUACCCCUCUUUGACGGUAAGGACCCCGCGGGGUGGAUCUCACGCGCGGAGGUGUAUUUCCGCGUCCAGGGAACAUCGCCGGAGGUGAAGGUUGGUUUGGCGCAGCUGAGUAUGGAAGGUGGUACGAUCCAUUUCUACAACUCGCUCCUCGAAUCGGAGGAGGAGUUGACCUGGGAGCGGCUGCGGGAUGCGCUGUUGGAGCGCUAUGGUGGCCAUGGCGACGGAGAUGUUUAUGAACAACUUACUGAACUCAGGCAAAAAGGCACAGUAGACGACUACAUCACCGAGUUUGAGUACUUAGUCGCGCAGAUUCCGAAGCUACCUGAGAAGCAAUACCAAGGCUACUUCUUGCAUGGAUUGAAGGAUGAAAUCCGGGGAAAGGUAAGGAGCUUGGUAGCGUUGGGAGGUAUGAAUCGAGGCCGUCUUCUCGUCGUUUCUCGAGCUGUAGAGAAGGAGGUGAGAGGAGAGGCUGGAACGGGUUAAUCUCGGAGCAACCGCUUUGAACCAUCGGGUUUCCGAACCGGAGGAAGUGGGUCGGGUAAAACUGGAGGAACGGAAUGGGUAUGGGUCAGAGGGAAUAAGGACUCGGGCCAGGAGGUUAGGCCCAACAACAACAGCAACCCACGCGGAGGGCAAACAAAAAAUGCUGGGGAAGCAAAACGGGUUGGGCCCCGUGACCGUGGCUUCAAUCACCUCACCUACCCACAAUUGUUGGAGCGGAAGCAAAAAGGCCUAUGCUUCAAGUGUGGGGGUGCGUACCACCCGAAUCACCAAUGCCCCGAUAGACAUCUCAGAGUUCUCAUCCUCGAAGACGACGAUGAAGACGCCGGCGAGGGAAACAUCUUGGCAAUGGAGGUAAACGAGGAGGAAGACGAAAACAGCAUAGGAGCGUUGAGCUUGAUGAGUUUAGGGAGCAUGGGAGGAGCACCAGUAGAAAUGCCUCAGACCAUGAAGCUUCAAGGCACAGUUGAUGGAGUUCCUGUAGAGGUGUUAAUUGACAGUGGAGCCACUCAUAAUUUUGUGGAUAGUCAGUUGGUGCGCAGAAUGGGGUGGGAAGUCGAAGAUACGCCUCGGCUGACGGUGAAAAUGGGAGAUGGAUACCGCUCUCAAGCUCAGGGACGCUGCAAAGGGCUGAAGCUUACACUAAAUGGGUAUCAACUGGUUUGCUCUCCCCAAUUGUUCGAAUUGGGCGGACCCGAUAUCGUGCUAGGAAUAGAGUGGCUCAAGACACUGGGAGAUACAAUUGUCAAUUGGCAAUCCUUGACCAUGAGCUUCUGGAGUGGUCAACAAUGGGUAAAGCUGCAAGGUGUACGCACUGAUAGCGAAAUCCUGGGGUCUCUUCAGAGCAUCUUGUCACCUGUGUCGGGUAAGGAGCAAGCUCUUCUGAGGACCAGAGGGAAUAUGGCAGUCCAAGACCAAGCUCUGGUAGACAUCACGACAAAUCAGCAAGGUCAAUUACAAGCACUACUGGACCGUUUCAAUGGAGUUUUUCAGGAAAAGCAAGGGUUACCUCCAGGACGGGGAAGGGAACAUCGAAUUGUAAUUCAAGAAGGACAAGGCCCGGUCAACGUGAGGCCUUACAGGUAUCCUCAUCAUCAAAAGAAUGAGAUUGAGAAGCAAGUAAGGGAAAUGCUAGCAUCUGGGAUCAUCAGACAGAGUACAAGUGCGUUCUCAAGUCCUGUCAUUCUCGUAAAGAAGAAGGAUCACACAUGGAGGAUGUGUGUAGACUAUCGCGCCCUCAACAGGGUUACUGUGCCAGAUAAAUUUCCGAUUCCCGUCAUCGAGGAGCUGUUAGAUGAACUCCAUGGGUCGCGGUAUUUCUCCAAGCUUGACUUGAAAUCUGGAUAUCAUCAGGUCAGGGUACAUGCUUCAGAUGUGCAUAAGACCGCUUUUCGCACGCAUGAGGGUCAUUAUGAGUUCAUGGUAAUGCCGUUUGGUCUCAUGAAUGCGCCAUCUACAUUCCAAAGUCUUAUGAACGAGGUAUUUCGCUCUAUGUUGCGUCGCGGAGUCUUAGUAUUUUUCGACGACAUCCUUGUUUAUAGUCAAAGCUGGGAGGAACACAUGAGUCACUUGGAGGAGGUAUUGCAGUGUUUGCAAACCCACAGCUUAACUGCAAAUCGGAAAAAAUGUCAGUUUGCAACACGAACUGUGGAAUACUUGGGUCAUCUGAUUUCUGAGCAUGGUGUUGCGGUGGAUCCAAGCAAAAUAGCAAGUGUGGUAUCUUGGCCCAUACCAAAAAAUGUGAAGGGGGUGCGUGGGUUCCUGGGUUUGACAGGAUAUUACCGGAAAUUUAUAAAGGAUUACGGUAAAAUAGCAAGGCCCCUCACUGAACUAACCAAGAAAGAUGCAUUCCAGUGGAAUGAGGGAGCACAAAGAGCUUUUGAAGAAUUGAAGAACAAGUUAACCACGGCCCCGGUUUUAGCAUUACCAGAUUUCACUCAAGACUUUCAAGUGGAAUGUGAUGCUUCAGGAGAAGGCAUUGGAGCAAUAUUAAUGCAAGAGAAACAUCCCAUAGCCUACUACAGUAAAGCGUUGGGCCCAAGGAAUUUGGCUAAGUCAGCUUACGAAAAAGAGUUAAUGGCUGUGGCACUAGCAAUCCAACAUUGGCGUCCCUAUUUGCUUGGGAGGAAAUUUGUGGUUUUCUCUGAUCAGAAAAGCUUAAAGGAGUUUCUGCACCAGAAAUUGAUAACUGGAGAUCAACAAAAUUGGGCGGCAAAGUUGUUGGGUUACAAUUUUGACAUAGUUUACAAGCCCGGAAAAAACAACCAAGGGGCUGAUGCUUUAUCACGCAAAAACGAGGCACGGGAAUUGUGUACCCUAGUAUCUUAUCCUAUUUGGGAGGAGCAAGGUUUAAUCCAAGAAGAGGUUCAGAAAGAUGCAAGACUGAUGAAGAUAAUCAAGGAAGUGAAAGUUAAUCCUCAGUCUCAUCCUGGUUAUAAGCUCUCACAAGGAAUCUUGCUCUAUCAUGACCGUUUGGUGCUGUCAAGUACCUCAUCUUUCAUUCCCAAACUGAUUCAAGAAUAUCACACCACACCACAAGGUGGUCAUUCUGGAUUCCUGAGAACAUACCGACGCUUGGCAGCAAAUUUGUACUGGUUAGGGAUGAAAAACACGAUUCAGGAGUUUGUCAGGAGCUGCGACACUUGUCAGAGGCACAAGUACUUGGCUGCGUCUCCAGCAGGCCUCCUUCAACCUCUGCCUAUUCCUAAUCAAAUAUGGGAAGAUGUCUCCCUUGAUUUCAUAACUGGAUUGCCCCGUUCAAAGGGAUUCGAAGCCAUAUUUGUGGUGGUUGAUCGUCUCACCAAAUACUCCCACUUUAUUCUAAUUAAGCACCUUUACACGACCAGGAGCAUCGCUGAGCUAUUCACAAAAGAGAUUGUGAGGUUACAUGGAGUGCCCUCGUCUAUCAUCAGCGAUCGUGAUCCCCUGUUUGUCAGUCAUUUUUGGAGGGAAAUCUUUCGUCUCCAAGGAACACACCUGAAGUUAAGCUCGGCUUACCAUCCCGAAACCGAUGGACAAACCGAAAUCGUUAAUCGUUGUUUGGAGACUUAUCUCCGAUGUUUUUCCGCUGAUCAACCCAAGACAUGGGCAACAUGGCUUCACUGGGCAGAGUACUGGUUUAAUACCACUUACCACUCUGCCACGCAAUUGACUCCAUUCGAAGCAGUUUAUGGCAGGAAGCCACCUGUGAUCACUCGCUGGGCUUUGGGCGAAACCAGAGUGGCGGCUGUCCAACAAGAGCUUCAGGAUCGUGACGAAGCUCUUCGCCAGUUGAAGCAACACCUUCGCUUAGCUCAGGAGCGCAUGAAGUCUCAAGCUGAUGCUAAACGCUGCGAUAAAUCGUUCACGGUUGGGGAAUGGGUGUUCAAUAAGCUACGUGCUCACCGCCAACUCUCAGUCGCUAACAGGGUUCAUGCGAAGCUGGCGGCGCGAUACUAUGGGCCCUAUCCAAUUGUGGAGAAAAUUGGGGCAGUGGCUUAUCGAUUGCAGUUACCGGAGGGAUCGCGCGUUCAUCCGGUCUUUCAUAUCGCGUUAUUAAAAAGGGCAAUCGGAAAUUAUGAAGCUGCGUCAGAAUUGCCUGACCAGUUGGAUGGGGAUGAGUUCCCAGUCGUGCAGCCUAUGGUGAUUUUGGCGAAUCGAGUCGUGCAACGUCAAGGCAGUGAGAUUUCUCAAGUACUGGUGCAGUGGCAAGGCAAAUCCAUUGAAGAAGCAACAUGGGAAGACAGGGUCACAAUUCAAAGUCAGUUUCCCACCUUCCACCUUGAGGACAAGGUUGGUUUUUCAGAAGGGGGUAUUGUUAGGACUAAAAAUGUCAGUGGGCCGCUAGUGCAGGAAAGGAUUGGGCCUAAGGUUUGGCAGGUGUAUUCUAGAAGAAAGAAAGAGAAUAUCCAAGGCAACUAAGAGUGAGCUCAGCAUAACAGAAUAGGUUGAGUGUAAGAGAGAGGGUGUGAUUGUAACCGUUUUAGUAUAAAGAAGGCUAGGAGAGAGGUUGAGAGGCAUCUUAUUCAUUCUGUUAGCUAAGAGAUGGAUAGGAAGCUCUGAGCUUCCUAUAAGGAGCACAGCUCUUGUCAGGAUAGGAAUACCAUUCCUUCUCUGUAUUCAGCCAAUUUCAUUCAAUAAACAAUCACUUACUGCAUUCUUUCCUCUGUUUCUCCUUAUUGUUCAUUGUUAGGGAAAUAGGGUCCUAACACAAUCCAGGUGAGGGUUCCAAAUAAACUUCUUCAUUCACAUCAACAUGAAGAAAAGUUGUAUUUACGUCCAGUUUGCUUGAGGAACCAAUUGUUAACAACAGCUAAGGCAAGCAACACUUGAAUUGUGGUCAUCUUAACCACGUGUCUACAUGUUUCAAGGAAAUCAAGACCUUUUGCCUUAUUCUUUCGUGAAAACCCACUUACAAGCCACUAGAUAAUGGUGUGGAGGCAAAGUUUCAAGUGUGCAAGUUUUGGUGUUAUGCAGGACAGCUAAUUCAGUAUCAUAGCUUCCUUCCAACAAGAGUGUAGAUUGCAUCCUUAUCUGUGAUCAAGGAAGGAGCUAAAGAAUAACACUUCUGUGAUGGAGAUAAAGACGAAUAAGAGAACACCACAUAAGGGAUACCUGAUCUCUGAAGAUGUAGAUACUGCUGAGCGAUUUGUGAGAGAACCAAUGAUAAUCAGCCAAAUACUGAGAAGCUUGUAGUGCUCUCUGAGAUCUCCUGACAGGUGCAGUAGAGUUGAGAGGCAAAGAAGAAAGAGGUGGAGAGAAUUGAGAUGUAGGUUGAUCAUGUACAGGUUGAGGCUCCAAAGGAUUAGUAGGUUCAAGAGUUUUGGAUGAAGGAAAAAUGGGUGGGAUAGGAUCAAGAUAAGAAGAGGAGUGGUAGUGGGUGCAAAGGGAAAUUGUUACUGUUAGUUACAAUAACAAUCCGGGCUAGUGUCAGAACAUUGAAUGUAUAGGUAUUGACACGUAUAUAUGUUCAUUUGGAUUCAAUGUGCAACUUGGCCAGCCAUACAUGUUCAUUUUCACUCAUGGUGUAACCUACUAACUUCUAGAGUAUUGGACACCAAAAUCAAGGAGAGGAUAAAAACUUUGGUGCUAUUGUAGUACUGAAGAGUAAGUAUUGUUUCUCUCGUAGACAAAUAUUCCCACAGCUCACAGCACGUCUGUGAACAUUUAUGUAGGCGAUGGCCCCAUAAAUUUUUUAUUAAAAAAUGAGGUAGUCAUCCAAAGUUCAAAUAACAACAUUGCUAACCAUGAACAUCUCUUGGCGACAAGAUGAACAGUUUGAGAGCCUAGCUUGAAAAACUAUGACCUGUUUGGUAGCUAGGGGAUAUAGAUAAUACAUCUAGAAUUUUGAUUAUUGUAAACAUACAAGAGAUACUGCACAUGUAUACAGUACAAUCAGUCUCAAGGGGGAUCCACUAGCACAUUGCAAAGCCUUCUAUCCACCCUCCUACGCUUUUUUUCAGGUUCAGGUGUCUGCAAUAAACCAAAAAACGAUUGCGCGUUAACUUCAAAUUCAAAAUAAAAUCAUCUUCAUGUGUAACAAUAAAAUGCAUAUAACACCAGUUAAGAAAACUAUGCUAGUUCUAAAUUCAAAUUUUUCUUUUCCUUUACCACUGGUGCACAUACUUACAGCAUGCCUGAUAUGGAGAUCGAUUACUAGUAAAUAUUGUUUCAACUUAACCACCCAAGCCCCAAAAAAGAGGUACAUUAAAAUAUGCUCUACGGCGUUAAUCUCUUUCUAGCUUUACCUCACUGCUAAGUGAAUAAGGAACCCGAACCCUUUUAGAGCCAUCAGGUAGACGUUUAGAAGGAGAUUGGUUUUCCAUAGAAGAACAUGCAUCCCGGACCUGCAAAUCAUCAAGUAUAUUUUAUAUUAGAAAUAGGAGGAAUAGAGGAUAUCAAACCAAAGAGGUCAGAGUAUGUAUGCUUAUUCAUGAACUGCAAAUUUCUUCAAGCUAUCUAGUACUUUGGAUCCAAAAAUAAUUCAUGAAACUCAUGUCACAAAGAGCACAUUAAUUUAUUAAUCAUGGAGGAAAACAUCUGAACAACUGCUUGUUACCUGACUUUGGAUAGCCUCGACUAACAUAUCCUGACAACCUGAUGCAUGCACAUUUUCUAAAGUGGGACACUGAAGAAGCAGCCUCUCUGAACCAAUCAAUUUAAUAAAUAAUCAAUCUCACUAUUUUCAAGGAAAUUCUGAUAAGUUGCAUCAAAUUUUCAGCUGUUAAUUACAAAACAGGGACAUGAAAUGACUACCUGGAAUCAAAUUCCUACAAGAAUUUAGAUUGAGAUCAUUGAGUUGUGGGCAGUUUAAGUAUAGACCCUGCAUGAUAGUUGAAGAGAAGAAAUUGAAGAUUAGAAGCCUAAGAAAGAAAAUGCAAUGCAUGUCUUCAAUAUAAUGGAACUUACAUCCAAAGAAGUACAACCCCACAAACUGAGUUUCUUUAAACGGCUAUGCUUGAUGAUCAGCUUUUGGUUUAUGAGGUGGAGAUUAGUGCUGGAUGUUUUCUGAGAUUCGUCAUUUUCAUCAGCAGGCAAAUUUAAGGAAUUAGGAUCACAUAUAGUCAUGCCACAGUCCAUAAGUUCAAGGAGCGGUAACUGAGCUGUAGCAAACUGAAUGCCACCUGAAACAUGUCACAGAAGAUUAGUAGGCAGAAACUUAAGCAAAUAUCGACAGUAUCAGAUAUUGAUCAACAGGUAAUUACUUGAAGUAACAUUUGGGCAAAGCGCGAGGAGGAGUCUGGCAAGUGUUUCAGGGAACACAUUGCAAAUCAUUCCAAUUCCGCUGUCACUUAUGCCAGAUCUGUUAAAAAUGUAUCCAUUAGAAAAAUACAGAACAGAGGUAGAACUCAAGACACAAACGCAUACUUGAAAUAUAUGUUCUUGAAUUUACAUAUAGUCUCUUGACUGCUAUCAGAUUUUUUUCAUCUUCAAGGUAUAUACACUUUCAGAACUCCAAUAGAAAAUUUGUUAGCAAUUAGAAUGGAUACAAAUGCAUACCCACUGAGAUCAAGCAAUUCUAGAUUUGGAUAGCUUGACGCAAUUGCAGCAACAGAUGCAUCAGUAAUUUCAGAUCCAAGAACCAGAGAGAGCAUUCGCAGACCCCUGAAUAUUGUAAACAAAUUUUCAGUAUGCUUCCCAACAAUGUGGAUAUGCUUGUAAAAGCUAUUAACACUGCCUCACUAUAGUACAAAUUUGGGAGGAAAAAACAGAUAAGAAUGGCAUUUUGACCAAUAUAUAACCUGUCAAUCAGUUAUAGACUUAUAGGAUAUGGAUUUUAGAUAUACAUACAAAUUUCGAAAUAGAAUUAAGACUGGGUCAUUGCCUACUUAUUAUUUCUGUUUACAUGAAUGCAUGUUAGGUGUUAUAGUUUUGUUUUCUAGUUUCUUUUCAUUUCUCAUGUACCAUGUGGAGCACACAGCCACAGUAUAAAGGUGGACAUCCUCCUACAUGUUUAGUUCAUACACCACAGAAGUGUGAACUCAUACUAAUAGAAAGUUCAAGGCGUUACACAUUACAAACUUUAGUCUUAAAUAAGGGAAGGAAUUUCAAGAUGAAUGGAUAAUACAUAUAACAACUGGAAAAUAGAGAUCAAAAUGCCAAAAGAUAACAAACCUCAACUGAGCAGCUGUAAGAGCAAGCACAGCAGCAUGAGAAAGCCGCACUGAAGCUAUAUGUAUGUUUUGCAAUUUCAAGCAGCUUCUUCCCAAACUUUCAAUCAUUGUUAUGAGAUCAGUACCAUCAUCAUCUUGGGAAGAAAACUCCAAGGAAAUCUCUCUCAACUGGGGACAGUUAAAUACCUAACAUUUAAAAGCAUCUAUUAGUAACUACAGUUCACUCAGUAUGCAUGCUCAGAGGGAAUUAUCAAUUUAAAAUCGAUCACUCGAGAUAAGAAAAGAUAAUAAUCACCAUCUUAGAAAGAGAGUGCAGAUCAGAGAGCCAAAGUGUAGAAAGACUAGACGAACAGAGGGCAAAACCCCCCAGAUUCGAACAGCCUUCCAUCUUGAGGCUUUUGAGGCUUCUUUUAUCCGCAACAAAUCGGCUUAACUCAUCCCUGCAUUUUCAUUGUUGAACAACAGAUAAAGCUAAUCAGUGAAAAGCAGCAUUCUUUGUUUAACCUUCGGUACGCUAAUCUAAGCUCCUACCGCAUAUGAAGGGCUCAAACAACUAGAAUCUAGAAUGAUGAGAAUGUAGAAGAUUGACCACAAAUCAUAAAUCAAAAUUUCUAUGAAGGGUGACCGUACAAGACAAAAGUACUGAAGAGCCACAAUUACCCCCAUAGAACAAUGUCAAACACAACUAAAAUUCUUGAAUCCUAUGCGAAACCAAUUGGUUUACUGUGGCUUUAUCUAAUGAAUUUCCAGGUCUGACGUUCACAUUGUAUAAAAUUACUACCGCACGUUAAUUGCAUUCUCAAUUGCUCAGAUGUUCAAAACCUAAACUUAAUUUCCAUACAAAUAAAAAAUAGGUUAAAAAAAUUGUAAUAAUAAGAGCAUGAGUAUUACCCAUUGAUCCGAUUCGUCGCAGUAUCAAAUAUACAGAUCUCCAUACAUUCCAAAUUAGGGCAUGAGAACGCAAUGCAAGCCAGCAUCGUCGAAUCGAAAUCACUGCAACAUCAGACCAGUUAGAUUUACAUACAACACAAUGAAAAAUCCAGAAAAAAAAUAGUGCAGCGUAACAAAUAGACCAUGCGAUGACAAUCCCAUUUUCAAAAUCCCUUUAUUUCUUGUUCCUUUCAUGUAGAUUCAGAUUCUGCAUCGAUCUUCACGAACCAACCUAUGUUUUCCGAUCUACUCUAGCAUUGCAUUUUAGCACUAUAUUGAAGUGCAAUGUUCCGAUUAACAGAUUUUAGGUUAUACAUUUCGAUUUUGCUUAAUUUCAUUCGUUCAUUCAAACCACAAUCGCAGAUCUGGAAGCAUCGAUCGAUUCAAAACAAAAUUCCAACACACACACCUUUCCAUUCGAAGAGAGAGCCUCACAAUCCCUGGACAUUUCUGCAACAUGGACGCGACGAAUCCGACUUGCACAUUCGCUGGAACCCUAAGUUUCAGCUCCUCCGCCGCCUUCCAAAGCCUCUUCGCCGUCUCCCUCCAACCUCUACACACCCUCGCCGCCGCCAACAACCCCGCCGGAGGCAGCCUCCUCAUCACCUCCCACAUAAGACUCACCGGCAACCCGCACGGGUCAAUAUCCAGAUCCAUAUCCAGAUCCAGAUCCUCCUCGUGAAACGAAUCUCCAUCCGCCACCUCAUCCGGCUCCACCAGAUCGACCCCGCCAGCGCCACGAUCGACAAGAUCGUCGAACGAUAGCGCGCGGCAUAACCGCGACGGCGGCGGCUGACGGAGCGCGGAAGCAGCCGAGGACGGCGCGGAAAUCGCCGAGAGAGAUGAAUCGGUAGGAGUAGCGGCGGUGUCGGAGACUGCGACAGGGGUCUUGAUGUUGCAGACGUGACCCUUCUUCGGUUGACCGCAUCGGCCGCAGUUGUAACUGCCGCGUCUUUUCCCGCGCUUAGCGUCGGUUGCGGUGGUGGUGUCGCCGCUUGCGGUGGUUAGUGGUGGCGCUGCGGCGGCGAUGUGAUUGCGUUGCAUUUUGUGUGGUUUAGGGAAAUGGAGGAAAGUGAGAUGAUGAUGAUGAGAGUAAAAUAUAAGACACAGCGCGGGAGAGUUGGCGCGCUUUUUGUAUUGUUUUCGACGAGGCUUGUUUUAAUUUUUUUUAAACAUUUGUUUAACGUGCUUUGUGGUUUUAUUUAUACACACUCAUGCCUCGUUAAUUACUUCAGAUUUGGUAAUUAAUCAACCUUUUUGUUGUAACGUUACCUUCCUUAAUCACAAGACGCGUGUAAUAUCUAAAUUCUCUAGUUUGACUAGUUUUUUAUGAGUGUUAAUGUGAUUAAAGUUGUUUGUUUUUUUAGAGUGAUUGCAAUCUUGGUAUUUAAAUGCUGUUAUUGAUAAUUAUAGCCAUCCUUUUCUUUUAUUUUUAUUUUUUUUGGUUGAAUAUUGUUUUUUCUUUUGAGAUAUACGAGUGGGUUGGCAAACGAGGCUUGACAUGGUACCGGUUCGUUUGGCCCAUUUUUUUGUUAUUACGACUUUGAACUCAUAUUUUAAAAGUGGAUAAGCUAAACUAAACUUACAUUUUUGUGAGUUUGGCUUAGGUCGGCUCAUCAACUCAUAUUUUGUAGGUUAUUUGGUUUAAAACUUCAUGAUUGCAUAACAUAAUUAUUUAUAAUUGUUUAUUGAGUUAAGUAACUCUUAUUGAUAAUUGUAUAGUACAUCUAGCAAAAUUAAGAAAGUUAUGUAAGUGUGUAAUAGAAAAAAAAAAUGACAUUUGGCAGAUGGUUUGGCAUUAACCUUUGCACUUGAAAGUAGCUUUUGAGCAUGCAUUAUAGUUUUUAAUAAUAAAGGAUAAUAAAUAUUUAUUUGAUAUUGUGAUCGGUGAGUUUUUCUUAUUGAGCUAAGACCUUUAAAGAUAUUAAAUAAGUAUAAUACUGUGAUGAUUCUAAUUUUUAUAUUUCACAAUGUAUAAAAGUGAAAGAAUUAUUAAAAUUACUCAUUGAACAACCUUUUUUUAUUCCACUACAUUAUCUAAAAUCUAAAUGGAUCGACCCACAACUUGUCGGUCCGUUAAAAUAUGGGUUGAAUUGAGAUUUUAAACACAAUUGUUAAAAACGGAUUCUGACUAAAUCAAUUAGUAUUUUAGCGGAAUGAUAAAGGAUUGAGUCCAUCAGUCCAACCCACCCACCAACCCAAAUUGCCACACCUGCGUGUUAAUUUCGAUCGAUGAAAUUAUUUCUCAACGUUUAGUUAAAAAUAUAAAACCCAAAUAAAUGUAAAAAAAAAAUUGAAAGUCUAGUCUUCGGAAAUUAUUACGCUGGCUUACAAAGUAGUAAUUGGAAAGGGAAAAACCAAAAAUAAAUGUACAUCACUCCAUGAUGACUGGGACGAAUUUAUAGGGGACAAGCAUCACUUUGACCCGCUUCAUGAUUUUAACUUUGAGCAAGGUGAGUAACACUUAAUUUAAUACAUUUUUUUACUCAUUUUCUUCUAAAUUGUUUGUUGUUUAUAUAUUUUAAAAUGGUUGUUGUCGUAGAAAUUGAAUAUUAUUUAUUACAUCUUCUUCCAUAUAUAUUCUCGUUUAAUAUUAUAUCUCUCAUCUAUCACCUUUAAUAUUCACCGAUCACAAUUUUUAUCAAUCACUUAACCAAUAAUUAUAAUUCUCUCUCUUUAUAUAACUCAACUUUAAAUAGGGGUGUUUUAGUUAAAUAUUAUAUCAAUCAAUUAAUGAACUCUUAAACUGUGGACAUUACCUUAAACAACAACCAUUUUGUAAUGGAGGGAGUACUGAUUAAAACUAAUGUGAGCCCUCCAUAUUUUUUAGUGAGACUCAUAUGAUUUUGGAGCAAUAUGGAUUAGAACAAUUGUUGGGUCCGAGAGAGCAAACUAUUGGGCUUGGAACAACAAUGUUGAACUCCACCGUACGUUAGAAAGGGUCACUCGUCAAAGAGGCAACUGGGUAGCUUAUGUCCAACGAGGGAAAAUAACUAAGUCAACAGGCUGUAUCCUAGGAUUAUCGCUCUAUGUUGCCCAAGUCAACCAAUCACCGUUGCUCGCUCUUUAGGUCGACCAAUUCUACCCAUUGACUAGCGUCGUCCCCUGUUUAGUCAACCAAUUGUAUAAUGCGAGAGACCCUUAGGGCAAGGAGGUAUAUCUACCAUAAAAAAAGGGGACUUUCGUAGCUCUAUAUAUGUUCAAUUUUUCCACCUGAAUAAGACUCUAAGUUUUUUGCUCAGUUGUUUUUGUCUUAGACUUUUUAUUCUAUAACAGAUUUAGUGGUGUUCUGAUAUAAAAUCUCAACAGCUACACGCAGCGACAGAUCCAGGAAUUUAAUGUCGUGGGGGCAAUAUCUACAUAUAGAUUUGUAAUGGAGAAAAUAAAACAUUUACUAUUAGAAGUUUGAAAUACAUCAUAAUUGUUCCCUACGAGUUUUCAUAUUUUGAAAACUCUGCACAAUUUUUUCAUUCUCAACACUAUCAAAUACAUCUUUCUCUAUAUAAGUAACUAAACAAUCAUUUAACCAUUCAUCUCCCAUACGAUUUCUCAUCCGGUUCUUGAUGAUAUUCAUAGCGGAGAAAGCGCUUUCAACUGUUGUGGUUGCUACAGGUAGUAUCAAAGCUAACUCUAUGAGCAAAUAUACCAUUGGAUACACAAUAUGCUUCCUAGUCUCCACAAGCUUUAUAGUACGAUCACUAAUUCCGCUCAAUUCUGAAAAUGUACAAUCAGAGCAUAUAUCCAUGAAGUAAUUUUCAAGCUGAUUAUCCAAUGCCAAAAGUUCAACCGGAGAAAAAUCUGAAGGAUAAAAAUGAGCCAAACGAAUCAAUUUUUCCUUAUCAAAUGAAGCAAAUGAGUCUAUUAGACUUAAGCAUGCUACACAAAGAAGCAACUCAAUAUUCACUUCAGUAAAAUGAUUAUUCAACUCUUGAACUUGUCGAUCAGUCACUUGGUAAAAUAAUUCAACUUGAAAAUGAUGCAAAUUAGAAACUUUCUCCAAGUUGCGCCUUGAUCUUCCUUGUGUUUGAAAUGUAUCAUUCAUAUUAGGAAUGACAACAUUGUGUUUUUCACAAAAUAAUGAAACCCCAUCAAGCAAAGAAUGCCAAGCAUUAUCCCUCAUAACUUGCAACCUUUGCUUUGACACAAUAACUAACUUCAUAGCAUUUACAAUGUCUUGAUCACUUCUUUGUAAUGCUUUAGAUAAUUCAUCAGUAUUCCCUAAAAUGUUCUUCAUCAUGUGCAAGAUAAAAACAAAUUCAAAAGAUUGCAUCAAAUUCAACAAAGCACAUGAUUCUCCUCUUUGGUCUAAACUUAUGCCAUCUUCCUCAACAAUUUCAAGCACAUCAAUCAUUGAAGAGAACAAAAAAAUUAUAUUAAGUAAUGCACCAUAAUGUGAUUCCCAUCUAGUAUCUCCUGAUUUCUUGAUCGUAAUUUCUUGAUUCAAUGCACGACCACUAGAGAUCUUGUUGGUGAUUUUAGAAUCAUCAAUGUAUUUUAGUAGUAAUGUGAUCUACUAUAGGCUGAUGCAAUUACGCGUUAGGCUAGGAAUCGAGUCAGGUUAGUGCGGAGUGCACGCUCGGUGAGCCAACGCAUAAUUGACCGCGAAUACGAACCGGGGUCCAAGGGGCGGAGCCCUUGGCUGGUGACCCUAGUUUGAAAUUAUUUGAAAAAUUGUGACUUAUUUUCGAACGGUUGUGAUCAUUCGUGCAAACACAACCUCUUAUAUAAGGUUACUUGCAGCCUAAGGAAUUCUAUACAAAAAAACCAGAAACAGAAUACAGAAACAGAAAUACGAAAAACAGAACAUCUCUACUUUCUUUAUCUGUUCUCUUGUGCCAAGAAACAGAUUGAUUGUCAAGUAUUAUCCCAACAAAGAUUUCGUGAACCCAGGCAAUUAUAGGGUCGAAAUAAUUUGUUCGGAAAGUGGACGCUCACGAUUCUUGACUUUAUCCAGGAUUAUCACAACAAGUUUUUUCUUGUUCACAUAACGCAAAGCAACAACCAUUUGUUCCUUAAUUGAGACCAGUGUUAUCAGACUCAGACCGGUGAUCGACUUGGUCGAGGCACUGGGUCAAUGAGUCAAUGGUUCAACCACUGGGUCACUGGUUGAACCGUUUGACUCGGUUGAUAAUAAAAAAAAAAUCAAAAUACCAUAACAAAAUAUCACAAUACAACUAUACAAGACUUCACAAUUGAAAAUUUAACUGAAAUAGAGAAAGAUACAUAUACAAUACGGGUUCAUUAGAAAUCAAACUGUCAAACUUCACAUAAUACAUGGCAAACUUCACAUAAUACAGCAGCUAAGCAAUACAACUAUACAAGUAAAAAAAAAAAGAACUAAUGAAAACAAAACAAAAUACUGAAAUAGAGAAAAAAAAAUUUCGCAGGCCAAACAAAAACGGUUUCCAUAUGUUUAGAAAAAGAAUUUAAAAGAAAGAAAGGAAUCAGGUCAUAGAUGGAAAUCAAUUCCAAUCUUUUUUCCCAUCAGUUACUUAUCUUCCCCUUUUUACGGGAAUUGGGUUUGGGGCCCCCCCUAUGGGGCUCCGCACCCCACUUAAAGUGGGGAAAUUACUGAAAAGCCCCCCUUUAAUAGAAUACGGAAAAUUAAAUUCCGUAUUCAAUACAGAAGAUAAAGUUCUGUAUUAUAUUCGUAUGUAAACGACAGGGGUUUUUUCAAACCCAUUUCAGCGCUCUCCAAACCCAUUUCAAACCCAUUCUCCCCUUGCUCUUCAAUCUUCGAUCUCCGACGCAUUCCUCGCUUGAAUCAUCAUCUGGAAAGGGUUCCAUCAUCUCCAUCAAAGCUAUUCAUCAAACCCAUUCUCCCCAUUCAUUGCAUUGAAACCUAGAGGUAAGUAAGUUUGGAUUUUCACCAUUUAACUUGAAAUUAUGUGAAUCAUUCAACCCUAGGGUAGUCGAUUGAUGCUUAGGUAGAGGUUAUGUUGGCUGAAAUGGUAUAAAUUGGCUUUGGGGCGAGUUCUGAUUCAGCAAUGUCGUUAAUGGAGGUUCUGGUUCAAUACGGAAAAUGAUUUUCCGUAUUCGAUAUGGAACAUCAUUUUCCGUAUUCGAUAUGGAACUUAAAUUUCCGUAUUUGGGGUCUGUUUAGUCUUUAAGCAAAAAUCUAAUUAGCUUGACUAAUUUAGAAAAUGUUUUUAAAUUGAUAAUUAAGAUAGUGAAUUAUUUAGUGAAUUUAUUUAGAGAUUUAACUGAGAGAUUUAGUAAUUGAGAGACUAUAAUUUAUUUAGUGAAUUUAUUUAGAAAAUGUUUGCGCUGAAUAUAUAGUGAGAAUGAAGAACAGAAAGAGGUCUCGAGCUAGUGAGGAUGUGGGGGCUACUGAGGAUAGACACCGACGCUUACAUGCUUCUAGCCGGCGCGGCGAUCAUGCUGCAACCUCUCAGGCGGUGGAGGCUUCAGUUCCAGUUGAUUCAAUGCAGUCGCCCAUGGUAGAGUAUUCGGCUCUAGUUGACCCUACUGAUCUAGUUCCUACUCCGCCGUCUCCCAUGGUUGAGUUAUCUCGCCAUGAGUCACCAGGCGAGGAGUCAUCCGGCGAGGAGUCAUCCGGCGAGGAGUCAUCUGACGAGGAUAGUAUUCCUCCUCCUGAUGUUGAUGCUGAUGUCGUGCCAGAGGCACAGGGUGGCGAGGAGGACCUGAUCCAGAGGUUGCCGCCGUUUCCGGGGGGGCCUGUUGAGCUGUCGCUUCUCACGCAUUAUGCUGAUCACAAGGCUCCCUAGACGUGGCAUGCACUCCUACGCACAGACGAGCGGUAUGCGGACCAUCGACACUUGAAGGUGGCCACAACUGGGGGGAAGGUUUGGAACCUUGCUUGUGAUGGUGAUUCAGACAGUCACAGGCGGGUUCGAGAGUUGAUUGAGCAGACGGGUCUUCAUCAGCUACCCUGGUGCAGCUACCCGGAGACAGAUGUAGGCUUCAUUUUGGCCCUUGUGGAGCGAUGGCAUAAGGAGACUAGUAGCUUCCACAUGCCGUUCGGGGAGAUGACUAUCACCCUGGACGACGUGUCGGCUCUUCUCCAUCUCCCCAUGGGGUCGAGGUUCUAUACGCCUGGGAGGGGGGAGAGGGACGAGUGUGCAGCGCUCUGUGCUGAGUUGAUGGGAGGAUCUGCUGUUCGUUAUCAUGCUGAGUUUGAUACGAACAGGAGCCAGACUAUUCGCUUUGGGGUCUUGAAGACCUUGUAUGAUGCUGCGUUGGAGGGUAUGUAUUAAUUAUUAUUUGAUUAAAUUGUAUCUAUUAUUAUUGUAUUGUUAUAAACUGUUAACUCAAUUCAUUUCAUUGUAGAUCACCGAUACGAGGAUGCUGCGCGGAUUUGGCUGGUGAACCAGCUAGGCGCGACGCUCUUUGCUAGCAAGAGCGGAGGCUACCACACGACCGUGUACUGGAUAGGGAUGUUGCAGGAUCUUGGUCGAGUGUCCGAGUACGCGUGGGGCGCGAUUGCGCUCGCUACGUUGUACGACCAGCUUGAUCGAGCGUCCAGGAGGGGGACGGCCCAGAUGGGAGGUUUCAGCUCGCUACUGCUAGGAUGGGCCUACGAGUACCUUUCUGACCGCGUUAUUAUCCGGAGGGCGGAUCCGGACUACUCGCAGGACCAGCCUAGGGCGCGGCGGUGGGUUACGUCCCGGGUCGGGCAUGCAGGCCUCGAUGAGAGGCGAGUCAUGCUCGAUGAGCUGACGGUGGAUGACAUUAUAUGGACCCCAUUUGAGGACCAUCGGGCUCAUCGACCACGGGAUCCGAGGGCCAUGUAUUCUGGCUACAUCCGUACGCCAUUUGGCUGUGCUGUUCGACGACAUCUACCAGAGAGGGUUCUGCGCCAGUUUGGCUACACACAGGAUGUCCCUCGACACCCCUCGAAGAUCCAGACGACUGGGUCCCUUGCUGAGACCGCAGAUGCUGCCUAUGCUGACUUUGUGCCGCACUUGCGCCCUCAGGGGAUCCCUGCUACUUAUUCGGGAGAGGCUGUGGAGGAUUACAUGAGGUGGUAUAGCGGUGUGUCUCAUCGGUUCAUCAUCCCUGAUGAUAGGAGGGAGGAGUUCAGUGCUGUGGUAAUUUGAAUUUUAUUUUCCAUUCAAUUGUGAUUUUUUGUUCAUGAUAUUUUAUUUGUACCUAACCAUGUAUGUACAUUAUUUUUGCAGACGGUUGUGCGUCGGGCCGUGGACUUGUUGGAGCAGUCACUUGAGGUGCCAGAUGCUCUUGCAGUGGGCACGCAUGCCCGAUCCCUCACUGAGAGGGCGCUGGAUCUUAUUAGAUCCAGCGCCUUCAUUGGUACCCAGGGAGUAGCCUUUGCUGCUGUCCGAGGAGCUGGAGCUGCAGGAGGCAGAGCCCGUGGAGGCAGAGCCCGUGGAGAGGGUGCUCCUGCAGAGGGUGCUCGUGGAGACAGAGCCCUGAAGGUAUGAAAAACGGUAGAAAGGGGGGGUUUGAAUAACGUUUUCAGAACAAAACUUCCACCUUAAAGAUUUUGACAAAUCUUUCGAGAACUUAAGUGCUAAAGAUAAGAGAUAGAAAAGCACACAAGGAUUUUAUCCUGGUUCACUUGAUAAAUCACUCAAGCUACUCCAGUCCACCCGUUAAGGUGAUUUCUUCCUUCUUAGAAUGAAGGCAAUCCACUAAUCAGGUAAGAGUUACAACUGCACUUGAAACCUACAAGUGACUAACAAUUACACUGACUUAGCUCACACUAAGAUUCACUCUCUUAGUCUUCUCUAGGAUCCGAUCAACCUUGAUCUCCUAAAGGAACUAAACAAACUGUUUAUCAAAGAAUUGUUUACAAGAGAUUUGCUUCUAAAAAGCUAAUAGUAAACACAAUGAAUUUCAGAUGAAAGAAAGCUUAGAAUAUUUUGAAUAUGUCUUGCGCGUAUAUGUGUUUCUUUCUAGCCGCUUCUUUCAAUCUUCAGCCUCUAUAUAUACUCCAAGGAUUAGGGUUGAGCGUUGCAUGGGAAAUGCUACCGUUGGAGGGCAGUUCUGGAAAAUCCAGCUUCUGCUGUGGCUGAGAACGUUAGGUAGGUCGUCAGGAAGGUACACUUGCUUUUGUACUUGGAUAGCGACUUGACCUUUUAACCUAGGAGACUUCUGAUCAGGGGAAUACUUCAUAUUGGAACUUGUGAAGCCGGUUGAUCAGAGUCAGAGGGAAAGCACAGAUCCUCUGACCAUUGUAUCUUCUGAUUCUGAACUCAGAGGGAAGAACAUGGCCUUCAGAGUUUCUUGCUUCUGGACUUCAGAGUUUCCACUAUUCAGCUUCUGGAUCUUCAGAGUCUUCUACACCAUCAGAACAUCUGAACCUUCAGUGUUUCUUGGUUAUCAGAACUUCUGGAUCUUCAGAGCUUCUAGCGACUGAGUCCACAUCAGAGUUUGUAUAGCUUCAGAACUUCUGAAGCUUUUCCACUGUUCAUACUGAACAUGGUGAAUGCGAAAGCGUUGCUUGGGUUACCCUUUAUACACAGUGCUUCUGAUUUGUGUGAGAUUGAGUUGAGGUCAGAGCCUGUAAAUAGCACACUCAGAAAAACACGUUAGAGUACCACAAUUGUUCAUAUCAAAAGGUUAACUUGUAAUCAUCAAAACAUAGAGUUGUACUACUAGAUCAAAACUUGAUCUUACAAUCUCCCCCUUUUUGAUGAUGACAAAACUAAGAUUUUUGAUGAACAAUUCUUAAACAUUAAACUGAAUUCACUCAGAGUUUAGAGAUAUAGAAUAAGACUUAUCCUGAUGUGAAUAGUUUAUCUUGCUCAUUCUGAAUUCAAGUCACUGCUUGAUUCUGAGCUUAGCUCCCCCUGAAUCUAAUACGUGAUGAAAACGUUAGUAAAGUCUAGAUUCUGAGCUAAAAAAUAUAAGAGUUCAGAGUGAAAAGCUUAUGACAUAGAUGAAAAACGAAUAAUCAGAGCGCAUAAGUGAUCAGAGUCAUGGACAAGGUAUCAGAGUCUUAGGUAUCAGAGUCAACUUAGAAUCACUUCAGAAGAAGUGAAAUGUAUUCCUUGUAUUUGCCCAGUGACACAUCUAUGGUCAUGAAGGUGGAACUCUUAAAAUCUCCAAAAGAAAAAUAAGUCACACUAACACAUCUUACAAAUCAAAAACUGGGUUUACUCCCCCUUUUUGUCAUAAGCAAAAAGCUUGGGGUGUGAAAAACUUAGCUUGAAGUACAAGGUACUCCCCCUUAGAGAAGGUCUAAGUUUAAAAGAAAAUGAAAACGAUGUAAGAAUCAGAGUUAGGCGAAAAUAAAUAGAAGAGUUAAUGCAAGGGAUGAACGUUUACCACCGGUCAAGUGAGUAAAUAGAAGGGUCAGUUACCAAGAACUUAACCUCGAGAAACUGUAAGAGCAUUAACUUUCAGAGAGAAAGUGAAGCCUAUAAAAAGCGUUGGAGAGAAAGGUAAGCUUCACACCUCGAAUAAUUUUCAGUAAAAAAAAUGGCAUCAUACAACGUAGCACUAGAAGAGCUGAGGAAGAAGGCCUUUGAAGAGGACUUGUUCCUGAACAUCAGGCAUCCAGAGGGUGCAACUACCAUCGCGGAGCUGACACGGACACUGCUGGAAGAGGACCUGCGUCCAGAGUUGGAGAGAGACCUGAAGGAAUUUCUUGCCUUCGUGGAGGAGGUGCAAGAACUCAGCCGGCUUGAACUCAAGCUGCUGGAAGAGAAAGAGAGUUUGGAAGAGAAGCUCAAGACUUCAGAAGAGAUUCUGGAGAGGGAUGAGCUAAAGAUCAGGCUCAGCAACAUCCAGCAUGUACUGGAGCGUCUGGAGAAGGAUAGGUCAGAGCAGCGCCAGGAGUGCAGAAGAAUGAGGAGAGAUCCUCCAUUCUAGAUUAUAUGAUGGAAAGAAAUAUGAUGUAAACACAAAACAAUUAUGAAUAAAACGAGUUUAGCAAACAUAUGUGACAUAAGUAUAUAGUUAUGCAUAUAUAAUCACAAACGAACAAAAGAGAAUAAAUAAAUAAAAAGAAACAGAGUUUAACAAAGGAAAACAAAGGUAACGAAAAAGAAGAAAAAGAAGAGAUCCUAAAACUAAGGUUUGUCAGUGCGUCGCAGAAGUUCCAUCAUCAUGUGCUUCAUCUCAAUCAGCAUGGAUUCAUGAGUGUCAAGACGUUGUUCCAUGAUGUCGAGUCUGGAUGAGCUUGUCUGAGUAGAACUGGAAGGAACAUUCUGAGCAGCUUGAGGAUCUGGAAUGGAAGCAGAAGCAGCAGGAGUAAACACAACUGGUGCAAGUGCUUGGCAUCUAAGAGCUUCAGCCUCAGCUUCAAGUCGCUCUGCCUCAAGUCUGGCUUGUUCAGCUUGAGCUGCUGCUUGACGUGCAGCUUCUUCUGCUUGUUCUUUCUUUCUCUUGGCUUCUUCAAUAGCUUCAAGAAGCUUAUUUCUCUGUUCUAGUUCAUGAAGAGCCACCCUUCUAGCAAACCUUUGCUUUGCAGCCUCAAUGCUCUGACUGCCCUCUGCAUGCAGGAGCUGCAUCAUAAUCGGAACUUGAGCCACUAGCCAAGUGCUCAGAUUGUUCCACUCAUCAGCCACAUUUUCAGCAUUCUCACUGAGAUCAGUCUGACCGUGCACAUUGCGGAGCCUCAAGGAGGCUUCAUGAUAGAAGAUAUUGAUGCACUCAGAGAGAGAUGUGGGUUGAAGGUGAGUAUAGGGAAUUAUGGAGAGGUUGGGUGCAGGAGAGGCUGGGUGAUUGCUGCUAUGAGCUUCAGAGGCACCUUGUGGAGAACCAAUGUUAAUCAUGGGAGCAUUGGGUUCAGAGGUUCCAAGGUGAGGGUCUGAAGUUUCAACCAGAGGGUGAGGUGAUCUAACCGAGGAUUGGUUAGACACUGAUUGUUCGGGUUCAGGGUCUGGUUGAAUGGGCUCUUGUUGGUCAGGGACAGGGUGAGCUUGUUGAACUAAGGGGUCUGCCUCUUGGAUAGGAUUGGCCAAGAUAGGUUCAUCUGGGUCAACUAGACGUUCAGGUCUAGGGCCAGGAUAUCUCCUAGGGCUUGGACAGGUAAGGUAAUACUCUUCCAAGGCAGACACCUUCUCUUUUCUAACCUCCAUGAAUUUUCUAAUUGAUUCAGAGUUAUUGGAGGGAGAAGAAUCAACAACAUUGAUUGGGAAGGAUACAGGUGUAAAGGCUGUUGAAGAGUCUGUAUCCGUGGUUCUGGCAGCAGGACGUGCUGAUGCUCUGGGAGCAGAGUGAUCAGACGUUCUGGGUUGUGGUUCUGUUUGGUUGGGCUCUGGUUGGUCAUGGAUGAUGGGUUCAGAAGAUAAUGGGUCGUACGGAAUGGUAAGGAGAGAGGUUGGAUCUUCUGACCUAGAGGUUGGGUUCUGAAGCAAAUUCCAGAGAGGUGCUUCGGUAGGAGAAGGUUGAAAGAAGGAGGAUCGUGGGGAAUGUGGUGGAGAGGUGGUUUGUGCGGCUGGUUGGGAUUCGGGAAUAGGAGUGAGGGGAUUUGAGGAGUGUUGAAGCAAGGCAGAAAUAGGAAGUGCAUCAAAUAAAUUCAAAUCAUCAUCAGAAGCAAGUGCAGGCUUACUUGAAUGUGCUGAUGAUCGAGUCACUCUGGCAGGAGGUUCAGUCCUUCUGACCACUGCAGCAGCUGGUUCCACCCGAGUAGGCUUCACCACGAUUCUGACCUUCUUCUGCUUCUUCUUUGGAGGACCAUCCUCACUAUCACUAUCAUUACCAUCAUCAGGCUUUCUCUUUGUCUUCUUGACCAGAGGGACAUCAGAUUCUUCAGAGGAUUCUUCCAGAACCAUCUUCCUCUGAGCUUUCUUCUUGGGAGGAGAAGGAAACUCUGGAGCUGGCGUCAGUCUGCUGAAGAAAUCAUCAAGAUCAAUCUCGAAUCCUUGAGCCCUGAGGUCUUCAACAUAGCAUCUGAUGGCUUCAGGAUUGUCUGCUUGAGUCCACAGUGGGUAGUCAUUCAGAGGCAUCCUUCUUCCUCUGAUCUCAGAAGAUGUGUCUUCAUGAGCAGGAGCAAUCUUCUUCUGGACCAAACCCAUCUUCUUCAGAGAGUUGGCAGUGAAGACAUCGCUGACAAUUGUGCUCAAGUCCUCUGUGCAACCAGCAUUGAUCAGGUCUUGAAUGAGGCCACUCUCAAUGAAGAGAUCAGACAGCAGUCUCCCAAAGGGGAUAUACUUGAUUGCUGACUUGAUUGAGGCAGUAGUCCUAGACUUCCGGAUACACUCCUUCAAGUAGGAGAACAGGAAGUAGGGAAGGCAGAUCUUCCUCUUGUCUUGAAUGAAAAACAGCAUCGCCUUCUGGUUGAAGUUGAUGUAAUCUGGGGAACUGCCCUUCGGUCUCUGAUUGGUGCAGUUGAGCAGGAUCUUGUGCCAGAUCCUGAGUUUGGGGUGAAGGUCCAUCACCUUGUAACUUGUCUUGCCCGGUUUGAAAGUGGUGUACAGGGCCUGGUUGGUUUUGUCUUUGGUGCUGGGUUUCAGCUUCGACUCAGUGAAUUGGAAUCGAAAUCCAUAAGCAGUGUCUGCACCUAGCAGAUUCACGAAUGACUUCUCCGUGAUGAUGAUCUUCCUGCCAAGAAUAUGAGAUACCACUUGAGUAUCAUCGCAGUCGGCGUGCUUCCAGAAUUCCUUGACCAACUUCUCAUACACCGGUCCUCGAAGUCGGUUGAAGUAGUUUCCCCAACCUUGAGCUUGGACUUCAGGACGAAGAUCAAACCCAUUUCAGCCAGGUUGUCGAGGUCGAAUCUCCAUUCUGCCAGGACUUGGAGUUCCUCAGGAGCAAAUACGCAGUGAACGGCACAGCCCCGUUCUGCAAUUGGAACAAUCUGCUCUUGAGCUUGAACUUGUUCUUGUGCCGGGUUCUCAGAGCCCCUUUGACCCGUUGCCAAACCAACUACCAUGUGAGGGAACUGAGGUGCAUCUGCAGUAGAUCUUCUGGUUUGUCUCACCAUUUUGAAGAGGUUGAAGGUUUGAGGUAGAAGAUGAAGUUUGAAGGAUGAAGAGAGAUCGAGAGAGAAAUCAAGAAAGAGGCGGUUUUGAAAAGCAGAGAGUGCGAGAGUGAAAACCGGAAGUGAACGAGAACGUGUGUGUAUAGUGGGUUUUAUCAAAUAACCGUUGUUGAUUCAAAAAGCACUUUAAGAUCAACGGUUGAAAAUUAAAGAUAGAUAGUAACAGUAAAAUACACAAUCACACACAGGAGAUAAGCAUAUCUACACGCAAUCAUAACAGACUGUCACACGGGCACAAGGAAUUAUGCAUCAGAAAUUCUGACACACGUGUUGUUGUCUCAGCUUCAGAGUCAGUACCAGUGGGCACACACACUCUGAUUGAGUUACCUUCUGGACUAGACAUCUUCUGAUCAAGAAGUAUCAUAGUCAGAGGUUCUGAUCCAUCUUCACUCUGGACAAAAGUCCAUGUUUAGAUUUUUCAGAAUAAAAUUAAAUCUAUCCUCUGCUAAGGGCUUUGUAAAGAUAUCUGCCCAUUGAUGGUCAGUAUCAACAAACUUCAGAAGAAGUACGCCCUUCUGUACAUAAUCUCUAAUAAAGUGAUACUUUACCUCAAUGUGCUUUGCCCUUGAAUGCAAGAUAGGAUUCUUACUCAAUGAGAUUGCAGCAGUGUUAUCACAAUAGAUUGGGAUAUUGCUCUCAAGGAUCUGAUAAUCCUCCAGCUGAUGUUUCAUCCAGAGCAUCUGAGUGCUGCAUAUUGCUGCUGAGAUAUAUUCUGCCUCUGCAGUUGAUAGUGCAAUGGUUGAUUGCCUCUUGCUUGCCCAUGAGACUAGAUUGCUUCCCAGAAAUUGACAAUUUCCAGAAGUACUUUUUCUCUCUGUUCUAUCUCCAGCAUAAUCAGCAUCACAAUAACCUGAAAGCUUAUACUCUGAUGUUUUCUUAUACAUCAAGCCAAGGUUAGUGGUGCCUUUCAGAUACCUUAGGAUCCUCUUAACAGCAGUUAAGUGGGUUUCCCUUGGAUCUGAUUGGAAACGAGCACAUAAGUGAACACUAAAUAAUAUGUCUGGCCUAGAUGCAGUUAAGUAUAGAAGUGAACCUAUCAUUCCACGAUAGAGCUUCUGACAUACUUUACCACUUUUAUCUUCUUUCUCCAAAAUGCAUGUAGGAUGCAUUGGAGUCUUGGCCACUGUAGAUUCCAGCAUAUUGAACUUCUUCAGAAGUUCUUUAGUGUACUUGCUCUGAUGGAUAUAUGUUCCUUCUGGUGUUUGAUCAACUUGUAUUCCCAGAAAGUACUUUAAUUCUCCCAUCAUACUCAUCUCAAAUUCAGCCUGCAUCAUCUCAGAAAAUUCUUUGCAUAGAGAUUGAUUAGCAGAACCAAAUAUAAUAUCAUCAACAUAAAUUUGCACAAUUAAGAUAUCAUCUUUAUAAGUCUUGCAAAAAAGAGUUGUAUCUACUUUACCCCUUACAAACUCAUUCUCCAGAAGGAAUGAGCUAAGUCUCUCAUACCAUGCUCUGGGAGCUUGCUUCAGACCGUAGAGUGAUUUCUUCAAUUUGAACACAUGGUCUGGUUUCUUUUCAUCUUCAAAACCUGGGGGUUGAUGAACAUAGACUUCCUCUGAGAUAUAACCAUUUAGGAAGGCACUCUUUACGUCCAUCUGAUGUAGAACUAUGUUGUGAUUUACUGAGAAGGAGAUCAACAGUCUGAUUGCCUCCAGUCUUGCUACCGGAGCAAAUGUUUCAGUGUAGUCUAUUCCUUCCUGCUGGCUGUAGCCUUGAGCAACUAGCCUUGCCUUGUUUCUGACUACAUCUCCUUUCUCAUUUAGCUUGUUUCUGAAUACCCAUUUCUGUAACACCCCGAUUUCGGUGGCGUCACUUUAGUAACCAAAAGAAAAUACUUUAAGCGGAAAAACGUGAAUUAUUUUUUUUCGACAAUAUAACUAAAGACAGAAAGCAAUAAAACUCCCCAACAAAAGAUAAAAGGAACUACUAUACAACUAUAUAUACAUGCCUCGCUAAACACUACCACGUCACGAGUAACCUCCAGUGACGGGUGACAGAAAAAGAGUAACGCCCGAAGGCAAUAUGUACAAUCCAAGAUAAAGAUACUGUGUCCGCAACACUAAACUACAAAAUCUGAGAGCAAGUUGGCCCAGCGGCCUAAGAAAAGACCCCCUAAAUCCAACCAGCUCUCUGUGAUCUCCAUAGGAAACCACACAAAAGCUACCGGUAGGAAAACUACCCUGUCCCCAAAAACGGAAACAUGACGGUCAGAGCAUCGACACUACUCCUACACUAUCCCUACCCGAGGAGCCCACACUAGCACUCGAUCCUACACGCUAGCGCGGUCGUCAUCCGAAUCUGCAUCCAGGACGACUAGGUCGACGUACUCAACACUGCCCUCUCUGUCCACCCUAAUGCGCUCCUGCACUGGACUCUCGGGCUCGGGGCCCGGAACGAGAUCCGCGACGACAGCAGCAGCAGUAGACGGACUAGACUCCGUCGAAGCCCCACCUACUGGCACCUCCUCAGAGGGGUCCUCAUCAUCUGAAGGGGAUGGUGGCGGUGGAGGUACUCCCAAGCCGGGUCCACAGUGUACUCCUGGAGGCAGGUUGAAGCUCACUAUGUGCCUCCUCAUCACUCCCUCCGUCAAGCGUCCAAAUCGGUCGACACGGUCCUCCAUGAUCCGACCGGUGUAGGUCGCACGGUGGCCCUCGGGAUCGACCACCCAUGCACCUGGGUCGUCUUGAUCAAGCAUCUCGUACCUGGUCCCCCCCGACGGGCUGACCAUGGUAAACCAAUCCCCCAUACUCAUCUGACAAAUGGCGUAGUCCGCCCAAACACACACAGCAGACGCGAGGGUCAACUCCAAAGAAUUAUAUAAUUAAUAAAACCAGAUAUAAUUAUAGGAUAAUAAAUACUCGCCCCUCAGGCUUAUAAGUUUUGGGAUAGCUUCCUAGGGUUGCAUGUAUCACAAUGAAUAUAAAGAGCCAUAAAAACAAGUAGCAUGCCUCAAAAAUAGGAUAAACAGUUACCAAUCACACUCAGCAACUAAGUCAGCAUGUAUGUUGCAUGAAAUGCAAUGCUGGGUAACAAAAUGCAUUCCGGAAGAAGGAUGGACAUCAACGAGGCGGCCCUAACACCAGCCACGGUGGGUACCUUCCUGCUCGCGUGUCUCUUACACCACACAAAAGUAGUCAGAUCAGCAGUGAACCCGUAGGUCUGCCAUUCCGUCUGCUACUGAGGACCACCGUAGUGUCCUAAAUAUGGAAAUCCGGGUCUUAUGACCAUUUUGGAAUCCACCGAGGUCCGGUAUCACGCCGUGUAUUAACCUCAAAAUGAGUGCAUGAAUGCAAGUGAUUAGCCAAACAACGUCUCCGACCUCACCCGACACGUCGCCACGUGUUCUAGAUAACUUAAAGUCUCUGAAAGAAUACCCUAAGGUAAAUGUCGAUUCUGCGACAAAAUACAAUUAAUCAUAAACAAAAGAGUGCAACCACUCACGACAACUCUUCGAGUCAUCAAUGCUCUCACGAAGUCUCUCGCUUCUGUGGAGUCUCACACAUUCACAAAGUCUCACGCUUCAGUGAAGUUUUAUGCUUUCACAAGGUCUCACGCCUCAGUGAAUUUACACACUUGCACGAAGUCUCACGCUUCAAUGAAGUUUCAUGCUGUUCACGAGGUCUCACGCCUCAGUGAAGAUCCAUGCUUUCCACAAGGUCUCACGCCUCAGUGGAGUAUCACGCAUUCACAAGGUCUCACACCUCCGUGAAGCUUCUCGGCUCAUCCCUUGGAUGGCUAAACAAACUGCUCCCAGAGCGAAUGAGUAUCAACAUACCCAGAACUCGAAAUCUUCUCAACACUUGGAUCCGACGACACUUCUCGUUUUCCAAAACUAAACUUCAAUCCAAAGCUUGCAUCCGAGAUUGUUAUCCUUACUUAAAGGUUUAGAGGUUGUUUAAUAUCUUAUGAAUUUUCUUUAUAAAAAUAGCUCUUUUUAGUCUUAUCGUAUUCCCUAUGAGUUUCAAAGUUCCCAUAAACCCAAGUAAUUCCCUGAGAAGGUCUCGAUCCAUUGGAGCAUGACAAGGUCCGAACUCCGUUCGUCCUUUUAAAACUCUCUCAAAAUCUCAUAAAAAUUCGGCAUGACCUGCCCGUAAACCUCACUUUUCAGAAUCUCAGGUACAAGUGGAAUAGCAUAAAUAAAACAGCUCGGUCAAAAGCAUAAACAGCAUAUUCCAACACAUCCUAAGUUAACCAUGUAGCACAUAGCAUGUGAAUCAUUUAGCACACAAUAUCAUGGCCUCAAGUACUCAACAAGGUCGGCCGAAGCCUCAGAGAACAAUUCAGACAUUUAGCAAUUAAGUGCAUAACACAUAGAUCAAGUCGAACUUGUCGACACCUAAAGCAUUAUCUAGUAAUUCAGAGAGUAGCCCUCACCGGUGGGUCUUCCAGCUUCUUCCUCAAGAUGUUCUCCAAACUCUUCUCCUUGAUUUCUGGGAAUCUCCUCAAACGAACCUUAAGCAAAAAUCACAGAAAUCAACACCAAGAGUCAGAAACUCAGCAAUCAAAGAGUCCUAGGGUUACACAGUACACUACUACCUCCUUGGUACGACAAUCUAACGCGUUAAGACAAGUUUUCGAAAAAUCGGAUUCUCCUCCCCCCUUGAUAUAGCUCUCGGCCACUUUCCUUAAUUGGGAGGGUCGAUUUUUCUUCGAUCAAACUUGGUUCCUAGGUUAACAUAAGCCGUAACUAAGACGGUUCUAGGCUCGGAAAAAUUUUCGGAUCGAAAACUGAUAUAGGGGCAGUUUGGUCAUUAUUUUUAGCUCAAAAUUUCAAAAUUGGAUUUUUGAAAAACAAAUUGGAUGGGGACGUCCACAACGACGUUUAUGACGACAAAUCCUACUAGCACUAAGCCAAGUCGAUAGAUUAGAGCGUAAAGGUUGCGACUUUGCCGAAAAAUGGGUAUUUAGGGUAGAAAUUGAUCCCGGCGGCAUUUCGUCGACAUUUGACAAAAUCUAAUCCGCAGAACACGCUCAGGAGCAUGCAGGGAAGAAGUUUAGACGCUGAAAUCAGCUGAUUUGAACAGUUUUUCAAAAACCUCAAAAUUUUGAACUCAGAAAGUCGCAGGAGAAAUGGACAGAAACGACGAUUCGAAGGAGAGUAUAGAUUACCUACCUCGAGGUCUUCGAUUAGUGACGAUCGGUGAAGCAAACGGGCAAGAAACGACGAAGAUCCGGAUCUCUCUCUCUCUCUAGGAACUCGCGGUUUUGGGGGUGGGGAAAAUGGGUUUUUUUUUGCAAAAAAUCUAAUUUUCAAGCUAUUUAUAGGUUUUGGAAAAAACGGAAAAAUGAUUUUUUUGCGAUUCCGAUUUUUCCUGCGCGUUCCUCUGCGCAUUCUAAGAUAGGUUCUGGCGACAGAAUUCCAGAACUCAAAACAGGAUUCUUGGAAUUAAACCAAAAGAUCCAAAAUCGGCAUAAGUCGGUGUAAGUCGGUUUAUCCCGAAAAACUACUUUUUGCAGUGAUCGUCGGAUGAGAAAACUUCCUUCUGAAGAAAGAUUAGGAAUGAUGAGAGAAGUAGGAGAAUGCGGGUGGAAUCUUCAUUUGAGUUUCCGGAUAGAAAAAGUCUUCAUCGUCUGUCGAUCUUAGGUUUUUCGAACUAUCAGGGAUUCCGUUUCGGCAAACUUCCGAGAAUUGGAAUUUGACGUUCGUACUUUCCAGGAUUUCGCAUCGAAAUGGUUGUUUAAGGACGGAAAAGAGAAGUUCUAACAUUUCUCUGAGGAUUUUUGGAAUUAGUAUCCAUCGUGUCCUAAAGCGUAAAUUAACUAUUCACUAAUACCUUCGACCUAGGAUUAAGCGUAUGUUAGUUGUGCUAUAACUCUUUCGGUUUUUCGAUACAUUCUUGGACUUUUCCUGAACCUCUUUCCUUCCCAAAUUUAUCUUAAUCAAAUAACUCUUUUAUUUUAUUCACUUAUCCAAAGCGUUAAAACUUGGGCCUUACAAUUUCGUUCCAAUAACAUGGACAUUCUCAGGCUUCUUCACUAAGCUCCAAACAUCGUUCUUGGAGAAUUGAUUUAAUUCUUCUUCCAUGGCCAGAAUCCAAUCCUUGUCCUGAAGAGCUUCAUCUAUGGACUUGGGUUCAAUUAAGGACACCAAUCCUUUCAGACUCAGCAAGGUCUCUUCAGAGGGUCUGAAGGCAGAUCUGGUUCUGACUGGUUCAUCUUUGUUGCCCAGAAUCAAUUCCUUAGGGUGAGCUGCAGUGAUUCUGCUCUUCUUCAGAGUUUGUGAGUUAGAGGGACCAGCUUCUUCCUCUGGUUCAUCUUCCUCUGGCUCAACUUCCUCUGGAGCUUUGCCUUUGUCAGAAACAUUAAUGCUUAAAUCUGCAAACUUUUCAACUAGCUUUGACUGGUCAGAGUCAAGCUUAUCAUCAAAUCUAACAUGAAUAGAUUCUUCAAUAGUCUUAGCAUCGGUAUUAUAAAAUCUAAAACCUUUAGAUCUAUCAGAAUAACCAAGUAAUAGACACUUAGAAGACUUAGCAUCAAAUUUAUGCAAUCUAUCCUUAGUAUUGAGAACAUAACAAACACAGCCAAAAGGAUGAAAAUAAGAAAUGUUGGGUUUUAUGUUCUUCCACAAUUCAUAAGGAGUCUUAUUCAGAAUUGGUCUCACAGAGAUUCUGUUCUGAAUGUAACAUGUUGUAUUUACUGCCUCUGCCCAAAAGUGCUUAGCCAUGCCAGUUUCUUGGAGCAUGGUUCUAGCCAUCUCCUGAAGAGUUCUGUUCUUCCUCUCAACAACACCAUUUUGUUGAGGAGUUCUGGGACAAGAGAAAUCAUGUGCAAUUCCAUAGGAAUCAAACAGACUCUCAAACUUGUCAUUCUCAAACUCUCCACCAUGGUCACUUCUGACACGCACAAUCCUACAAGCCUUCUCGUUUUGCACUUGAGCAAUGAAGGUAGAGAACACAGCAUGAGACUCAUCCUUGUGGGUUAGAAACUUUACCCAUGUCCAGCGGCUAUAGUCAUCAACGAUAACCAUCCCAUAUCUCUUGCCACCUAUAGGCUCAGUUUACACUGGUCCAAAAAGGUCUAUAUGCAGAAGUUCCAACGGCCUUGAGGUUGAGACAACAUUCUUUGCCUUGAAAGGGACUUUUGUGAAUUUGCCUUUCUGACAUGCUUCACAAAGAGCGUCUGAAGCGAACUUCAGAUUGGGUAAGCCCCUGACAAGAUUUAGCUUGCUCAGCUGAGAAAUCUUUCUCAUACUGGCAUGCCCUAACCGUCUAUGCCAUACCCACUGCUCUUCAUCGACAGACAGAAGGCACUUCACAUUCUGAGCCUCCGACUCAGAUAAUCUGAUCUUAUAAAUGUUGUUCUUCCUCUUGCUGUUAAACAGAACAGAGCCAUCGAUCUGACUUACAGCCCGGCAGGACUUUUGAUUGAAUAUAACAUCAUAACCCUUGUCAGCUAAUUGACUUAUAGACAAUAAGUCAUGUGUUAAGUCGUCUACCAAUAAAACAUUGUCAAUGCAUGGACUACUAUCUACACAAAUAGUACCAGUACCAACAAUUUUACCCUUUUCAUUUCCUCCGAAGCCAACUUCGCCUCCAGGCUUAAGUUUCAGCUCUCGGAACAUACGCUUUUCUCCCGUCAUGUGACGCGAGCAUCCACUGUCCAGAUACCAUGAUUGGUGUUUCAGUGGAGCUAUCAAGGAUAUCUGCAACAUAGAUAAUCUUGUCCUUAGGUACCCACUUUCUGGGUCCUCUUUUGUUAGUUACCCCAGAGGUUCUGAUCACCUUGGGUGUCUCAACAUAAUAUUUUAAAGGAAUAUUUGCAUGAUAUUUAGUCAUAGAGAAAGAUCCCUUUUUAAGAGGGUUUUUAGCAAUUUUAGCAGGUACAGGAUCAGGCAAUAUGGUACCAGAGGGAACAAAGCAUUCAUACAAGGAUUUAGCUUUAGACACAGAAGGCUCAUUUCUAAUUGGUUUAGAAUAGCCAAUGCCAUGCAUUCCAUUUCUGCUUACGCCAUAGAUCAUUGAAGCCAUUAAGCUUCUAUCCACGCUUUUAGCUAGGAAUCUUUGAAAAGACUUUUCAUACUUAGAUUCAUUUCUACAAUCAGAGGCAUCACAGGCAACAAUUUCUUCUAACUUAGCAAUCUGGUUCUUAAGCAUAGAGUUAGAAUUUACCAAAGCAUGAUUUUCAUUUUUCAAAUCAGAAAUAAUUUUCUCAUGUUCAGAAGGAGUCUUGGAGACAGCAGAUAAGUUCUUUUUCAACUUUUUAUGCUUAGACAAUAAAGAGUUAUACUUAUCCAUGAUAUCAGACAAAGCAUGUUUCAGUUCAGAGGUAGAGAAAGAAGCAAAUACCUCAUUUUCAUCGUCUGAGUUAGGAUCUCCUUCUGAUUCUGAGUCAGAGUCAACAGCUUCCUUUGACUCUGCUUCCUUGUCUUUGACAAUUGCCAUGAGUCCUUGGACUUCACCAUCAGAGUCAACAUCCUCUGACUCUGAUUCAUCAAAUGUCACCAUCAGACUCUUCUUCGUCUUGAAGUGCUUCUUUGGCUUCUUGUCUUUCUUCAACUUUGGACAAUCACUUUUGUAGUGCCCAGAUUCUUUGCACUCAAAACAUGUGACUUCCUUGAUUGAAGACUUCUUCUGGCCUGAGGACUCAUACUUUCCUUUUGCCUUUCCAGAGCCUUUGAACUUGCUCUGCCUGUGCUUCCAGAUGCGGUUGAGUCUCUUGGAGAUCAGAGUCAGCUCAUCUUCAUCAGAAUCUUCUGAUGCUUCUUCAGAUUCUUCUUCUUCAGCUUGAAGAGCCUUUGACUUCUCAACCUUAGCCUUUUCAGAUUUGGAUUUCAAGGCUAUGGACUUUUUCCUCAGAUCUUGCAUCUCUGAGCGUUUCAGCUCAUGGCAUUUCAAAAUGUUGAUGAGUUCUUCUAAACUCAUAUUCUCAACGUCUCUCGUGAGCUCUAUUGAAGUCACCAAAGGCAUCCAACUUUCAGGAAGACACCUGAUGACCCUUAUGACAUGAUCUUUUGUUGUGUAGCUCUUGUUGAGAGGUCGUAUGCCAGCUACAAGCAAUUGAAAUCUGGAGAACAUUUCUUCAAUGGACUUAUUUGGCUCCAAGAUGAAGGAUUCAUACUUUUGGAUCAAAGACAAUGCCUUUGAUUCUUUGACUUUCUUGUUUCCUUCAUGAGACAUCUUCAGAGAUUCAAAAAUGCCUUUAGCAAACUCACGAUCUGUAAUCUUCUGGUACUCCUCAUAGGAAAUAGCACUUAGAAGAAUUGCUCUUGCUUUGUGAUGUUGUGAGUACAGCUUCUUUUGAUCNNNNNNNNNNNNNNNNNNNNNNNNNNNNNNNNNNNNNNNNNNNNNNNNNNNNNNNNNNNNNNNNNNNNNNNNNNNNNNNNNNNNNNNNNNNNNNNNNNNNNNNNNNNNNNNNNNNNNNNNNNNNNNNNNNNNNNNNNNNNNNNNNNNNNNNNNNNNNNNNNNNNNNNNNNNNNNNNNNNNNNNNNNNNNNNNNNNNNNNNNNNNNNNNNNNNNNNNNNNNNNNNNNNNNNNNNNNNNNNNNNNNNNNNNNNNNNNNNNNNNNNNNNNNNNNNNNNNNNNNNNNNNNNNNNNNNNNNNNNNNNNNNNNNNNNNNNNNNNNNNNNNNNNNNNNNNNNNNNNNNNNNNNNNNNNNNNNNNNNNNNNNNNNNNNNNNNNNNNNNNNNNNNNNNNNNNNNNNNNNNNNNNNNNNNNNNNNNNNNNNNNNNNNNNNNNNNNNNNNNNNNNNNNNNNNNNNNNNNNNNNNNNNNNNNNNNNNNNNNNNNNNNNNNNNNNNNNNNNNNNNNNNNNNNNNNNNNNNNNNNNNNNNNNNNNNNNNNNNNNNNNNNNNNNNNNNNNNNNNNNNNNNNNNNNNNNNNNNNNNNNNNNNNNNNNNNNNNNNNNNNNNNNNNNNNNNNNNNNNNNNNNNNNNNNNNNNNNNNNNNNNNNNNNNNNNNNNNNNNNNNNNNNNNNNNNNNNNNNNNNNNNNNNNNNNNNNNNNNNNNNNNNNNNNNNNNNNNNNNNNNNNNNNNNNNNNNNNNNNNNNNNNNNNNNNNNNNNNNNNNNNNNNNNNNNNNNNNNNNNNNNNNNNNNNNNNNNNNNNNNNNNNNNNNNNNNNNNNNNNNNNNNNNNNNNNNNNNNNNNNNNNNNNNNNNNNNNNNNNNNNNNNNNNNNNNNNNNNNNNNNNNNNNNNNNNNNNNNNNNNNNNNNNNNNNNNNNNNNNNNNNNNNNNNNNNNNNNNNNNNNNNNNNNNNNNNNNNNNNNNNNNNNNNNNNNNNNNNNNNNNNNNNNNNNNNNNNNNNNNAAGCUUUGAUUGAGAUUUAAGGCUUUGUUUUAUAACAGCUUUUGAGAAAUGAUUUAAUUGAGGCCAUGCCCUGUGAAAUGUGAUAUUUUACUUUUUUCAAAUAUCAAACUCUAGGUUUGCUUUUGGGUGAUAUUUAAGCUUAACUAACCACCUUAUUUCAAACUCUAGGAGGUAUGACUCAAUCUUUGUAGCAUUGGGGAAAAUUGGUCUGACAAUAAGUGUUUGGUGGAUUCUUCACCCAAGAGGAAGCUUUGCCAGUUUUCAAGAUUGACCAAGGGAGCUUCUUUAAACGGUCUUGAAGGUCUCCUCCUUGAGCCACCAAGAGAGGCUCUUAACAAUUCAAACAAGAACUUGAAGAUCAAGUACCUGCAGGUACUACUGAGUGCGACAUGCAUAUGUUGGCUUAAAAGGGCUCUUACCAUAAGAGUAGUUGAGAUAAACAUGACUCAUUUCUUUUAGAUAUGGCCAAGAACUUAGGAUUGAGCAAGUAUAUAUGAAUAUUACAAUUUGAGAUUUGUAGGACGAGAUGUUUGAAGGUUCUAUAUUUUAUUAUAUUGUUACCUGAAAUCACAUUAGAAGGUUUGACUUGCGUUGGGUUUCACUCGAAGUAAAGCAUAGAAAAAAGAAUGUCAGGUAAGCAUACAGAGUAAAAUGCUAGAUACGAAGAGCAUACUCUAUGUUGUUGAAUUUCGUAGUUCUUGGACAUGGUGUUGGAAGGAGUAAACGUCUUCCACGAAGGGAUAUUUUAUAUGAAAAUGAUUGUGUUAAAAUUAAUAGAAAAAAAAUUAAUAUAAUUAAUUUUAGUAUUUUUAAAAAAAUUUAAGAGGGUAUAUUUAUAUAUGUAUAUAACUAUAAUAGUUUGAUAGUUAAAAUAGUAUGAGGAAUAAAAAAUAUGAAUACAUAUGUAUUAUAGAUUUAUGACCUAAAUUUAUUAGUGCUAACAUAUUCGAGUUAUGAGAUCUCACGGGAAGGAACAUUUUACAUGAUAAAUGAAAAAUGUGUACACAUAGUUAAAAAACAACAUUUUUAUAUAACUUAAGUGUAUUUUUAAUAAUGUAAACAAUAAUUAUAUAUUUAUGUAUUGUUACAUAUCUAAAACACAAAAGCAAUACCCUUUAUGCAACACAAGUAUAUAUCUUCGCAACCAAAAUUCAGUUUUUUAUUUAUUGUAAAUCAUGUCAAACAAAGCAUCAAAGGUUGUUUGCAUCACUUCCUUGCGGAUAAACUGGGGAUCAUGGCUUACAUGAGCACAGAGCACACCAAAGUGGAUUGGACACCACAUUUGUCACUCAAAACCUUAAGGCAAACAAAAUUCAGUUAUACCUCAUAUAUGCAAAACUUAAAUAUUUUGGCCUAAUAACUUUUAUGUUUUUCAAAAUGUUUAUAUUAGUCUAUUCAGUGUAUGCUUAAAAAAUACUAGAAUUCAGUGUCUAAAUUUGUGCUCUUUAAAUAUCUACAUCUUUAUUAUGAUUGUUCUUACAUUCUUAGCAUUUUAAGUAUUUUAUAAUUUAAAAUAUUAAUCGAUGUAUCAAAUACAAUAGACAAAUUUCUCGUGCAACGCGCGGGUAGAAAACACUAGUUAUAACUUCUUUGAUGAUAUUAAAAAUUUAUUAUUUAAUAUAAUGUAUUUUAAACUUGCAUAAUUUGUUUUUCAUAUAAAAAAUAAAUAAAUUAUUAAAACUAACUUAAUGCUAAUUAUUAAAAUAAAUCAAAAAAUUUGAGUGUGUAUAUUUUUACACAAAGGAAACUCUAAAUCGUCUCAAGAUAAUCAUUUUUAAUUUUAUAGUACUUAUAAUUUAAAAUUAUUCUAAUAUUCAUUUAAAGUAUAAUAAUUUUUAUAUAAUGUUAAAAAAUAUAGUAAAUAAUACAUGUGCAACAAAAAAUGAGGAGAUAUACAUGAUAUUCGCUUUUCUCAAAUGGGAUCAAAAAAGACGAAGCAAACCGAAAACCUCUCGAAGACUCUGCAAGUCCAACCAAAAAAUUAAUGUCAGACGGUCCAAAAAGCCUAUCACAACCGCUAAGACCUAGCAAAACCCGCUUAAGCCCAAACAGAAAAAAAAAAAAACCCCACGAGAGAAAACCACCCAAAACAACGAAGACCUAGAAAAAGAAAACAAGAGAACAAAUCAAAAACCUCGCUCCUCUCUCAGAACAAACUAACCACGUUUACUUGCCAAAAUGUGAGCUGCAAUCUGACCUUCAACAAUUACGUCUGGACAAUCCUAAGUCAAGCCACGAGGCUUCCCCAAAAGCCUAUCACUCCUCGCACGAGUUAUAACACUAUAUGGGUUUGACAAUUCCUUAAAGGGAACCAUCAGCUCUUUCCCUGUUCACACCAUCUCUCCAUCGAUCGUCGUCGCCUUAACGAGCUUCCCACUUCCCUUAGCCCCAACCUUCUUAGGUCGACCUCUUGGUCUUGGGAGUUGACAACCUCUAUGGGAGAGAGGGAACAUGGAAGGAGGGUAUCCUAGGCUCCUCCCCCUCCCUGCAAGAAGACCCGAAAACAGAGCCGAUGCCGAUCAAUUCCACCCCAAGUGUAAGGCCCUAAACUCAUUUUAUACUAUUCAAGUGAGAGAUUGAAUAAAAAUGAAGGUUUUGACAAGGUUUGAGUUUUGACAGAUUCUGGCUGUCACCUUGUGCGAAUUUUUAGAGGGUCUUAAAGACCUUAUUUGGGACAACUUUCUUCAUGAGAGUUGUAGCCCUUUAAGUUAAGUAAAUUCUCCAAGUGGUUUCAGGUCAUUCCGAUAUCCGUAGCCCGAGAUAUACAUGUUUUAGUGACGGAAGGUCAGGCUGUACUGUACUAGCGAUUUUGCUAGAAGGAUUUUUCUUAUUUCCGAUUUUAUUUUUAAAUUCAGGGGAAAGGGGUUUUGCCUUGAUUUAUUUUUAUUCUCUUAGUCAGUAUUAGGAGGGUAAUUAGUUGGGUUUGGGCUUGGAUCAUUAAAAAGAAAAAAAAAAAAAAAAAAACCCUAGCCCAAGGUUGUGUGUGUGCCGCCAGCCACACUAAAGGGAAUUGGGGGAAAUCCUUAUUUUUCCCUUUUGUAAUCAGAAGUAGAAACCUCAUACUAUUCACGUUACUCACAUACAGUAAGGAAGAAGAGAGAAAAGUGAAAAAGAAAGAGAGAAGGAGCGUGAGAUCGAGAGAGAGGAAGAAGAGUGUGUGAUCAAGGAGGAGAGAAAGAGAGAGAUCGGUUGGGAAAGAGCAAGGUGAGGAUCUGGAAAGCGGCUCUUGAUCAUCUUUUCAUCUCAAAAACUUCUGUUUUUCAUCACCCUAUUUCAUUCAAGGUAAGGGCUUGUUCUUAGGAAAAGGGUAGAGUUAGGGCUUUAUCAUGAUUGUUUUGUGAUGUUGUGAUCUUUGGCAUACUUUUACGAAGACUUGUUGAGUGUUGUUGGUUCUGGAAAUUAAAGCAUGAUAUGAGACACGUGUUAACUGAAUCCUUGUUGUUGAAAUAUAGCUUAAAACCUUGUGCUUAAUUGGUUUAUAAAUUAAUUUAGAGGCGGAAGUUUCUCAGCCAGUUUUCUGUACUGGACAGUGGUCUUCAGGGCCUAUUUUCACCCGUUUUAAGAUCUCGGAUAAAAACGUGUUUAACUAUAGAGUUGUAGAUCUUUAAAAUAGCUUUUCAGAAAGGUAUCAUACGUGGUUUUGGUUAAAGGAUGCAUUCUAUAGACCAGUUUCAAUGAAUGUUGUUCCUGCUGUCAAAAGCUAAGUUGCGAAAAUGUUUGAAGUUUUUGUUUAGGAAUAUGUGAUUAGGAGAUGUUAUGAAUUUCUAUGAGGAAAAGUGAUGAUCUUGAAGGUUUUCACAUGAUGUUUUGUGAAUAUAAUUGUUGCUGGAAAUUUGUGCAGUGAAAUACAUGCUUAUUAACCUUUAUUUGAUGUGCUUGCUAUUGUUCUAUGAUCUCAUGCAUAAAUCCCAUGACUACUUGCUAAUUUUGGAUCAUAUUGUGCUUGUUUCAACAUGAUUAAUGAUGAAUGUUUAAUUCUGGAAUUUUUGGGUGAACAUGUUGAUGUUUGGAGCUGGACAAAGGCAUGUAUGGAAGAAAAGAAAGAAAGAAAAAAAAAUUGAAAACCCUAGAGCCUAAAGUGGGUUCGGCCGAACCCUAUUUUAAGGGGUUCAGAGCGUUUCUUUCUUGAUUCCAUGCUCAAGUCGUUUGAGGCUUUGCUUGAAUAAUUUGGCAUGGGUUAUGUGUUUGGAAAGCAUGUGAAUAUGAUCAUGAAUAUCCAUGUUAUAUGAAUAUUGCCUGACUGAGGAACCAUGGGUCGUUCACCUAGCCAUAAUUCCCAUUGGUGUUGUGAAUGUCUAUUGUCGUUAUGAUUAUUAUUUGUCGUUAAAGUUGAUAAGACUCUAGGACUGACUUUAGAGCCUUAAAUACAAAGAGAAUGAGACUUAACUCGCUUGUAAGUAAAUGUGAUAAAUCGGUCAUAGGUCUAGUGUAGACUAUGGUACAUGAGAACGAUGGUGCCGUUAGAGACAAAAGGUAGCUUGCACGCGAGGGAGAUUUGUGGAUCAGUGGAUCCUCGAGAAUUGGUUGACUGCGGUCACCGUGAGAAUUGUGAUUUGUGGAUCAUUGCGUAUCCAUGUGAUUGUGCAUCUGCGGAUGUACGUGAUUGGCCAAGGAGUUUUGGUGGGUUGUGUGAUGUGAGGAAACGUUAGUCUAACUGUGAGUAGGUUACUUACUCAACUAGUGCUAUUAUUACGAGAGAAGUUAUGACAUGUGGUUAUGUUCAUAUGAUGAAAGUUUAUAUGAGAUGUGAUUAUGUUUAUGCAUGAUUUAUUGUGGAACCUGACCCUUGCACUACUUGUUUAUGUGUUUAUCUGGGGGGGUAGAUGGUCGUGAAGAUAACGGCGACGACUCAUUCUUGGGAGUUGAUACUAUGUGAUGAGCCACUACCGGGUGACGACUAUACUCCUAAUGAAGAGGAAGAAGAUAAAGAGGAAGGGGCCAAGGAUAUGGUUGGGUUGAGAGACAUCUAUUUUUCCUUCUGGGUUGAGAGUACCGAGUUUUGGAAGCAUUGAACCAUUACUUUAUUUUAGUUGGGAUAUUUUAACUUGAUGUAAAUUACUUUGAAUUUUUCUUUCGGAUAUUUAUUUCAUACUCUUUUCAAUGAUUAAUAAAGUUUGAGGUUUACGUUGAUGAUUAUUUCCGCAAGUUUGAAAUGGUUAAGUUUCAAGAAUUUUGUAAAAUUGAACUUUUGUCACUAAUUGAAGAUUAAUUAACUAAACGACGAAAAGUCACGAUGUUUUGGUUACUGUGUGACACUCGAGAAAUCGGGGCGUUACAUUGUGGCAUCAGAGCUCCGGUUGAGAAACCAGAGCACUAAGGGUUUUGGGCUUACGAGUUUCUGAACUCGUUGGUGUUUUGUUUUUUUUUAUAAAGGUGUUUUCAAAGUUUCCGCGGUGAGAUUUGGGUAGAACUUGUUUGCUAAGAUGUUUGUUUGGCUUGUGAGAAUGUCUGUGAUUAGUAUCAUUGCCGUGAUACUUAAGAUUAAGUAUUUGACUCUAUGUCAAGAUAUUUUGAGGAAGUUGAUCUUGGAUGAGGGUCAUAAGAGUAGAUUGAGUGUUCAUCCGGAAAUGACAAAGAUGUAUCAGGACUUAAAACUUCAUUCCUGGUGGCCUGGGAUGAAGAAAAGAGUAGUCGAGUAUGUAUCAACGCGUUUAACGUGUCAAAAGGCGAAGGUAGAAGCUAAGGAUGAAUCUUAGUGGAUUGACAUAUGAAUUCUUGAGAUGAGAUGUCAACGGUACAUCAUUUUUUAGGUUGAAGUAUUAGAAAUUGAAUCGAUUGGAUAGGACGUCAAUUUAUGUGACUACUGGAUGAUAGGGACUCAUUGAACUUUCCAGUGAUUUUUUUCUAAAUUUCUAUCUUCGAUAUAUUAAGCCUAAUCGACUUAAUAUUGGACGGGGUGAUAUUCAGAAUUAUAGCUGGUGAUGGACCAUGAUAGAAAGGUUGAUAGGAAUUGAUAGAUGUUGGUCAAAUCUGAGAGAUGAGUUUUGUUAGGUAUUUGAUCCCUUUGUGAAGAAGUCAUAGUGCUAAGAAAUGAAUAUUCAUCUAAAAAGUGUUGAAGAGUUAGAGGACAUUAUUGGUGCGAACUCGGUGAAGGUUUAGAUUUUAAGUCCAUAAAUUAUUGUCCUAAUUGUGUAGGACUUAAAGUUUGUUAGAAUUGGAUUGAGAGAUAAAGAAGUUGAUUUGUGUGAUAGUGAUCAAGUUAUAGAAAGAAAGUUUUAGCAUAAGUUGAAUACAUGAGAGUGUUGAUAUGGAUUUUAGAGAAAUGUGCUAGGAUUACUAAGUGAGAUUUACUAGGCUGGAUUAAAACCUUAGGGGUUAAGAUUGUCCUUGAGAGUUGAGAGACAGGUAUGAAUAAGAGAUUUAAUGGUUUUAGUUGUGACGAUAGCAGUUGAACCUUUGAAGAUUAAAAUCUAGGGAUCGAAAGUUGGGCUAAGUCCCUUGAGGCAUAGUUUAUGGUUAGAUCUUGAAGGGAAUGAAUUAUGAGUAUGCAGAGAUUUCAGACUUAAAAAUAAGCUAUAAUUUGGCUUGUGGAUUAGUGAAAGAUUGAUUUAAGGUCUGAAUGAGGAUAGUUCCGAAACAAAGAUGACGUAUGGAUUGUUAGGUAUUAAGGUGAUGAUAAGUUUAUAAACGGUUGAUCAACUGGAUUUGGAUUUGGCGCCUAGUGCCCUAGUACGAGCGUGAUAUCUAGGUCUAUCUAAUGAUUGCUAGAUAUCUAACGGUUGUCGCUUACCAAAGAUUGAGGUUGGAAUGGACGCUCCAAGUGGGACACGCCUGACCACAUUGAGACUUGGUGUCAGACUUGGUAAAAUAAAUAAUAUUUGGUAUUAUUUCAUUUUGUGAAUGGUUUGUGAUUUAUGUGUGUGAUGUGAUUUGGUGUGCUGAAGGCUCAUUAUUGAGUCAUAGAGGCGGGGGAGAACACUGACCGAGUCAAUGUCUUCCUUACGUUUUGUAGUGUUUUGUGUGAUUGUGUUACACUCCCGAUUUUUCCUCACUUAGCAAAGAUGGUGGAUGGAACAAUGAGCUAAGAAAGGAUGGCGGAUGGAGCUAGUGAACGGAGUACGUCGAUCGAGAUGGUGGAUGGAACCAUCAAGGUCGAUGAGAUGGUGGAUGGAACCAUCGGUGAAGCAGGAAUGGUGGAUGGAACCAUUGGUCAGACCGAGAUGGUGGAUGGAACCAUCAGGAAAGACGGGAUUGGUGGAUGGAACCAACGAUCGUAUAUGGUGGAUAGAACCAUAGAUCGGACAAACCAGAUGGUGGAUGGAACCGUCGAAUGUACUAGGUGGUGGAUGGAACUACUGAACGAGUGAAUUGGUGGAUGGAACCUUUGAGCUCGAUGUACGGAAAGUUUGUUUUCCUGCGUCUGAGCUGUUGAUGUUGCAUCUGGAUCACCUGGACGGGACGCCGACUAGCGUGUACCGGCAUGAGCAUAACACCUGUUUGACUUAGACUUUUGAUGUUUUAGUGUGACUGCAAUGAGGCAGUCUGGGUCGUGUUCUUACGGAAGAAUUUCGUAAGGUUCUACGACGAGUGUCUAGGUUAUAGACAGUGAAAUAAGAGUGACUCGAACAUCCUUACCAGUUAUUUUUCUAGUUGCCAUUUUUAGAUAUUGAGCCUGAUCAACUUGAUAUUGGAAAAUGGUGAUAGAAAUGAUAGUUGGUGUUGGACUAUGAAAGGAAUGUUAAGGAGAGACGGACUCCCUUUGUGAAAAUGAUGUGGAACUAGACCACUAGAAAUGUCACGUGAAGACCAGAAAGAUGAGACUAAGGACAAUAACCUAUGCGUCGAGACGACUGAGAAAUUUGUGGAGAGUACCAGAGUGCGCAAUGGAAGCGUGGUGUGUCUUCCUAUAGUAGUUUCGAGGACGAAACUAUUUUUAAGGAGGGUGGUAUUGUAAGGCCCUAAACUCAUUUUAUACUAUUCAAGUGAGAGAUUGAAUAAAAAUGAAGGUUUUGACAAGGUUUGAGUUUUGACAGAUUCUGGCUGUCACCUUGUGCGAAUUGUUAGAGGGUCUUAAAGACCUCAUUUGAGACAACUUUCCUCAUGAGUGUUGUAGCCCUUUAAGUUAAGUAAAUUCUCCAAGUGGUUUCAGGUCAUUCCGAUAUCGGUAGCCCGAGAUAUACAUGUUUUAGUGACGGAAGGUCAGGCUGUACUGUACUAGCGAUUUUGCUAGAAGGAUUUUUCUUAUUUCCGAUUUUAUUUUUAAAUUCAGGGGAAAGGGUUUUUGCCUUGAUUUAUUUUUAUUCUCUUAGUCAGUAUUAGGAGGGUAAUUAGUUGGGCUUGGGCUUGGAUCAUUAAAAAGAAAAAAAAACCCUAGCCCAAGGUUGUGUGUGUGCCGCCGGCCACACUAAAGGGAAUAGGGGGAAAUCCUUAUUUUUCCCUUUUGUAAUCAGAAAUAGAAACCCCAUACUAUUCACGUAACUCACAUACAGUAAGGAAGAAGAGAGAAAAGUGAAAAAGAAAGAGAGAAGGAGCGUGAGAUCGAGAGAGAGGAAGAAGAGUGUGUGAUAAAGGAGGAGAGAAAGAGAGAGAUCGGUUGGGAGAGAGCAAGGUGAGGAUCUGGACAGCAGCUCUUGAUCAUCUUUUCAUCUCAAAAACUUCUGUUUUUCAUCACCCUAUUUCAUUCAAGGUAAGGGCAUGUUCUUAGGAAAAGGGUAGAGUAAGGGUUUUAUCAUGAUUGUUUUGUGAUGUUGUGAUCUUUGGCAUACUUUUAUGAAGACUUGUUGAGUGUUGUUGGUUCUGGAAAUUAAAGCAUGAUAUGAGACACGUGUUAACUGAAUCCUUGUUGUUGAAAUAUAGCUUAAAACCUUGUGCUUAAUUGGUUUAUAAAUUAAUUUAGAGGCGGAAGUUUCUCAGCCAGCUUUCUGUACUGGACAACGGCCUUCAGGGCCUAUUUUCACCCGUUUUUGUAUCUCGGAUAAAAAAGUGUUUAACUAAAGAGUUGUAGAUCUUUCAAAUAGCUUUCCAGAAAGGUAUCAUACGUGAUUUUGGGUUAAAAGAUGCAUUCUGUAGACCAGUUUCAAUGAAUGUUGUUCCUGCUGUCAAAAGCUAAGUUGCGAAAAUGUUUGAAGUUUUUGUUUAGGAAUAUGUGAUUAGGAGAUGUUAUGAAUUUCUAUGAGGAAAAGUGAUGAUCUUGAAGGUUUUCACAUGAUGUUUUGUGAAUAUAAUUGUUACUGGAAAAUUGUGCAGUGAAAUACAUGCUUAUUAACCUUUAUUUGAUGUGCUUGCUAUUGUUCUAUGAUCUCAUUCAUAAAUCCCAUGACUACUUGCUAAUUUUGGAUCAUAUUGUGCUUGUUUCAACAUGAUUAAUGAUGAAUGUUUAAUUCUAGAAUUUUUUGGUGAACAUGUUGAUGUUUGGAGCUGGACAAAGGCUUGUAUGGAAGAAAAGAAAGAAAGAAAAAAAAAUUGAAAACCCUAGAGCCUAAAGUGGGUUCGGCCGAACCCUAUUUUAAGGGGUUCAGGGCGUUUCCUUCUUGAUUCCAUGCUCAAGUCGUUUGAGGCUUUGCUUGAAUAAUUUGGCAUGGGUUAUGUGUUUGGAAAGCAUGUGAAUAUGAUCAUGAAUAUCCAUGUUAUAUGAAUAUUGCCUGGCGGAGGAACCAUGGGUCGCUCACCUAGCCGUAAUUCCCAUUGGUGUUGUGAAUGUCUAUUGUCGUUAUGAUUAUUAUUUGUCGUUAAAGUUGAUAAGACUCUAGAACUGACUUUAGAGCCUUAAAUACAAAGAGAAUGAGAUUUAACUCGCUUGCAAGUAAAUGUGAUAAAUCGGUCAUAGGUCUAGUGUAGACUAUGGUCCAUGAGAACGAUGGUGCCGUUAGAGACAAACGGUAGCUUGCACGCGAGGGAGAUUUGUGGAUCAGUGGAUCCUCGUGAAUUGGUUGACUGCGGUCACCGUGAGAAUUGUGAUUUGUGGAUCAUUGCGUAUCCAUGUGAUUGUGCAUCUGCGGAUGUACGUGAUUGGCCAAGGAGUUUUGGUGGGUUGUGUGAUGUGAGGAAACGUUAGUCUAACUGCGAGUAGGUUACUUACUCAACUAGUGCUAUUAAUACAAGAGAAGUUAUGACAUGUGGUUAUGUUCAUAUGAUGAAAGUUUAUAUGAGAUGUGAUUAUGUUUAUGCAUGAUUUGUUGUGGAACCUGACCCUUGCACUACUUGUUUAUGUGUUUAUCUGGGGGGUAGAUGGUCGUGAAGAGAACGGCGACGACUCAUUCUUGGGAGUUGAUACUACGUGAUGAGCCACUACCGGAUGACAACUAUACUCCAGAUGAUGAGGAAGAAGAUAAAGAGGAAGGGGCCAUGGAUAUGGUUGGGUUGAGAGACAUCCAUUUUUCCUUCUGGGUUGAGAGUACCGAGUUUUGGAAGCAUUGAACCAUUACUUUAUUUUAGUUGGGAUAUUUUAACUUGAUGUAAUUUACUUUGAAGUUUUCUUUCGGAUAUUGAUUUCAUACUCUUUUCAAUGAUUAAUAAAGUUUGAGGUUUACGUUGAUGAUUAUUUCCGCAAGUUUGAAAUGGUUAAGUUUCAAGAAUUUUGUAAAAUUGAACUUUUGUCACUAAUUGAAGAUUAAUUAAUUAAACGACGAAAAGUCACGACGUUUUGGUUACUGUGUGACACUCGAGAAAUCGGGGCGUUACACCAAGGACAUUCCCCACUCCACUCCCUCCACCCUGGUCGCAUUCUAAAAGAGGUGAAGAGGGCACCUCCUCAGAAAUGGUUGCUGGAGUAGCAAGAGACCGCGAAGCUAGCUCCGGGAAAUGAACAACAACAUGAGCACUAUCCCCCAAGAAACACCCUCUCCGCUGUCACCGGCCUAAUCGGCUACCUCUGCUGCUUGAGAAGUUGGGAAGAAAUUAGAACCCUAGCAGAGAGUUACUACGAAGUUAUCUAAUUAAAAGUAAAGUUGACACACAUUGAAAUAAAUAUUAAUUAGUUAUGAAUAACCUUUUAUAUUAUUCUUUAUAACUUACUAAUUGUAGUUUCAAAAAAGAGUUACUAAUUGUAAAAAAAUACAACUAUAUAUUUUAAAUUAAAUUUUAAUAUUCUUGAAAUUUUAAUUGUUAAACACAACUUGAGAUGUAACCAAAAAGAACACAGCUUGUGGAAAAUGUUUAAAUAAUAAUAAUUUGAUUUGACUUGACCUUUAUAUACAUUAAUAACAAUAUUAAAUAUUAUUUAAUAAUAUUAAUUAUGUUAAUUGCUAUUUGUAAAUAAUAUAAUAAUGAUAUUAAUAAGAAAAAUAAAAAUGAACUCAAAUUAAUUACAAUACUUACUAUGUAUUUGUAACCUUUUAAAUUAUUCAUUAUAAAAUAACUAAUUGUGAAAUUUUUUAUUUCUCAUUUCUCAUUUGUUAAAUUAAAUUUUAAUUAUUAAUCAUAACUUCAGGAGAAAAGUCAAAUAAUAACAAUUUGAAUUUACUUGACCUUUGAAUUAAUAAUAAUAUUAAUUUCUUAAUUAAUAAUAUAGAUUGUAACUAUUUAUUAAUAACUUUUUAUAAUAUUCAUUAUAUUAAUUUCUAAUUGUAACAUUUAUGAAUCAUGACGUGUCUUGCGCAUUCUCAAUAUGAUCCAACUUUUUGGUAAUUCUUGUGCUAUAAAUCGAGACCUAGGUCCUGCCACCCUCAUUCAUGCUCCAUAAAACGUAAAAGAAAAUCUCAGCAGAGGAAAAUAGAGAUAGUGAAAGAAAAAUUGCCUUAGCAGUCACCAUGAAACUAGAGUGUGUUUUUGUUCUUCUUCUUGUUUCGUUGGUCUCUGCAUUUGGGCCUUAUGGCGCUUACCAACCCAUACCGGACAUCAAUAACCCCCACGUGAGGGAGAUCGCGGAAUUUGCUAUCACUGAACACAAUAAGCAAUCUGGUGAAAAUCUCAAGCUACAAAGGGUCAUCAAGGGAGACUUUCAGUUGGUGUCGGGAAAAAACUACCGACUCACCCUUGCCGCCACCGAUGGCUCAACCUCACACAAUUACCUGGUGAUUUUUUAUGAGCAGGGUUGGACACACACAAUAGAACUAACUUCUUUUAUCCGUAUUAAUGCUUAAUUAUUAAAUUAAUUGCAAGUUAUGAUAUCUUUUAUAUAUUUAUAAGACAAGUAAACAUCUAUAUUAUGCUUCAUGUUCAGGGCGUUGGGUUUUUGGGUUGAUUUGCACUGUCCUGUUUUCUUUUCGGCCCUUUCUAUCUUUUUUAUCUUUCUGUCUUGGGUUUUCUUUUGAUAGGUUUUUGUCUGGCUCGAUCUUAGAAUCUGUUUUCGGGAUUGUUGUUUUUUUGCGAUGAUCGCGGUCCUUUUUUGCCGCCGGUGUUGUUUGGUUUGUAUUGUCUGCUUUAGAGUUUUCCUCUCAGGCCUUUUGAUAUUAUUAUAUAUUUUUAUCUUUAAAAAAAUGCUUCAUGCCAUAUGGAUAGUUAAAUAAUAAAUUUAUGUAUGUUUUUGUUUGUAAUUCAGGUUCCCUGUAGUACAAAUGUCAUGCACGAUGCUGGGACAAUAGGUUCGACAAUCACUUAACAGUAAAACAGAACUUAACCAGAAACAACAACACACAAGAAUUGUUAACCCAGUUCAGUGAAAAAUUUCACCUAUAUCUAUAGGGUUUGCACCCAAAGAAAGGAAAUCCACUAUCUCAAGAUUUAGGAAUUACAGGCACUCAUGAACACAACAGUUCAUAGUUCACUUCCUAAUCUACCAAGUGUAUUUCUACUUAGAAUCUCAACCUAAGUAUGAGAGCCCCUCUCACUUUCUCUCAAUCACUGCCACAGUGAUUGGUGAACACAAUAAACAAUCAAGGUUUGAAUGCAAUCAAACACACAGAACCCUACUUUGCUUUAUAGAAUCAGUGAGCAAAGAUGAUUCACAACUAAUGUGAGACCCAAGUUUUUAAGCUUAGAAUAAAUUAAUUAAAUUCAUAUUCACGAUUAGUUUUCGAUGUAUCGUGAAGGAAACCUGAACAAGUGGUUAUCAAAUGGAAUAAAUUUAUGAAGGAGAAAGUUCAGGAAAAAGCUGAAAAUAGUAUUAAAGUCGAUAUAAGUUAUAGCGUGAGUCUUAUUCGCUUACGCCAAGGCCUAGAGCGUUAGUAAACGACUAAUUUGCACUUAAAGACACGAUGGAAACUAAUUCCAAAAAUCUUCAGAGAAAUGUUAGAACUUCUCUUAAUCCUUUCCAUGACAAGCGUUUCGAUCCGAAACCCUGGAAUGUACGAACGUCCGAUUCCAAUUCUCGGAAGUUUGCCGAAGCUGAAUCUCUGAUAGCUCAAGAAACCUAAAAUAAACGAUCGAUGAAGACUUUUUCUAUUCGGAGCUUCAAACGAAGAUUCCACACGCGUACACCCAUUUCUUUCGAUGUUUCUAAUCUUUCUUCAGAAGAAAGUUUUCUCCUCCGACAUCAACUGCAAAAAGUAACUUUUCGGGUUAAAUCGAUUCACACCGACUUUGGAUCGUUUGCCUUAUUUCCAAGAAACCUAUUCUGAGUUUUGGAAUUCUGUCGCCAGAACCUAUCUUAGAAUUCGCAGAGGAAGGCGCGGGAAAAAUCGGAAUCGCGAAAUUUUCAUUUUUCCGCAUUUUCCAUAAACUAUAAAUAGCUUGAAAACAAAAAAAAAAUCAAAAAAAAUUCCCACACCACCAUAGCCAAACCCGCGAGCUUGAGGAAGGAAGGGGAGGAAGAGAUUUUCGCCGUUUCUUGCCUAAUCGUUGCACCGUUCGUUGCUACGCGUAGACCUCGAGGUAUAGAUGCUAUUCCUUACUUCUGAUCGUCAAUUCUGUCGCUUUUCUCUAUGUCUUUCUGUGCUCAAAGUUUUGAGCUUUUUGUAAAACUGUCCAAAUAACUUCAGUGUCUAAACUUAUUGCCUACAUGCCCAAGAGCAUGAAUAUCCGGUUGUUUUCUGCUGAAUCUCGCCGAAUUGCCGUCGAGUUUCAAUUCUGCUCAAAAACCCAUUUUUGGCCAAAGCUUCGUUCUUUGGAUUAAAAACUCUCGACUGAGCUUAGUGUUAGUAGGAUUAGUUGUUAUAAAUGUCGUUAGGAACACGCUCAUCAAAUUUAUUUCUCAAAAUUCCGACUUUGAGUUUUUAGGCUAAAAACACUGACCAAAAUACCCCUAUGUUAGUUUUCGACCCGAUAAUUUUUCUUAGAGUUUCCCUGGCCUAGAUAUCGCCUAAGAAUACCUAGGAAUUAAAUUAGAUUGAAGAAAAAGUUCGGGAAACCCUAUUUUGAUAGUGGCCGAAACUUAUUUGGUGUGGUACCGUGUCCAAAAAUAAUUUUUGGGUCUGUAUGACCUGAGUUAUAGCGUAGCUCUCUCCGUUGUCGAAAUUUUGGCUUUGGUUUCGUGUCAUUCUGAGUUCUGUAGCUCGAGUUAUGGAUGUUUUAGCGAAUAAAGUGUUUUUGUACAAAACUUGAAUCGAGUCAAAACUCAUCCAUUCGGGUAAAGCCCUUCCAUUCGUGCCUAAAUGUUGUACUCUGAAGCUUUUUGAGCUUUGUCUAAUGUUAGUUAGUAUUGUUUCGAUUGUACCGACUUAUUUUGAUUGAUUUUUGCUUUGUUUGCUCUAAGGUUCGUUUGUGGAAACCUUGGACUUGACUGAGCAAGCUUGUGAGCGUGACUUACACUGUGAUUCUGAAGGAACUAGAGGUGAGGGCAACUUACCUUGCUAGCUAAUGUUUUAGGUGUCGACGAUUCGACUUGAUUUAUUGUUUAUGCACUUGAUUGUGAUUGAUUGGGAAAUGUUUUCUGAGGCUUCGGCUGACAAUGAUGAUCAUUUAUCGCUGGAAUUUUUUUGAUAUUGAUUCACAUGCUAUGUGCUAAAUGGUUAAUCUAGGAUGUGUUGAUAUAUGUGCCAUGACUAUUGGAUUGUGUUACUUUGAUUAUGAAAUUACACAUAUAUCUGUUGUACGUCAGAGAGGAUAACGGGCAGUUAUGCCAAAUUUAUCAUGAGAUUUUGGGAAAGUUUGACGGGACAAACGGAGGUUCGGGCCUUGUUAUUGUUUUAGUGGAUCGAGACCUUCUCUGGGAAUUACUUGGGAUGAUGGGAUCUUUUUAACUUAUAAGAUUAGAGAUAAACCUAAAUGGAAACUAUUUUACAAGGAAAAUUCAUAAUACACUAAACAACAUCUGAACCCUUUAAAUAAUGAUAACAAUGUCAGAUGAAAGCUUAGAGCUUGGAUGUUAGUUUUGGAAAAUGAGAAGUGUCGCCGAAUCCAAGUUUUGGGGAAACUAAUGAGUUUCUGAGUAUGUUGGUACUCUUCGCUCGAUGAGCAGUUUGUUGUUUGACUAUCUAGAGGAUAAGUCGGGGAACUAUAAGUUUCCAAGUACAUUGGUACUCCUUCGCUCUUUGAGCAGUUUAUUUAGCCAUCCAAAAGAUGAGCCGGGAAGCUUCACUGAGGCGUGAGACUUCGUGAAAGCAUGAAACUUCACUGAAGCGUGAGACUUCGUGAAAGGGUGCAAAUUCACUGAAGCGUGAGACUUCGUGAAAGCAGAAACUUCACUAAGGCGGGAGACCUUGUGGAGACGGGAACCUUCGCUGAAGCGGGAGACUUUGCGGAGGCGUGAGACUUCACUGAAGCGUGAGACUUCGUGACGGUGUGGGACUUCAUUGAAGCGGGAGACUUCAUGAAGGCACGAAACUUCACUGAAGCGUGAGACUUCGUGAAUGCGUGAAAAUUCACUGAAGCGUGAGACUUCGUGAAUGUGUGAGAUUUCACUGAAGCGUGAGACUUCGUGAAAACGUAAGACUCCAUUGAAGCGUGAGACUUCAUGGAAGCGUGAGAUUUCAUCGUCGUUUACCCUAGGGCAAACGACAGGGAACAUUUGUUUAGUUCGACACUUGUGCGUUGGGAGGACGAUACAUUGUUUGACUAACCUUAUCACCUAACUUCAUAUGUUGAGAUUUUGAUGAUUUGAUAUUGGUGAACAUUGUUAUGUUAUUUGUUGAAUUGUUGAGAUAUUGAAUAUUGUGUUGUUACUAGAGAUUCGAUAACAUGCCAUGUAUAUACCUUAGGGUAGGCAAUGUAGAACUUAUAUGUAUAUAUACAACAUACAUAUAUAUAUACCCCCUUAUUCUUCACACGUUGCUUGUAUUAUCUAUCAUAUUCUGUGAGUUGACCCUCGCGCCUUGGCUUUGUGUUCAUGUUUGUGUUUGGGCGGUCGGCCUGCUGCCAGACGUUCAACAGCUGAUUCGUGAUGGUUCGUCGUUCGGGGAGGACCCGGAGCGAAAUGACUACUACUGAGCCUUCGACGUGGACCCGAAUUUCAUGCAGGAUCGGAUGAGGGUCGAUGUUAGGGGUGUAGUAUAUCGGGUUUCGUUAUCAUAGCUAUGAUUUUCAUUUCUUAUUUUGGGGCAGGUUAGGUCCCCGACUAUUAGCUUUUUGUGUGAUUCCCUUCCAUGAGGAUCACAGGGAGUUGUCGGACGUAGGAAGUCUUUUGGAGGCCGUUUUGGGCCGACUUACUUUCUUGGAGGACUGUAUUUAUAAAACUUAUGACUCUAACUAUGGGUCGCACUUGUUUGCCGUUGGGCAAUACUUUUAGUUACUUGAUGUUACUUUCCGUCACUUGAGGACACUCGUGACGAUGAUUUUGGUUGCAGCGAGGGUUGUGCUUUUAUUGUAUAUUAGUCGCUGUUAAUCGCGAAUGGAUUGAGUCUUUAUUUCGACAAGUCAUUUUAUUUAAAAAGAAAACGAAAAAAAAAUACAUGUUUUUCCGCUUUGGUGGUCUUCAUGUUUUAGGUCUUCAUCCUUUUAUAGACUUCAGCAGCGGUAACAUAGGCUCUAGGGUUAGCAUGGGCUGAAGUAACAGAUUGCAGCAACAACAAUUCAAAACGCAAUCUUGAUAGAUUUUGUUUACUUAUUCCACAAGUAAAGAUAGAAACCAAUCUUUUAACAAAGAUUGUUUCAACAAAUAACAACCCAUAAAUAAAACCCUUCUGAAAUAGCUACUUGACCCCCAAGUAACACGUAAAACAUAUCUGCAACAAAUCUUCAGAGGGCCCACAACAGAAACUCAAGCUGAGGACUGAUGCCCUAGCUUCACGGAAUCAGAUGCCACGACAUC